Molecule: long non-coding RNA, 100258 nt
Filed under: Populus tremula
Lineage: Eukaryota; Viridiplantae; Streptophyta; Magnoliopsida; Malpighiales; Salicaceae
Description: long non-coding RNA (PTRE_LNC000206)
Rfam family: MIR2912 microRNA precursor family (bases 42135-42292)
Source: RNAcentral
AGAAACACAGCUUAAAGACUCCUUUGCUGAGUUAUUACUCGCCACAUCACAGCCUCACACGCACACAGACUGCACGAGUGGAGACUGAGUUAGUGGAAAAUUUCUUGGGGCAAGGUCCGCAAGGAGGGUGAUGCUACUAAUUCAGUUGACUAGGUUUUUAUGAAUCUCCACAUGCUCUCCCCUCUUUUCAAAUACUAUAUUAUAUAUAUAUUCCUUUAAUUUUACAGCCCCUCGAUGAUCUAUAUAUUGAAGAAAUAGAAAUCACACAUGCAUGUGGGCACGUGUGCAUAUAUGUUUGCAUAAAAAUGCAUACGCGAGAGCUUCUAAAUAUUCACACACACAUGUGUGCACAUGCACACGCACUUCAACCUGAAAUUCUCUGUAAGAUUUUCCAUUUAGUAUUCUCACUUGUGCGAUGUUUGGCGCUCAUUCCAAGGUUAACUCCUAAUUCACCCAUUUUGUAAAGCAAAGACCUCUCUAUAUUUAUACGUACGCACGUAUGGUGAGAGUAUAUGCGUAUCUAUCUAGGGUUCUAAUUAAUAUACCUACCAUGUGAUGACUCUUUCAUUGAUGACCUCUCUCGAUCCAAAAUGAUUGUGUUCAUUCUCACCACAUGAUCACAUUAAAUUGGAUACUGAGAUAUAUAAUAAUCAUGGAGAUAUCCAACUGGCUGGCUGGCUGGCUAGCAGCUUCAAAUGGUAACCGUGGAAGCAACUGUACCUCCGGUGAUCUUUACUUUUUUCCCCCUCUUCAUGACAUCGUUGCACGUUGUCAUAGCAGAAUUCUUCUUUGUGUGCUAGCAAUAUCCUUCUCGGAAUUUAAGCCGAGGACAGCACGCAUAUGCAUACAUAUAAUAUAAUUGGUAGUGUUUGUUUCUGAAUACCGUAACGGAAAUUAUAAAAUAAAAUUAUUUAGGAUUCUCUAUAAUCCUAUUAGAUAAAUCUAGAGUUAUUUAAGGAUAUUUUUACUUAAAAAUCUAAUUUUUUUCAGCUUUAAAUAAUUCUUUAAAUAUUAUUUUGUCAUAAACCACAAGUCGUCUAAUUGUUCGGUCUCCAACAAUAAUCUACACGAACCACAAGUAAAAAAUCUUUUAAAUCCCUAUUUAGAAGAGAGUUAUUGUUGUGUCUUUCAUGAUGCCCCCAGUAGGUUUGUUUGCUUUAGAGAUAACACUCUUAUUAAUUUUAUCCUUCUUUUUAGACGUUCUAAAAGACUGAACUAGAAGAACUAUGUCUUUUUUCUUUUUAAGGACCUCUUCAGUAGUCUUAAGGAUAUUAAUCAAUUAUGGCAAUGUACUAUCCAACUUGUUCAUGUGAUAGUUCAUAAUGAGUUGUGAAAGGCUUUAGGAUAAUGAUUGUAAGACCAAUUCAACAUUUAACUCAUGGUCCAUGACAAAACUCAAUUGGCCCAACUUCUCAAUAUACCCAAUCAUUUUCAAAACAUGGGUAUUCACUGAAGAACCAUCUGUCAUCUUGCAGCAAAAUAAUUUCUUAGAGGUCUCAUACCUCUCAAUCCUACUUAUCUCAUCAAACAAUUCUUUGAGAUGCAUAAUCAUCGUAUAGGCAUCCAUAUUCUCAUAUUACCUUUGAAUUUAGGUGACAUACUAGCUAACAUCACACAUGUAACCUAUUCAUCUUUAUAAAGAUGACGCAUUAAUGUUCAUUUCUAACUUCUUCUUUAGCAUCCUCAACAGGGGCAUUUGGAAUUGGUUUUUCAAAAGCAUGCAAUUUUUUUUCUUGCUUGGAAACAAUUCUCACAUUUGAUUGUCAAUCCAUGAAAUUUGGUCUCGUCAAUUUAUUAACAUCAAGUAUGCUUCAAAAGGAUAUAUUACUACUUAUUUUAUCUAUAAACCCAUUAAUAUUAUUUGGAUUUCCUGAAUAUCAUACACACAACAGAAACUAUGAAACAAAAUUAUUUUAGAGUCUCUAGAAUCUCGUUGGAUAGAUCUAGAGUUAUUUAGGAAUUUAUUAUCUGAAGAUCUGAUAUUCUUCGGCUUUGAAUAAUUUUUUAAAGACUGAGUUGUCGCAAACUACAAGUCCUUCAAUUUUCCAGCCUCCAAUGGUAAUCCACUCGAACCACUAGUGAGAAAUCUCAUAAAUCCCCAUUUAGAAUACAGAGAUUGUUAUGCUUAGAGUGUUAGCUCUAAUUUUACGUUUAUAUAGUUUUUCUAUCUAACAAACAACCUCUAAAAAAUAAGAGGCAUAGCUUUUUAUUUAUAGAAAAAUAUAAAAAAACAAUAUAAAUUGAUAAAAUAUCAAUUUGCCCCGGAAUAAUAACCUUAUAUUAAUUCAGGAUAAUUUUAGAAAUUAUCUCAAUCAAUUCAUUACUUGAUUUUUCUAGAUUUAGAAAUAUAAUCUCUAUAUUAAUUAUAUUCAAGUCCUUAAUUUCUAAAACAUAUUUUAAUUAAAUCAUACUUAACUAAAUCAUCCUAGUUUAAUUUCUGACUAAUGGUUCUUAAUGUAAGUGACAUAUUAGGUUCCUAAUAUGUUGACUCAAAUAUAAAUUAUAAUUUUAAUUAAAUAUAAUUAAAUAAAUUAAAUAGUUUAAUUUAUUAUCAAUUAAACAAUUAAUUAAUUUAUAUUUUAAAAUCAGUUGCAUCUUUUAGCAACAUGUCAUAAUCCCCCUAAAUAUUAGAAAAUUCAUUAGUUGUUUGACUUAACCUUUCAGUGACUAGUUUUUCAAUGUAACUAAUAUCCUUUCAUCAAUAAUGUUCUGAUUUAACAUUAAAGCAUGCAGUAUAUCUGUCAUGUUAGAUCAUGUUUGUUUUCUACAUAAUAGUCAUUGAUCCUUUGAAUAAGAUUUGAAAGUCUUUUCAAAUCUCAUUAUAUUUUGGCCAAGAAUAUCUCAAUCAAUACUCUUUUAGAACAUAUGAAAUAUUUUUUCUAAUUCACCUAGAGUAAUAAAUCAUCUCUUGAUCACUUGAAUACCUUUAUAUAAUUCAUGUUUUACCCAAUGUUUGCCCUGUUGAUACCUUAAUUAAGAUAACAUGUAACAUGAUCAAGUGAUAACAUUUUCUAUAUAAGAUAACUUAGUGAUCUCAAAUCUAAAGAUCAUUUACACAAUUGUCACGUGAUCCUUUCUAUAAACAUAAAUGAUCUCUCCAUAUAAAAUUCUUAUAUGAGUCAGUUCGGUGUACAUGUCUUAUGAUAAGCAUCUAUAUAUUAGUUAUAGGUAUCUUUUAUAUCUCGGCUUAUAAGAACAAUUGAUUCAUUUCAUAAAUAAAAGAACAUAAUAUAUAUCGGUCUUUGCAGCUCUAAUGAAUGUUCAGAAUUUAAGAGGGCAUCGACCAGGAAUAUUUUAGGAACAAUGCUUUGAUCACUACAAGAUUUAACAAUUUUACCGAUGGAAUUUUUCCGUCGACGUAAGACACAUAUUCCAUCGGUAAUUAAUUUACCGAUAAAAUCACCGACGGAGAAUUUUCGUCAGUGAAUCUUUCGUCGGUAAUUUUUUGUCUAUCGGUAAAUCCAUCGGUAAUAAUAUUACCGACGGAUUUACUGGCAGAACAGACGCGUCGGUAAAAAUAUUUUUUUAUUACCGACGGAAAUUUCCGUCGGUAAAUCCGUCGGUAAUUAUUUAAAAAUAUUUUUAAAAAAUUCAUUUUAUAAAAUUAUAAAAUAAUUAAAUUAACAUAAAUCAACAUUGUAUAAUAUAUACUCAAAAUGCUUUUGAAAAAAGAAUAAGAAAAUCAACUCAAACAAAUUUGGAACAAAUAAAUAAAACCAAAAAAAUUAAUUCAACUAAAAAAAUUCAUAUGAAAAAAAUGAAGUUGCAAUUGCUAAAAAUUUAAAAAUCCUAUAAAUAAAUCAACUAAAAAUUGAUCUCAUAUGAAAAAAAAAAUCUCACAACAACAUUUAUACAAUUAUUAAGAACAAAAUCAAUUAAAAUCAAAUAAAAAACAAAUAUAGUGAAAUAAAUCAUGAAAAAAUAAGAAAAAAGAAAAAUCUUACCUUAAUAUACUUGCAAGUGAAGCUAAGGAAAAAAAAAUUCGUAAAGCAUAUUAAUUAAAAAAAACUAAAAGGAUAAAAGAAGAAAGAAGAAGAAGACAUACCCGAGCAUGGAGGAAAAGAGAAGGAGAUAAGGAGAGAAACGAAGAGAAAAAAAUAGAUAUUGAUGUUUUUUACAUAUAGUGAAGAAGAAGUAGAAGUAGAAGUAGAAGUAGAAGUAGUAGAAGAAGAAGAAGAAGUAGAAGUAGUAGUAGAAGAAAAAGAAAUAAUGAUUCUGUCUCUUGUGAAAUACACGGAUUUAGCUUUUUUAUUGGGACGCGUUACCGACGGAUAAUUGAAUAUUAAUAUUUUUUAAUAAUUUCGUCGGUAAUUUCAUCGAUAAUAUUUAAUUUAAAUUUUUAAUUUCGUAAAAAGUUUUCAGAAACCGCCAAAAAUUACCGAUGAUUUUUCAAUUCGUCGGUGAUUCCGUCUGUAAUAUUUAAAUGAAAAUUUUAAAUGAAUUGAAUUUUUUCAGAAAACCGCCAAAACACACUGACAAAUUUUAAAUCCAUCGGUGAUUUUGUCCGUAAAGUAAAACAAUUAACAGUGCAAUUGGAAAAUAAACAGUUAUGGAGCUCUCUGGAAAAUUCCGUCGGUAAUUCCCUUUGUAAUUGACAUGAUGAACAGUGUUCAUAGUUUCCCGACGGAUUUACCAACGGAAUUAACCGACGGAAUAAUUCCGUUGGUAAAAAAUGACACGUCAUCAUUUUUUUUUGCUUUGUUUUAAUUUUUUUUCCCUCGGUAUAUACCGAGGGAAUAUUUCCGUCGGUAAAAUCCCUCGGAAAUUUACCGACGAAAUAUUCCCUCAGUAUUUCCGUUUGUAUUUAUUGAUUUUCUGGUAGUGCGAUACGAUAUGAAUCUUAUAAUUAUAACAACUUUAUAAUUUUCUUUAUAAAUCAUUUUUGUCUCAUGAACUUUAUUUUUAUUCUGAAUUUAUUAAUUUAAUAUUAUAUGAAUAUUAAAAAUAAAUUAAGUCUUUAUUAGUAAUAAAUAUAUAUAUAUAUAUAUAUAUAUUUAUAUAUAUUAGAAAACACUCCAUUAAACAUAAAACUAUAGUUUUUCUCUUUAAAUGUGUUGGAAGACUCGAAAGAAUUAAUAGAGCUGACCAUGCAAAUACAAUAAUUUCGAGUUAAAAUACGUCUCCUAAAAGAAAAUUUUUAUUUAAUGAUAGAGAUAUUUUCAAAACAACUUAUUCAAUAAUCAAAAUUAAUUAAAUAUUUUUCUUCGAUGUUGAUCUAAUGCAUUAUAAAAACUUUUAUCGUUGAGAAAUUGGUUGGACAUGCUUUCCUCCACAAACUUCUAUAGUACUGUACUUGGAUAAGAAACGUCGGCUCUCUCUCUCUCUUUCUUUUUUAGUUCAUGCAAUCCGAUCACUGUACGAAGCUGGAGCCAACGACACAUGAUGGUCAAAGACAUGAGUGCGCGGCUAGUUCUGAAUCAAAACGGACAGACAAAAAAAAAAAACAGGGUGGGUUUAAUUGUUGAUAUAAAUAGUGAAAUAAAUUUAUAUUUUUUUUAAUAUUUUAUGACAACUUCUACUUCACUCGGUUGGAUCGGCAUCUAAAGGGUAAAGGUUUGAUUCAUAUUGGUAGCAAUAUUUGAUUUUGCAUGCGUUUAGAAUAUGUCGCAACAAGCUUUAAAGGAUUUGUUUUUAAUAUAUAAUUUUUAUUUAAUUUUAUUAUUUAAUAUUAAAUUAAUUAUAAAUUAAUUUUUAUAUUUUUAUUAUAUAAUAAAAUAAAAUAAUAAUUUUACAUAAUAAUUCAUAACUUGAAUUGUAGAGUUUGAUGGAUUGACUAAAAUUAACUUUACAUGUUUUUUUUCUUUAAAUUUACCCACUUAAUGAAAUUAUAUCGGAACAAUUCAUACAUAAUUUAACAUAAAAUUUGGAUUAAAAAGAAAAGUUGGGUCAGAGGUUUUAAAUAUUGUUUCGAGUUUAAUAAAAUUAUCAAAAAAAUAUAUUAUUUUUUAACAUUUUAACAAAUUAUUGUCCUACCCGCGGAAAUGGAUAAUUCAACCGCUACUUCAACAACAUCAAUAAGCUGAUACAGAACUUCAAUCUUGCACAUUGAAGGGGAGGCAUCGGCCUGAUAUCGCCCAUUUAUUCGAUCUUUCACCGGGGCAGCAGGAACAGCAAACGGAGAGAUCGAGACUCAGUCCUGAACUCCAGAAGCGGACGGAUGCCCGAGGAGUUCUACCGUUGACGACAGCAGCGGGAAUGGUCUUCAAAUAAAGUUGGAAAUAUAUAAACUAAUAUCUAGAUAAUACGCGUGUAUGGAACAAAAAUGUGUUACGAUAUGAUCCUUAUCAAUGGAGGACAUGGAUUUCUUUAUAUCAGUGCAGGGUUCAGAGGAUUGAGAGAGGAAACUCGGUCAAAGAUCCAAACAACAAAUUAACCGCAAGUUACCACAAGGCGUGACCAAAGAUAUAUAGUAAGUUUAGAAACUUUUAUAAACCCCAUGUUCUCUCUCUCCUUCUUGGAUCCCUCAUUAUUAAUAACUCCAUGGACUAUUCAAACAGAUCUCUUACGGAUACUUCAAGUGUUGUUACCAUCAAAGCCAUCAGAUUGAGAGGAUAAGAGAUUAUUGAGGAUAAGAGACCAUGCAUAUGCAGAGCUCUCUCUCUCUCUCUCUCUCUCUCUCUCUCUCUCUCUCUCUCCCACUUGUUGAAACCUUAAUGGGUACCUUCUGUCCCAUACAGCUCAUAUGGACCACAGUUCACAAAUUGCUCAUUUGGGUCUUUCAGUAGCGUUGGGCCCAUAAGUUUUCUUUCGAAUUUGGGUCCUUCCUGAUAAAAUCAUCAGUGUCCACGGUUGCCUCUUGGGACCAACUCUCUUCUUCUUCUUCUGAUCUUUUGGUGGUGAAUUGCAUGGAAACCUAUAAACUACUGAUUCUUUGAAAGGAUUGGCAAACAUAGGGGUCUUGAUUUGACUGCUGGGAUUUAAUUUCAUUUAUUAACAGUGUUUUUUUUCUCCGAUGACGAUGAUGGGUUGUUGAUUGUUUUUAUUGUCCCAGGGGUAUAGCAUGAUGUCAAAUGACUUGAAAUCUGCAUAAUAAAUCUUGAAUUCGAGUCAAGGUAUGCACUUCUUGUAAGAGUUUCCUCAAAUAAAAAAAUAAAAAGAUGUUGGGUUGUUGAUUUGUGAAGUCCUCCAUAUAAUUAAUCAACAGUGAAAAACCGGUGAGCAGAGGAGCAAAACAUGGCAGUUAAUUGGAUGAAGAGGCCCACCCACAAGCCCACGCUGUUAUUUGCGUACACGAUUUGCAAGUAUGGGAAGAAGCCAUGCCCAAGCUGGCAGCCAGAGUCGUGCUGGGGCGAGGGGGUUGUGUGGUCCCCAUAUUAUGGGUCCCAGCAAAGCUCUUGAGUAUUAUUAAAAAGUGUUUUUUAAGAAAAAACAAUCUAACAUAGAAAACUUUGUCGUGUAGCAAAGUACAUCGUACGGACGGACACGAAUGGGCCACGGCAACACCGACCGCGCCGAGCGUAAUUAGCAGAAACAUCUCUCUCCAAUCAUUUUUGGCAAAACCCACCACUCCUAUUCCUUGCUUUUCGUAAUCAGGGGCAAAGAUUGCUUCUAUGACGUCAUGCAUCUCUCCACGCCCUCCACCGUAGCGCGUGAUAGUCUUGACAUGUCCCCUCACUAUCGAUGAGCUUAACAUGGCAGUUUGAAAACGCGUCCACAAGUGUUUUUAAAAACUUAAAAUACAAUUUUGUUUAAAGUUAUUUUUUAAAAAUAUUUUUGCAUCAUUUUGAUACAUUAAUAUAAAAAAUAUAAAAAAUAAAAUAUAUUAUCUUUAUAUAUUUUCAAACAAAAAAUAAUUUAAACUACAACCAUUUAAUAUUAUUUUUAUAUCAACUAAAACUAAAUUGUUGUUUCAAACUAUCUUGAAAGUAAAUCUUUAUUACGGAUGAUUAUUUUCAGUUUAAUUUAGUUUUUAUCAAAACAAAAUAACCAAACCAAAAUUAUUAAAAAAAAACCGAAACUGGAUCAAAACAUCCAAUUUCUGUUCGGUUUGGUUUUUUUGGACAAAAACCGAUUCAAAUCGGUUUAGCUUAGUUUUUUUUCGAUUUGGGUUCGGUUCGAUUUUUUUGAUUUCAAGCUUAUAAAACCAAAACUGAUUCAAACCGACGUCAUGCAUCUCUCCACGCCCUCCACCAUAGCGCGUGAUAGUCUUGACAUGUCAACUCACUAUCGAUGAGCUUAACAUGGUAGUUUGAAAAACACGUCCACAAGUGUUUUUUAAAAAUUAUUUAAAAUUAUUUUUUUUAGUAUUUUUAGAGUAUUUUGAUAUGCUAAUAUCAAAAAUAAUUUUUUUAAAAAAAAUCAUUUUGAUACAAUUCUAAUGAAAAUAUAUUUUUCAUUACAACAAUCUUAAACAGGUUUAAAGGGUGUUUUCAUAUCAUCUUUAUAUUAACUAAAACUAAAUUGUUAUUUCAAACUAUCUUGAAAGUAAAUCUUUACAUCAAUUUGUUUUAUUUAAAAAUAUAUAUAUUUUGAAUAAUAAUUAUAAUCUUUGUACCUAAGAAGUAAAAAAAAAAUAGAUUACACCUCUUAUUUAUAUAAAUUCUUUUAAUUUUGUGUCUAUAUCUUUGACAUUAAGUUGUCCAUUUAAAAUUCUUAUAUUUAACAAGCUGAUUGAAUAAGAUUUUUUAGAGGUUAUAUAAUUGAGAAAAUAUAAUAUGGAGGGUGAUAAAAUAUAUUAAUAUGUGCAGCCUUCUAAACUAGUUUAAAAACGAUGUUAUAUAUGUUAAAAAUAAAGUAAACCAUAAUCUAGUCCCUAUAUAAUAUAAAAUAAAUAAUUUAAUUUUUUUAUUUUUUUAAAUCAAUUAGUCAUUUCUUUAUAUUCGGAACCACUAGCAAAAAACUAAAAGUAAAUUCCAACGCCGGCUUAACAUUUCACCAAAAAAUCACUAACAAAGAACCUAGUCAACUAUCGUAUAUGAAAAUCAAUAAUUAAUUUCAAGAUAUUUAUUUAUGUAUAGAGAGAUAGAGGUGAUAAUUUUCGGUUCAGUUUGGUUCAGUUUUUAUAUAUAAAAAAUAAACAACCAAAUUGAAUUUUAAAAAAAAAAACUGAAACCGGUUCAAACUAAUCGAUUCCAGUUCCGGUUCGGGUUUUUUAGACAAAAACCGUUUCCAACCAUUUUGGCUUGGUUUUUUCAUUUUAGCUCGUUUUUUUCGGUCUGGCUCAAUCUUUUCUAGUUUGGGUUCAGUUCGGUUUGAUUUUUUUGAUUUCAGGCUUAUAAACCAAACCGAACCGGUCAGUUUUUUCAAAAUUUUAAUUGGUUUUUUUAUUACAAUUUGAUUUUUUCAGUUAUGUUUUUCUGGUUUUUUCAGUUCAAUCUAUUUUUUUCUCACUUCUAGACAGAAAUUAGGUUAUAAUUUACUCUUGAGAGGUACACUCUGGGUAUUUAAUUUAAGCAUGAGCGUGGGACUUUUUAAUUAUAUAGUUCACGUGUCUGUCAUUCCAACACAAAUUCGAGAUAUGUGGAGUUUUCCUUAAUUCAACAUAUUAUAUACUAAAUUAAGUAAAUCGAUCAGAACAAAAAAAAAAAAAAAAGGGGGGGGUAAAAUCAUAUACAAUAGAAAUGGUUGUGUUAUAAAGCGCGUGAUUUCCCUUGGGCUUAAGGCUAUGAUUCGAUCCGCGCAGACCUAUUUUAACCCAAUCCAGGGUCGAGCGAGUCGUUGAAAAAUGUGGACAGCUAAACAAGUCUGGCCCGAUUAUGAAAGUCGGACCAACCCAAAUAAAUAACCUUCUCUUUCUUAAAUCUUAAUUGUUUAUUCUUGUUUUUGGGCCAUUUAAUUGCGUUAAAUUACUGAUCCACCUCUCCAUUAUUAGUAUACAGAUUGCCGGGGGGGGGGGAUAUUUAAUGGGGGAUAUUUAAUUUUAUAGAUAACGGUUUGUGGUAUUUUUCGAUAAGUGUGCUUCAGUUUUUUGGGAUUUUGACGGGGGAAAAAGUUAUAAAAUUUGACAUGACUGUUGAAGCUUGAGUGUUCUAAGAAACUAUAGUUUCUUAAGAAAGAAGCAAGAGUGAGUAAGUGAUCAAACAUAAGAGAGAGUGGAGAAUUAUAGCAAUAGAAAACAACAGCUUUGUUCAACCGGCGAUUCCACGGUUUGAUGGUCAUUACGAUCAUUGGGUUAUGCACAUGGAGAAUUUUCUCAAGUCAAAAGAGUAUUGGGACUUAAUAAAAAAAAAAAAAACAAGAUACCUGUAGCAAUAGAAGAAGCAACAGAGACACAAUGUAAGCUCAUUGUAGAUUUGAAACUAAAAUAUUUAUGCCAAAGAUAGCUUGUUUGGCAGUGUAAUUGUGGUUGCUUUUCAAAUAACUUUUUAUACCAAAAUAUAUGCCAAUUAUGUUUUUUUUUUAUUUUUUGACGUCAGCACAUCAAAAUAAUUUGAAAACACAAAAAACUUAUUAAUUUGAAGUUAAUAAAAAUAAAAUAAAAUUCAAAUUUUUUCAAAAGCGCUUUUGAAACGCAGAAACAAACAGAGAUCAAGAAUUAUCUAUUCCAAGCUAUAGUAUUAAGGCCAUUCUCAAUAAGGAGACUGCAAAGGCUAUCUGGGAUUCGAUGAGAUUAAAGUAUCAAGGCUCUACAAAGGUGAAACAUGCUUGGUUGUAGGCUUUGAGAAGGGAAUUUGAGAUUCUUGGCAUAAAAGAGGGUGAAAAGGUCAAUAAAUACUUUGCUAGAACACUGAUCAUUGCAAAUAAGAUGAAAACAUAUGGAGAAAAAAUGGAGCAGAGUGUGAUCAUUGAAAAAAUCUUAAGAUCAAUGACUCUUAAAUUCAAUUAUGUUGUGUGUUCGAUUGAAGAGUCUAAUGAUCUGUCUACUAUGACCAUAGAUGAACUUCAGAGCAGUUUGUUGAUCCACGAAUAGAGAAUGCAUAGACAGAAGGAGGAAGAACAUGUUUUGAAUAUCAUUAAUUCAGAAAAUGAUAGAGGAAGAGAUUAAUACAAGUUUGAAGGAAGAGGAAGAGCUCAUGGGAAUUUUAGAGGAAAAGGUCGAAGUAGGGGUAGGCAGCCUUUCAAUAAAGCUCUUGUGGAAUGUUUCAACUGUUAGAGACUUGGUCACUAUUAAUAUGAGUGUCCUCAUUUGAGAAAUGCUGCAAACUACGUUAAGUUGGAUGAAGAUAAGGAGAUGUUGUUAAUGUCAUACAUUAAGAUGAAUAAUUCAACAACAAAAGAGAAUGUCUGGUAUUUAGACUCCAGGUGCAGUAACCAUAUGUGUUGUAUCAAAAGUUUUUUUUUCAGACCUUGAUGAAAAGUUCAGACAAUCUGUGAAACUUGGAGACAAUUCAAAGAUGAUGGUGAUAGGGAAAGGAAAUAUCAGACUCCAAGUGGGUGGCAUGAGUUGGGUAAUCACUGAAGUUUAUUUUUCACAUGAGUUAAAGAAUAAUCUUCUGAGUGUUGGCCAACUACAAGAACAAGGUCUCACCAUUCUUAUUCAAAAUGGUAUAUGUAAUAUUUAUCAUCCAAUGAAGGGAUUAAUUAUGCAGUCUAGAAUGUCAACAAAUAGAAUGUUUGUUGUGUUGGCUUUAGUAAUGCCUUAAGUUAUAACAUGUUUUCAAACUGUGACUGAAGACAACUCACAUUUAUGGCACUGUCGAUUUAGACAUCUUAGCUUCAAGGGACUGAGAACUCUUAUGUACAAGAAAAUGGUGAGAGGACUACCAAUUCUCCAAGCUUCAUCAAAGGUGUGUUUACACUGCAUGGUGGGAAAAGAACAUCGAGAAGUUAUUCCCAAGAUGAGCCUGUGGAGAGCUUCACAACGUCUUCAUGCUGAUAUCUACGGACCUAUCAAGCCUGAAUCACAAUCAUAAAAGGUACUUAAUUAAUUUUAUUAAUGACUAUAGUAGGAAGACCUAGGUUUAUUUCUUAUCAGAUAAAUAUGAGGCAUUUGAUGUAUUUAAAAAGUUCAAAGCACUUAUUGAAAAAGAAACUGGUAAUUUUAUUUGUUGCCUACGUACUGAUAGAAGUGGAGAAUUCACCUCGUUGGAGUUUAAUCAAUUUUGCAGCAUAAAUGGAAUAACUAGGCAACUUACUACCUCUUACACACCCCAAUAAAAUAGGAUGGCUGUGAGAAAGAACUACACUGUCAUGAACAUGGUGCGUAGCAUGUUGUUAGGAAAACAAAUUCCUAAGGAGAUUUGGUCUGAGGUUGUCAAUUAGGCGAUACAUAAAUUUAAUGUAACAUCUGAAGAGGCCUGGAGUGGUAACAAACCUUCUGUGUAUUAUUUUAGAGUAUUUGGAUGCAUUGCUCAUGUCCAUAUUCCAGAAAAACGAAGAUCAAAGUUGGAUGAUAAAAAUGAGAAAUGUAUCCUAUUUGGUGUAAAUAAGGAGGCCAAAGCAUAUAGGCUAUACAAUUCGGUUUCAAAGAAAGUGAUAAUUAGUAGCGAUGUGGUAUUUGUCGAAAAUGAGAAAUGAGAGUGGAAAAAAAACAAUAAAGAGAUAAAAGUUGAUGUAUUAGAGUGGGGUGAUGAGGAAGAAAUCAGGACUCAAGAAUUUGAAGAAGGUAUGAAUGCUGAGAUUGAAGAAGUAGACGGUGUGAAUGUUGAGAUUAAAGAAGUAGACAUAGGAGGUUUUAAUUCUCCAUCUGAAGACUUAAAUGUAAAUACAGAAGGUUCUUUAAAUCUAUUUCAAGGGAGGAAUAGAAGAUAGCCUUCUUGGAUGCAAGAUUAUGUGUCAAGUGAAGGUUUAUUAGAAGAAGAUGAGAUUGAAAUUUUGGUGAUGUUCACUACUUCAGAAGACCUGCAUGCUUCGAAGAUGCCGUCAAGAGUUUGAAGUGGAGAGAAGCAAUGAAAUUAUAGAUCAAAGCCAUUGAAGAGAAUGAGACCUGGGAGUUAACAACAUUACCAGAAGGAGCAAAGAAAAUAUGAGUGAAAUAGGUGUAUAAGACCAAGCUUAAUGAGAAGGGUGAGGUUGAAAAGUUUAAGGCUCGUCUCGUGGCAAAGGGUUACUCACAACAGCAUCGUAUUAAUUACAAUGAGGUGUUUUCUUCGGUGGCCAGAUGGGAUAUUAUCAAAGUGGUUCUUGCUCUUGCAGCACAAAAGGGUUGGUAUGUGUAUCAAUUUGAUGUAAAAAAUGCGUUCUUGCAUGAAGAAUUAAAUGAAGAUGUAUUUGUUGAUCAACCACAAGGAUUCACAAAAAGAGGAGAAGAACAUAAGGUUUAUAAACUUAGAAAAGCUUUGUAUGGACUUAAGCAAGCUCCCCAAGCUUGGUAUAGCAAAAUUGAAGGGUACUUCAUUAAAGAGGGUUUUGAGAAAUGCUACUGUGAACACACACUGUUUGUGAAAACUGAAGAUGGAGGUAAGAUUCUCAUUGUAAGCCUUUACAUAGAUGAUUUGAUUUUUACUGGAAACAAUGAGGAUAUGUUUGAUAGAUUUAAGGAGUCGAUGAAGAAGGAAUUUGCCAUGUCUGAUCUUAGUAAAAUGAAGUAUUUCCUUGGUGUAGAAGUCAUAAAGGAUAAUCAUGGAAUAUUUAUCAAUCCAAAAAAAUUAUGCUCAUGAAGUGUUAGAGAGAUUUGGGAUGCUGAAUAACAACUUAGUGAAGAAUCCAAUCAUUCCAAGUUCCAGAUUGUCAAAGAAUGAGGGAGGAGCUGCUGUAGAUACAACAAUGUUCAAGCAAAUGACAGGCAACCUUAUGUAUCUAACUGCUACCAAGCUAGAAUUGUUGUACCCUAUUUGCUUAAUUAGUAGAUAUAUGGAAAGGCUUACUGAAAUACAUUUGCAAGCUGCGAAAAGAAUUCUAAGAUAUUUGAAGGGUAUGACUUGAGCUGGGGAUUGCUUAUAAAAGAGGUGGAGAAGAAGAAUUGGUGAGGUUUGCUGACAGUGAUUAUGCAGGAGACAUUGAUUAUAGGAAAAUCACUUCUGGAUACACCUUCAUGCUUGGAACUAGAGCAGUUUCUUAGUCUUCAAAGAAGCAACCGGUUGUGACCCUGUCCACUACAAAGGUUGAAUUCAUUGCAGCAGCAUACUGUGCAUGCCAGGGAGUUUGGUUGAGAUGAGUUCUUAAAAAGUUGGGACGUAUUCAAAGUAAAUGCACAACCAUUUUCUGUGAUAACAGUUUGCCCAUAAAACUAUCAAAAAAUUCAGUCAUGCAUGAGAGGAGCAAACAUAUAGAUAUAAAGUUUCAUUGUUUCACUGUUGAACUGGUGCACUACAAUACACAAGAAUAACUUUCUAAUAUAAUGACAAAGCCUUUCAAAUUGGAAGCGUUUUUAAAGCUACAUGACAUGAUUGGUAUGUGUUUGAAGUCAGUAAACUGAUUGCAGUUCUGCAAUUCAAUUUAAAGGAGGAUAUGUUGAAGCAUGCAUUAAGUUUUAAUGUUUUUCAGUUAAUAAUCCACUCAUUGUUGAGAUAAGUUGUUAAUGCAGAAUAUUAUUUGAAUUGGUCUAGAUUUCUCACCACAAUUUUAGAAAGUAAUAACAUGAAGUUUGUUUUUUCUAUUUUCCUAUGUAAAGGCUUAUAUAUAUAGCCAUUAGUGAUUGAAUAAAUUGUGCUCCAUCCUUUAAAUAUUGUGAGUUAUCCAUUUAUCAGAAGCAGGAGAAUUAACAACGACUCUAUAAAUAUCGAGUUGAUUCGAAACUUGAUUUACAUUAGGCUAUAUAAAAUAAUUUUUUAAAAUCAAAACAAAUUAUUUUAUUUUUUUCAAAAUCAUAGCUUAAAUUGACCUAUAAAAUAACUUGCCGAACUAACUAUCCAUUCUUAAUAAUCUAUUAUAAUCAAAUAAUUUAUCACUUCUUAUUAAAACAUAUAAUUAUCCAUUUAAAUGUAUAAACUUUUUAGUUUUCAACUAGAAUCUUUCUCGAUAAUAAUAAAAAAGGAAGAAAAGACUUAAUAUGGUAGCGUAUUACGAGAGAUCAAACUACUAUAGAAAAAAAAACAUUGACUCUUCUUCCAAGUGCAUUGAAGGCACGACAACAAGCUGUAUCUUGAUACGAAUAAGCAUGAUAUAUAUAUUUCGAACACGAAUAUAUAAGCAACUGCACAUUAUAAAUUUGGAAAAGUAUUUGAUUAUGUUUAUUUUUGUAUUUUAAAAAUAUUUUAGAAAAAAAUUGAAAUUUGUUUUAUUUUUUUUUCUUCAAAUUAAUAUUUUUCUAGUAUUUUUAAAUUAUUUUGAUUUACGUUAGGCUAUAUAAAAUAAUUUUUUAAAAUCAAAAUAAAUUAUUUUAUUUUUUUCAAAAUCGUAGCUUAAAUUGACCUAUAAAAUAACUUGUCGAACUAAAUAUCCAUUCUUGAUAUUCUAUUAUAAUCAAAUAAUUUAUCACUUCUUAUUAAAACAUAUAAUUAUCCAUUUAAAUGUAUAAACUUUUUAGUUUUCAACUAGAAUCUUUCUCGAUAAUAAUAAAAAAGGAAGAAAAAACUUAAUAUGGUAGUGUAUUACGAGAGAUCAAACUACUAUAGGAAAAAAAAACAUUGACUCUUCUUCCAAGUGCAUUGAAGGCACGGCAACAAGCUGUAUCUUGAUACGAAUAAGCAUGAUAUAUAUAUUUCGAACACGAAUAUAUAAGCAACUGCACAUUAUAAAUUUGGAAAAGUAUUUGAUUAUGUUUAUUUUUGUAUUUUAAAAAUAUUUUAGAAAAAAAUUGAAAUUUGUUUUAUUUUUUUUACUUCAAAUUAAUAUUUUUCUAGUAUUUUUAAAUUAUUUUGAUUUACGUUAGGCUAUAUAAAAUAAUUUUUUAAAAUCAAAAUAAAUUAUUUUAUUUUUUUCAAAAUCGUAGCUUAAAUUGACCUAUAAAAUAACUUGUCGAACUAAAUAUCCAUUCUUGAUAUUCUAUUAUAAUCAAAUAAUUUAUCACUUCUUAUUAAAACAUAUAAUUAUCCAUUUAAAUGUAUAAACUUUUUAGUUUUCAACUAGAAUCUUUCUCGAUAAUAAUAAAAAAGGAAGAAAAAACUUAAUAUGGUAGUGUAUUACGAGAGAUCAAACUACUAUAGGAAAAAAAAAUUGACUCUUCUUCCAAGUGCAUUGAAGGCACGGCAACAAGCUGUAUCUUGAUACGAUAAGCAUGAUAUAUAUAUUUCGAACACGAAUAUAUAAGCAACUGCACAUUAUAAAUUUGAAAAGUAUUUGAUUAUGUUUAUUUUUGUAUUUUAAAAAUAUUUUAGAAAAAAAUUGAAAUUUUUUUAUUUUUUUUACUUCAAAUUAAUAUUUUUCUAGUAUUUUUAAAUUAUUUUGAUUUGCGUUAGGAUAUAUAAAAUAUUUUUUAAAAAUCAAAAUAAAUUAUUUUAUUUUUUUCAAAAUCAUAGCUUAAAUUGACCUAUAAAAUAACUUGUCGAACUAAAUAUCCAUUCUUGAUAUUCUAUUAUAAUCAAAUAAUUUAUCACUUCUUAUUAAAACAUAUAAUUAUCCAUUUAAAUGUAUAAACUUUUUAGUUUUCAACUAGAAUCUUUCUCGAUAAUAAUAAAAAAGGAAGAAAAAACUUAAUAUGGUAGCGUAUUACGAGAGAUCAAACUACUAUAGGAAAAAAAAACAUUGACUCUUCUUCCAAGUGCAUUGAAGGCACGGCAACAAGCUGUAUCUUGAUACGAAUAAGCAUGAUAUAUAUAUUUCAAAAACGAAUAUAUAAGCAACUGCACAUUAUAAAUUUGGAAAACUAUUUGAUUAUGUUUAUUUUUGUAUUUUAAAAAUAUUUUAGAAAAAAAUUGAAUUUUUUUUAUUUUUUUUACUUCAAAUUAAUAUUUUUCUAGUAUUUUUAAAUUAUUUUGAUUUACGUUAGGCUAUAUAAAAUAAUUUUUUAAAAUCAAAAUAAAUUAUUUUAUUUUUUUCAAAAUCAUAGCUUAAAUUGACCUAUAAAAUAACUUGUCGAACUAAAUAUCCAUUCUUGAUAUUCUAUUAUAAUCAAAUAAUUUAUCACUUCUUAUUAAAACAUAUAAUUAUCCAUUUAAAUGUAUAAACUUUUUAGUUUUCAACUAGAAUCUUUCUCGAUAAUAAUAAAAAAGGAAGAAAAAACUUAAUAUGGUAGCGUAUUACAAAGAUCAAACUACUAUGGGAAAAAAAGGUUGACUCUUCUUCCAAGUGCAUUGAAGGCACGGCAACAAGCUGUAUCUUGAUACGGAUAAGCAUGAUAUAUAUAUUUCGAACACGAAUAUAUAAGCAACUGCACAUUAUAAAUUUGAAAAAGUAUUUGAUUAUGUUUAUUUUUGUAUUUUAAAAAUAUUUUAGAAAACAAUUGAAAUUUUUUUAUUUUUUUUACUUCAAAUUAAUAUUUUUCUAGUAUUUUUAAAUUAUUUUGAUUUGCGUUAGGAUAUAUAAAAUAUUUUUUUAAAAUCAAAAUAAAUUAUUUUAUUUUUUUCAAAAUCAUAGCUUAAAUUGACCUAUAAAAUAACUUGUCGAACUAAAUAUCCAUUCUUGAUAUUCUAUUAUAAUCAAAUAAUUUAUCACUUCUUAUUAAAACAUAUAAUUAUCCAUUUAAAUGUAUAAACUUUUUAGUUUUCAACUAGAAUCUUUCUCGAUAAUAAUAAAAAAGGAAGAAAAGACUUAAUAUGGUAGCGUAUUACGAGAGAUCAAACUACUAUAGGAAAACAAAACAUUGACUCUUCUUCCAAGUGCAUUGAAGGCACGGCAACAAGCUGUAUCUUGAUACGAAUAAGCAUGAUAUAUAUAUUUCAAAAACGAAUAUAUAAGCAACUGCACAUUAUAAAUUUGGAAAAGUAUUUGAUUAUGUUUAUUUUUGUAUUUUAAAAAUAUUUUAGAAAAAAAUUGAAUUUUUUUUACUUCAAAUUAAUAUUUUUCUAGUAUUUUUAAAUUAUUUUGAUUUACGUUAGGCUAUAUAAAAUAAUUUUUUAAAAUCAAAAUAAAUUAUUUUAUUUUUUUCAAAAUCAUAGCUUAAAUUGACCUAUAAAAUAACUUGUCGAACUAAAUAUCCAUUCUUGAUAUUCUAUUAUAAUCAAAUAAUUUAUCACUUCUUAUUAAAACAUAUAAUUAUCCAUUUAAAUGUAUAAACUUUUUAGUUUUCAACUAGAAUCUUUCUCGAUAAUAAUAAAAAAGGAAGAAAAAACUUAAUAUGGUAGCGUAUUACAAAGAUCAAACUACUAUGGGAAAAAAAAAGGUUGACUCUUCUUCCAAGUGCAUUGAAGGCACGGCAACAAGCUGUAUCUUGAUACGGAUAAGCAUGAUAUAUAUAUUUCGAAAACGAAUAUAUAAGCAACUGCACAUUAUAAAUUUGAAAAGUAUUUGAUUAUGUUUAUUUUUGUAUUUUAAAAAUAUUUUAGAAAAAAAUUGAAUUUUUUUAUUUUUUUUACUUCAAAUUAAUAUUUUUCUAGUAUUUUUAAAUUAUUUUGAUUUGCGUUAGGAUAUAAAAUAUUUUUUAAAAUCAAAAUAAAUUAUUUUAUUUUUUUCAAAAUUAUAGCUUAAAUUGACCUAUAAAAUAACUUGUCGAACUAAAUAUCCAUUCUUGAUAUUCUAUUAUAAUCAAAUAAUUUAUCACUUCUUAUUAAAACAUAUAAUUAUCCAUUUAAAUGUAUAAACUUUUUAGUUUUCAACUAGAAUCUUUCUCGAUAAUAAUAAAAAAGGAAGAAAACUUAAUAUGGUAGCGUAUUACAAGAUCAAACUACUAUGGAAAAAAAAUUGACUCUUCUUCCAAGUGCAUUGAAGGCACGGCAACAAGCUGUAUCUUGAUACGAUAAGCAUGAUAUAUAUAUUUCAAACGAAUAUAUAAGCAACUGCACAUUAUAAAUUUGAAAAUAUUGAUUAUGUUUAUUUUUGUAUUUUAAAAUAUUUUAGAAAAAAAAUUGAAUUUUUUUUACUUCAAAUUAAUAUUUUUCUAGUAUUUUUAAAUUAUUUUGAUUUGCAUUAGGCUAUAUAAAUAAUUUUUUAAAAUCAAAAUAAAUUAUUUUAUUUUUUUCAAAAUCAUAGCUUAAAUUGACCUAUAAAAUAACUUGUCGAACUAAAUAUCCAUUCUUGAUAUUCUAUUAUAAUCAAAUAAUUUAUCACUUCUUAUUAAAACAUAUAAUUAUCCAUUUAAAUGUAUAAACUUUUUAGUUUUCAACUAGAAUCUUUCUCGAUAAUAAUAAAAAAGGAAGAAAAAACUUAAUAUGGUAGCGUAUUACGAAAGAUCAAACUACUAUAGGAAAACAAAAGGUUGACUCUUCUUCCAAGUGCAUUGAAGGCACGGCAACAAGCUGUAUCUUGAUACGGAUAAGCAUGAUAUAUAUAUAUUUCGAACACGAAUAUAUGAGCAACUGCACAUUAUAAAUUUGGAAAAGUAUUUGAUUAUGUUUAUUUUUGUAUUUUAAAAAUAAUUUAGAAAAAAAUUGAAAAUUUUUUAUUUUUUUUUACUUCAAAUUAAUAUUUUCUAGUAUUUUUAAAUUAUUUUGAUUUGCUGAUAUUAAAAAUAAUUUAUUUUUUAAAAAAUAUUAUUUUAAUAUAUUUUUAAAUAAAAACUAUUUUAAAAAAAAUCACACCCACACUCGUAAUCAUAAUCUAAUCCAUGUCAUAUUUAUGAGCUGCAGCUACCCAACAGCCAUCUGUGGUGUCGUGUCUCCCCUGUGGUAGGUAACCAGACAUUAGAAGGGUGUCCUUGAAUCGCUGGGGGGAAAAUCCGUUGUCCCGCCAGCAAAUAGUAAAGGCACUGUCCCUUUGUAAAGGUAAGAAUAUUGAAAUAUGGCACUCAAAUAUGAUUAUUUAAUGCGUUCCUCUGUUCAUGGUCCAACUUUGCGACUCUUUUUUUUUUUUUUUUUUCUUUUUAGUUUAUCAACAUCUUCUAUUCCUAUUUUCCUUUUGACCAGGCAGUUGACCAAAUACGGUAUACGUACAUGGAUGUAGAAGGGGCAUUUUUUUCCAAUGUUUUUUAAAUUUGUUUUGAUGGUUUUGAUGUUAGAAAUAAAAAAAAAAUCAGAUAAAAACUUAUUUUAGUGCAUUUUUAAUAAAAAUUCAUGCUUUGCAAUCAUAAACACCUCAUCAUUAAAAAACAAAGCAUUUAAAAAACAAUUAAUUCAAAUUCUACCUCUUUGAAUCCCAUACACAUUAAAAGAUGUGUGGUAUUACCAUAGUUUUUAAUUUUUUACAAUUCUAUACAAAAAAAUAUUUGGUUAAUUAAAUAAUUUUUAUUUUUUUAUAGAGAACCUCACACAUGAUUACAUCUCAAACAUUAAAUAGAAGCUAUAUUAACAUGUUUUUUUUAUUUAUAAAGAUUUAUUUAUUUUACAUGCAAGAAUCAAUCCCGUAGUAAUUUUAACCAACUACAUAUUUUUAAAAUUUAUUUUUUUAAAAUCAUAAUAAAAAAUAUUUUUUAAAAACUUAUUUUUAAAAAAACUGCAACAGUAAAAAUUACACACUGAAAAAACAGAAAGGUUGGGGGAUGUUUUGUAUAGGAAUGUAAUCUUUGUGAGAUUGGGAUUACGAUUAAUCCUCUAGACUAAUGUAUAUUUUUCUAAAUAUCUUGACUAUAAUAAUAAUAAUAAUUUGUUUAUGAGCGUAGACAUAACUGAAUUAAGUAGAAUUUAUGUGAUUUCUUUUUUGUUUACUGAAAUAUUUUUAUAUCCAUGCAUUUGAAAUACAGAUCACCAUGAACAGAGAAAAAUCUAAUUAAUUUUGCCUCGCGUAAAGUUUUUGAAUCCACGAAGCUAUUUUUACUGCCCACCUUUUCUUUUUCUUUUUCUUUUUCCUUCGAGAUUUUUAUUUUCUUCCAAUCAUUCAUGUACAUAAAGAACUGCAAUUGUAAAAGCAAUCUACAGUGAUGAUUGUCACUCACAGGUUGUGAGUUGAUGUCAACUGUAAAACACAAUUAGGAGAAUAAUUCAGUCUCCCACGAAAGCUCGUCAUCUUUUACCAUGUGCUGGACGAAGCUUGAAUUUUCAACUUCAAGUGUCAAUGUGAAUAAAUCUCUCUCUUCUCCUUUUCUUUUUCCUGAUCUCUGUGGGAUCCAUCAUAUAUCCUCUUGUCCUUCCUCUCGCAUUAUUUAUUUCUUCUCAAUUCUGAUUGUUAACCUAGAAAUGCUGAAAAGCUUAGAGGAGUUUGUGCAAGCUGCACGGCCAGCUGCCACAUGACAUUUUUUUCUUUCUGCAGGCAGAAAUUCCACAGUUUCUAAUACAGGCACUGGUGUAAUGGCGAUUUGCCUGCUGCAGAAUUUGACAGAAGGGCCUCUAGGUCUAGAUGGAGGGAGCGGACCACAGAGCAAGGCACUCCCAUUCCUUUUUCCUUUUUAGAACACAGUCUUCCUAAGAUUUAUUCCACCAACAAUCACAGUGAUCAUUAACACUAGCAGGACUCCAUUGCAAAGAACACGAUCUAUAGCUCGAGAACUGAGAAGUUAUUUUUGUUGAACUGCAUGGAUUAAGUUAUGAUGAUUUGCUCUACAAAACUACAGUAGCUUGGCGAGGGCAUAACAUAAAUCAACAAAACCAAACCACAAACCACCUUAGCAGGAGAGGCCAAGUGGCGUGGUUCAAUCGAAGGACAAUGGGAUGCCGGUUACGGGAGGUGUUGAUCUGGGUUGUUAACGCCUGAUUGUCUCAUGCUUUGGCUCUUUCCAUUCACUCCCAUCGCUAGGGUUAGACCUUUUUCUUUUUUUUUUCAAAAGCUGUUAGGGCUUUCACUCCUACCAUCAAUGUAGCUUGUGAGUGGGCCCUUUUCUGGACAUUUGUGAGCCAUUUGGGGCCCAUUUCUGCCCCGACCCCAGUUUCACAUGUACACACAUUGUUUCAUAUAUAUAUGCAUACACAUUUUACUUCAUUUGUGUUCUGUUCCUGUGCUGCAGGAAAUUUGGUGAGGGGGCUGGGUCCCCUUUUCAACCUUUUGCAUACAGCCUGGAUAUGGGACCCCUCUUGACCAAUUUAUUUUUAUGGGAAAUAGCAGCCACAAAUUGUGAGAGAGGUGACGGUGAUGUUAGGGAAGGGGUCAAGGGAGAAGAUGAUCAAAAUAUCAUAAAAACCAAAGGUGAUUUACUAGAGAAAUAAGCCAAAAAAUAUAUAUAUAUAUUAGGGUUGAGAAAAGAGAAAAUGUCGAUGUACAGAAGACCCAAGAAAAGAUGCGCGGGAGAGAGCACCUGACGCAGGGUGACUGGGGCAUCCGUUUGAUUAAUUAGAAGCAAACAAUUUUAAGAAACCAACAACAGAAGUUGCAGAAAUGUAGAGAAAAUAGCAGGAUCAAAUUCCAUAUGUUUGGAUUUUCUUAUUUAAAAAUCAAAUUGUUCAUAACUCAACCAACUUGGAUGGAAUUGUUAUGAAUCUUAAAUCUCAAAACACAAACCCCUCCCUCACGCUUUGAAUACUAACAAAACAUGCUUUCAAUUUAUGAUGGUCACAAGAAGAUGUUAGGAAAUGUUGAAAUGGGCCAUCUUGAACGUGUAAUCAGGUCUCCGUGUGGGAGGGGUUUGUGUUUUGACAAAUAAAACAUGCUAAACCGAUGUUAGGAGUGCAUGUUUUUGUAUACAUAAGUACACUCGGCACUCGAGAGCUAUAUAUGUAUUUAUGUAUGUAUGUAUGGAACUGGAACAGUGUCAUGACAAAUAAAAUAGACAAAAACAUGCUGCUAGUAGAAAUUAAUAGGAUGCUAUAUAGAGGAGGCUAAAGACAAUGUCCAUCGGUUUCGCAGUUUACACUGCCAUGCGAUGAUGAACACUGGGCCUGGGAUCAAAAUGUAUCUAGAACACAGACCAAUCAGUCUAUCAGCUGCAAGAACCAAUGGUAUGAAUAUACAUAGCCACAUACACCAAAAUACACGCCUCGCUUGUAAGAAUAAGAAGUGAGAGAGAGAUCGUUUUUAAUUCUACAAGAUGGCUCUUCAAUACCAGGAAUGGACGUAGUUUUUGAAAUGGCUAGUUGAAAUAGCCAGAAACAUGGUAGAGAUUUCUGUAAUACCUUGAACGAAGGGGUAGUUAAUCAGUUGUCGAAAACAGGUUGCAUCGUGUGCUCAAGGAAUUCUGUCCAUCCUCUCCCAUGGAGUAGCUAGAGACAGGCGUAUGAACGAACGUAGCUGCUCGACAUGCUUCAUUCUGUCUAGUAUGGUGGAGAUGUUCUACAACAGUUGAAUCAAAAACAAAUAAAUUAAAUGUUCGUGUCCAUGCUGUAUAGCAGCAGUGAAAAACCAGCCGAAACAUCUCCUGUUAAUUAUACAUAUAUAAGUAAAAACGAUUUCUUUUUUUUUUAUUCUGAGAAUCGAGAUCAAGCGACACUCCAAAAUUGUCCUGAAAGCUACCUCUCAAUUGAUUGCAAGGUGACAAAAGGGAACAAACCUUUUAUCCGAUGGACACCAGAAGAACAGCCCAUACAUACACACCUACGAAGUGCAUGGACCCUAGCCUUUUGGUUCUCCUGUUCCCGAACAACCUCCUAGAUGAUGAUUUGACAGGUUAGUCUCCCCCACCCCAUCAUAUCUAUCAUAUCUUUGCCCUCAAUCGCUACAACUCUUGUCUUCAUUACACCUGGUCGUCUCUGAUUCAUUUCUCCUCUCUGUCUCCCACGACACCGCCGCCCGCUUCUUUUCCCUCCAGUUUCAAAAUCUCCCCCCACCCCUGCGUGGCAGCUAUCCGUCAUGCCCACCUCAUCGCCUCCCCGAUGCUCCGAGCCUGGAUCCAAAUUCACCACCAAGCCCCCUCCUUCGCCGGCCAAAAUUACGACACGUCCCCGAUGCGAGUUAGUUUUCACUUCGACAAAACUCAUUUCCUGUCCAUCAGAUUUCUGUAAUAGGUUAUCUAGAAUUACUGAUCUCCUGUGUAUCCAAUGGAUUUUUAGAUAAAUUACCCGUCUCCAGAUUAAUAUGCUUGCCAAAAAUCCCCAUUACAAAUUAGAUCCAAACCCAAAAAAAAUCUGGGUGAGCUUCCUCCAAUGUUACAUUGCGAGUUCUCGAAACUUUUUUUUUUUUUUGGUUAUAACAGAGGCAGUGUAGAAAAAUGGAUAAUCAUUUAAUUCCUCUGUUAUGCGACACGCUGUGUUUUUUGAGAAAUUAAUUUCCUUCCAUUUUCUAAUGCACAGUACAGGAGAGUUGAAUUGUUUAUGCGACACGCUUUGUUUUUUGAGGAAUUAAUUUUUUUUAUUUUAAAUUAAUUAAAAAUAAUUUUAAUAUAUUGAUUUCAUAAAUAAAUUUUAAAUAAAUAAUAAAAAAUACUAUUUUAACACAUUUUAAAAUAAAAAAAAUUAAUUGGGUUAGUUUUUAAAAUAUUUUUUAUUUUUUUAAAAUUAAUUUUAAUAUUAUUACAUUAAUAUAAUUUAAAAACAUUAAAAAUUUUAAUUUUAAACAAAUAUUUUUUUAAUUUUUUAGAAACAGAAUUCGAGAAGCCUAUCAUAUUCUAACAGAGAAACAACUAGAUAAUCAAGGAUUUUCACAAGGGUAGUUUUGUCAAGAGAAAAGAGAGGGAAAGGCUGAUCAUUAGAUUUCCGGUGUGACCCCAUUAGUUUUCAUGCACAGAUGAUUUACGAGAAUAAUUGAAACAUCAUUAGACCUCACAUGAACACCCAGUUUACAUUUUGACCAAAAAGCCCAGCCAAUAACAAAAUUAUGACCCAUGAAAAAAUGUCACUUUAUAGUAAAUAAAAAUUAUAUGAAGAUUAAUCAAUUCAAUAAAGUAAUAUAACAAAAUCCCUCUUCCCUUCAUUUUUAUCCAAUCCCGUCCGUUCAUUUUAUAAUCAACGCAUAAAAACAAGCCAAAAAAAGGAGGCCUUUACUUUUCUCCCUCUAAUGAAGGUAAUAGAAGCAGGAGAGAGUAUCUAAGGCGCUGGGUAAUGGUCUUAUCUACGGUUCCUGUACAUCCGGUGCAGUAGAUCUUAGCCUCUUAAUAAUCGGUUCAGUUUCAGGGGCUUGGCUGCUGGCCGAGAUGGGAUUCUCGGAACGCGUGCUACAGCUCCCACAAGCAGCGGCAGCGUCGAGCACGCCAGCUGGGCUAGCCGGAUCAACUAGGGCAUCAUCCGAUAAAUCCUUAAGCCGAGCCGUCGGACACGUGUCGAUCAGGUAUUCCUCUAUUAGUUGGUGACAGCUUCUCACCAUUUCCUUCAAAAAGAUCACAUUUUAGUUUUUAUUACACAGAUUUCAAUAUCUCUCAGUUAAUUCUCGUAAAGGUGGUGAGUAUUCGCACAAAUAAAGAAAGAAAUAAAUAUAUAUAUUUCCAGAAAAGACCCUACUGACAACAAAAAUUAUCAAUUACGCCCCAAAGAUUAUAAAUAUUUACCCUGUUUACUCUCUCAUGAAAGAACUGCCCAACACCAGCCUUCAAUGGUAUAGUAUCAAAAUUCUUUCCCGCAGCGGAUAUCACCGCAGCAGCUGCCACCGUCGACGGUGAAAAACCCAAGAAAUCAAUCACUGAAAAAAUCCCAAAAAGAUUUCAAAAUGUUUCAUAAAAAUUGUCAAACGUCAAUCAGAUUUUGGGUGAGAUUUGAAUUACCUCGGGUGGUGUUGAGAAUGAGAUCCGAUGAGUUUUUCAAGACCCGAUUGAAAUUCCCGGGUUUUGUAGAGGAACAAGAAGGGAGCUUUGAAAUGAAGUAAUCAAGAUAAUCGAAUGGAGUGAUUGAUCGUAAUCUCCAAUUGAGAUUGGCCAUGACCCGAAGCUCCAUUUUUUGAAUGUUUUUGGGCUCAAAUAUGAAUCCAGGUUCAAGUAUUUGAAGGUCUAAUAACAAUGGCACGUCAGGUUCUUCCAUUUUCGCUGCUAAAGACAAGCAUGCCACUGAUAGUAGCUGAAACGGCCACCCAUUUUCCUGUUUCAAUUAAGAAAACCCGAGCUUUCGAUCAAUAAUAUAAUAAAAAUCACUCUUUUGUGUAAAAUGUGAAUUCACUUUCCCGCUAAAUCUGAUAUUUUAAAGGGAAAGUUGAAGAAUGGGAUAUUUUGAAGAUAAAUAUGGAAUGUUCCUGGAAAAUCCGAGAUUUUCUCGGGCGAGAAUGGAGUUUAGCAGGAAAAGGGAAAAAAAGAAGGGAGGGUGAUUUAUUAUUUAUUUACCGGAAGAGAAUAAGAGGAAAGAAAACGGUCGAAGUAAUUGACGGAGAGUAACGCCGUUAAUGGCCUGAACUCGUAGUGUGCAUACACCUGCAUUGCCAAAGCAAUAGAUAUCACCACCACAUCAAUACAUACACACGUGUAGACACCUACGUAUCUAUACACCAGCAGGUACCUUGAGGAUCCAGUUGAUGGAAUCUUGGCGAGCCGUGAUGUCAAUGGAGCGGUGACGGCAACGAUGGAGAUAAUCCGACAAGGGCAUGAAGUGAGAUUCAGAGCCAAUCAGUUUGGUGAUGGUAUGCUCGUCGGAUGGUGGAGAAAGGAUGAUGGAUGGUGAUGGUGGUGGGAAUUGAGGGUGGCUAGAGAUCCACGUGUCGGCAUCCUGUUGGACCACCUCACUGGCAUCCUCCCCACAGUACAGGCUGUUAAGUGCAGAGGCAGAGUGGUCCGGUAAGUGAGAGUGAGACAUAGUGAGGGUGGCUGUGAGUGGUUAAUGGCAGGACAACGGCAUUGGUAGCGGCGGAAAGAGGGAGGAAGAGAGUGUUGGUGGUGUUUGGUGGUGGCUGUCUGGUUUUGGACAUGGCUUGGUUAUGGGUCUUCUGGGGAUAACAUGUUUCGGGUGGAUGCUGUUGUUGUGUGCGUCUCUCUCUCUCUCUCUUCCUCUCUUGAUGGGUUUUCUUUUUUUGUUUGUGUCUGGCUCUGCAGAGCUUUGAAUAAUGGAGGAGAGAGUGUGCGUGUGUCGAGGGAUGAGAAAAUGGAGAGGGGCGUGCCGUGUAUUGAUCUUUUCACGUGGGUUUAUGAAUGGUGAUUUUGUUUUGACCAAAAUUAAAUGGAGAGCUUUUUGCAACUUAUGGUUUACUUUCCCUUUUCUCUUUUGUUAAUCUCGCAAUUAUUGUAAAGUUUCCACCCAUUAAAACUGCUUUCCACCUUCAAAAUUAUCAUAUUUAUAUUUUUUAUAUGUUUUUUUUUAUAGAUGAUGCAAAGAAUAAAUGAAAAUCUUAAUAGAAUAUUUCAAUAAAUUUACUUUCCCUUCAUUUGUGUGUUGAACCUACCUCCAUUGUCUGUUACGGGCAACAUGGCAUUUCUAUUUAAUUGGUAGCAUGAAGUAAAUAGAAACUAUACUAUCAUGUGCAUAAAUGCAUGUAAAGAGACAAAAAGGAAGAAACCAAGGGUGCGCUUAAUCUAGGCGCAGUGCGAGUAGAUCCCUUUGGAGAUUUUACUCUACACAUUAAUUGUUGUACAUGUUAAAUGUUUUGUGCUAAAAUUAAUCGUAGGUUACCAAUGAAAUGUUCAUUUAAUGGUGUAAAUAUAGUUCGAUUUUUAAAAAAUUUAUUAAAAAAGAAACGAAUCUUGAGCAAGACUAAUCUUAUUUUUUUAAAAAAAAUGAAGAUACCUGUAUAAGGAAAAAAAAUUAAAACAAGAGUUAGCCUCCUCAAAAAAAUAGUUUUUUAUGUUAGUUUUGUAUUUGGUUAUGUUUUAAAAAUAUAUUUAGCUUUUAAAAUAUUAAAUUUAUGUUUUUUUUUUUAUUGAAUGUUGCCUUACCCAACACAAAAUUAAGCGGCAGGCCCUGUACAACCUGUCCAACAAAGAUGUAGAAAUCUUUCCGAUAACAAAUAAGAUAUCAAAGUUUUUCAGACCUAACAAGAGAGAUCGAAUUUUACUAACAUAGAAACAUGUCGCCGCUGUUGAUCAAAUAUCAAUACACAGGGAGUUGUUGACUUUUUGUCCUAGCUGUAAAGCCCCCAUAGGCUGAAGACAUAUUGAGUGACCCCGCUCACAGUCAAGCCCAUGUGUUCCGUACACUUUGUAUAUGGGAACUAGGGUUGGUGUAUCGUGUAUUUGGCUGUCAAAUACCAUCGUAUCGAAGCACAGGCUCACCAUUAUUGACCUUCGAGAUUUGCAACUGUAACAAUUUGGUUUCAUUCUCUCCAAACCACCUUUUCCUUUUCUUUUCUUGUCUUCUUCCAUGGAGCGGGGCGGACGGAUAAUGCAAGGUGCUUCUCCUUGCACAGAGCCUGAUGACAUUUCUUAGAUUUUGAAUUCUUUUGUGUUCUUAAAUCAUGAUAACAAUGUAAAAAAAAAAAAAAACUGGGAAGGAAGCUGAUUUUACUGAGGAAUUUGCUUUUCUUUUGUCGAAGUAGCAGAUUUUACUCCAAAUGACUUGACAUCUUCUCUUCUCUUCUCCUUUGUUACCUAACUGGCGCGCUAAACAAAUAACCUUUUUUGCCAACUUAUUAAUCAGCGUUUGCAUGCUAUUUAUGGUUUUGUGCCUUAAUAAAUCAAGGACAGGGCUCACCGUGUGAUGUGAUAUGAUAUGACCUUGAUUUUUUUUUUCUCUUUAGUUUUUUGCCCGUGACAUUAUUUUGAUUUAAACCACGCUCAUCUGCUUCUCGCUCGAGUCUCUGCGGGCUUCAGCAACAUAUAACAGUAUAACACAUAAAACAGUUAGAAUUUAUGCUCAGCUUCUUCUCUCUCUCUCUCUUUUUAAUGUAUUUUUAAGUUAAAAAUACUUUUAAAAACAAACUUUACCUGUACAAAAGUACUCAUGUUUACAAGAUGGGUCCCUGUGCAUCCACAGUGAACUGAAAGGUCUACAAAAGGUCGCCAAAACCCCAUCAGCAGUUCAUUUGUGAAAAAGUACUCUGAGGUUGCAAUCAUACGGAAUGGGAAUGCAAUUCUUUAUGGGGUUGUCGCAAAUAUAAUUGAACCCUCGACUGCUAAACAUCCAGGAUCACAUGCCAACACUCUGAACCUUCCAUGAAUCGAGGCAUUCUGACAAUCAAACUGCAAGGCAAGGAAUGAUGAAUGAGAAGGAAAGACAGCUAGAAGGAAUCAGAAAUUCCAGUUCAACAUGAUGGAGCAUGGACCAAACUGAUUUCAACACAAAAUAUUCAAUCCCCGAAUCCAACCAUGCUUUCUUGCCGAAGUGACACUUAAAAAAGGCCUUAGACUUGGGAGUUCUACACUCCUGUUCCAAUACUUCAUGUUACUCCUGUUCAACGGGAAUUGGGUCCAGCAGAUGACCAGGGAAAAAGGGCUUCGAGAUUUUAGUCACUAUUCACUCCCUGACUCGUUUCUGAAAAUCGUGAAAAGUCCUCCCGAGAGGAUGAUGCGAUAUGGAAGAUAAACUUUUUGUCACGUUUGAACUUUAAAGGUGUGGCAAUGGCCAAGCCACAUAGCUUUGCCAAAAUGUACUCCACAGUACACAAAAAAAAAAAAAAAAAAAGGGCAUCUGAUUGAGACUAAAUUCUAUUUCAUACACCUUCAAAAGUGAUUUUUGAGAAAUUACAACACCAGCUCUCACACAAAGCUACAUAAAAACCUGCUGUAAAAGAAUUUAGCUAUGGUGAAUUGCAUUCUAACAUCUGUAGGAAAAACGGAUGUUAGGUUCACCAAAUAAAAUAAAAAGAAAAGAAAUCCUUGGCAAUCAAAAAGGCCAAUUCACAAAGCACGACAGAUUCUUAUUCUCAUAAAAGAAGCGAGAUAAAAAGGUUCAUCACAAGCUAAAAUUAAAAAUAUGACAUGCAUUAUCUUCGAGAAUGCGUAAUAAAGCUACCAUCAAUUUCUUAUAAAGGCACAUGAAUUAGGUUCACUUUGUUACUUGUUUAUCGUGAAUAAAAUUCUAUCUGCAGUAAAUUUUUCAAAGAUCAUUACUGUUUGCAUUUAAUAUUUAUAAAUAAUAUUGCGAUCACAUGUUUAGACUACCAAGUUGGUGUGUCUGGCUUAACUAUACCUAUACAAUGUAAUUCUCCUUUUGAUAAAUAACAUUGUUGCCCUAACAAUGAAAUACUAGGAGUGCAACAAAUUCAGAUUUUUUUUUUUUUCACUUCUUUUCAGCUUUUCUUUGAUGGCAAGGAAGAGCUCCAAAAUUAGAAUGAAGGGAAAAACCUGUUAAGGUUCCAAGGUCGUGUAUAGAACUCCUCACUCCUGGUGUCUUGACUAAAAUAUCUGAACCUCUCCCACCAGUACCUGCCACUGUCUCGGUGGGUUGUGAUGUGCGCCAAACUGUGAGUGCAGUACAAGAAACAAGCAACUAAAAUUACCACUGUUGCUGGAGAGGAGAAGAUCACUUGCAUUAUGUCGUUGAACUGAAGAAAUCAGAACUUCAUCAAAAUACAAAUCUCUUAAUAAACUUAUUGAACAACGAUUAUGCUAUAAGAUCAGAUGCAAUUCAAACGAAGAAAUCAGAACUUCAUCAAAAUACAAAUCUCUUAAUAAACUUAUUGAACAACGAUUAUGCUAUAAGAUCAGAUGCAAUUCAAACGAAGAAAUCAGAACUUCAUCAAAAUACAAAUCUCUUAAUAAAUUUAUUGAACAACGAUUAUGCUAUAAGAUCAGAUGCAAUUCAAACGAAGAAAUCAGAACUUCAUCAAAAUACAAAUCUCUUAAUAAAUUUAUUGAACAACGAUUAUGCUAUAAGAUCAGAUGCAAUUCAAACAUACGUAACCAGGUGGCACCGGUGUGGACAGGGCCACAACCAGAAACCAAAAGGUAGUCCUUGAAGUACUGUGGCACAGGAAGGCCCAAGAAGAGAGAAAAGCCAAGGAUGAACUUCGUUCUGAAGCUAUUGAGUUGCAGAACUGGAGAAAUCCCAGACCAGCAGAAGCUGCUUCUCCCACAAACAUAUCAGAGUCAAAAGUCGAUUAAAAUGGUUUCCUUGAAGGGAAGUUGACAGUAGAACAAUGGAGCAUAACUAAGAGCUAUUACAAAACAAAUUGAUCCCUAUUGAUCUUUAUAUACCACGUUCAAAAACAAGUAUAGAAUACAUAGAUUCUUGUUUGAUCUUUAUUUUCCAUGUGAAAGUUCUUACUAAGUCAACCCUUCCUCUUUGCACUACGAAGAUACCACCCUGUUUUGGCUCCAACCAGUGAGUUAUUAUGUGAGCUUGAAAAAAAGUGACAGCAUGUAUCAAUCUUCCUAACCAACAGACAGAAAGAUGAAAAAUCUCAUAGAAACUAAAUUCAUUUUCUCCUGUCGCUCACUAUUUCAUUUACCACAGCAAUUCCUAUAUGUUUAGUUUAUGAAGUUGAGUCUUGAAUUAGGAAUGCCAUAUGGUUUCUAGUAGAAACUUUCUACAAAAACAACUACAGUAUAGAGGUAUACACUGACUAGUAAGAACAGAGGGCCUCACUACCUAUUGUGGUGACUAUGGACUUUUCUCUAGCAUCUUCUUGUAAUCAGCUGGCAGUAACAUGUGUUAGUAACGUUAAUUCACGUACAAAACUUUAACUGAGUUAUGUGACUUCCAGUAGUCUUUAGUGUUUUAAUCUUCAUCGAUAACAUUUCUAUUGUAGAAUCAGGCAAACUGUCCCACUGAACAACAUUUUGCUCUUGGUAAAAUUGAUUGAUAAUUUAGAUCCAGCCAUAAAAAACAUAGAAAAGUAAUACAUACCCGCAUAGGCAAAGAUGACACAGUAAAGAGCUGCCACAAUUGGCAAUGGUAUAGGAAGCAAGAACAGUCCUGAAUCUUCCUGUUAAAGAUAAGUUGCAACAGUGUAAGAACAAUUACUGAGUGAAGAAUGCAAUGAUGGUGCCAGAUUUCUAUUCGCAAAAUUGAUAAAGACUUCAAGUUGAAAUGAUAGGAAAAAGAUAAGGAGCCUUUUUAAAAGGACAGUGGUCAAUAAUCAUGACAGGACAAAAAGAGAAUCUAAAACAAAACAUUGAUUGCCAUGAGAAAUGAAAUUCAAUUCAUUCAUUAAAAAGAUAAUAAAUAAAAAGAAAAUAAAAGAUUGCAAUGUGGAAUACUGCACUUAACACAGAAAAGAAAAGCAUGAAGCCCGCUGAUAUUUGAACAACUCUCCGACUUCCAACUCGUGUUAAUCCCAAAAGACCUGCAUUUCACUGUAAGCAUAACAGAGCAAAAUUAGAUUACUGAAUUGGUAGGAGAGGAUACUAGCAUUAGGACAUCCAUCAAUUCAUCACACCCAACAACAAUGAUAUUUUACAAGAUCGCAAUGUGGAAUACUGCAUAAAUAGAGCAUCUUAAACAAGCAACAUAAUAGUUUGCAAAUCAACAUAUGGAUUGUAAAAUCAAGAUCCUUAGCUCUAAUUUAUCCAACCAAUGUCAGCUUUCCUUAAAGUUUUUCUCUGAUAGUACCUAACAACAAAUUUUACAACAGCAACCAUGGAAUUCUACCAUAUGGGUCGUAUACCUGAAAGUAGGUUAAGCAUUUUGCUUAUAGAUUAUGAAUAUGGUAAACUGUAGUCAAAUGAGGGUCAGAUUAUCAUCACAUUCUCAUUGAACAAUCCACCCUUCAACAAAAGCAAAAAACAAAACAACUUCAAAAAGUUUAUUUUUCUUUUACACUGAAGCAGUGGAUCCAUUUCCGGGGUAUUAGUUAAGUUAGAAAAGAGUUUUGUGUCCAGAAACAACAGAUAGAACGUAAAAGGUCUGAAAAAAUAUAUAACGAGACACCAAUUGGUUAUGUCCUACCAGCCAUCCAAUACCACGGCUGAGUACAGAAGGAGGCAGAGGAGUGGCACUCCCAUAUCUUGAUACCGCAAUAAUUGUACCAGUAGACUGCAGAAAAGUAAAAUAACAUUAACAGCAUUGACAGCAUUGAUUAAAUAAGUGGAGUGCUCGUUAGGGAACUUUCAACAAAAAGAAUUAUAAAAGAACAGGAGAUGAGGACUCAGAAUUCAAGCAAUUCAUGAUAGGGUUCAACUAUUCAUCGACAUAUAAAUUCUCGCAAAAGAAAGUUUAUUAAUCCAUCUUCUAUCUGACAAUAUUCAUACACCAAGCAUUAAAGUUAUUUAAAGAACAAGCAUCCACAAAUAUGAUUUGGAACUGGUGAAAUCCUCACUAUCAGUGAACUUAAAUUAGGAAAACCAUUGUAUUUGGCAUCUAUAAAAGGAAUUCAGUAGAGAAUUAUCUUGAUAAAUUGUACCUCAACUAUAGCAACCAAGAAGCAGCCAUCAUCACAAAAACAUCGCCAGCAUCAAAAGUGGGACGUCCCCAUUGAAAUGGAUAUGGAACCUUUAUCCUGAAUAUUAAUAAUUCAUCCUGUGAAUUUAUAUGUUACAUAAAAAAGGGAUUAAAUGAUUCAAGGUUUCUAUAGUAGAUCAAAGCUCACCAAGGAGCAGCACUAAUGAGCCCAGCACAAUCAACACGACAGCUAAGUUGUAUGUCUGGAUGCUUAUUAUUAUAUGCACCAGCCACAGCCAAAACUGCUGGCAUAUGCCCAUACAACUGCAGCAGCAAACCGACUGCAUAUGGUGCUCCUUGAUUUCAUCAUGUGAGGAACAAACUGCAAUAUUGUUUAUUGUGUAAGAAAAGAAAAAAGAAACUCAACGAUAUUAGGUAAAAUUAUUCAAAAACUUGAAAAACCAAAAGCAGAAAAGAAUAAUAAUAAAGAAAAGGUAACUCUCUCUAACUUGUAUUCAGUUAGAGCACAUAAUUGCGUGGAAAAAAAGUCCUUGCAUUCUCAAAUUUAAUAUACAAGUUCAGGAUAUCCAAGGUACACCAUCUAAAGAAGAGCAAAUAGUGAGGACACAAGGCCAUAGCCUGGGAACCAGAAACCAACCCUGCUCCUUUAUUUACCUACUAAAACACUUGGCUACUGAAUUAUUUUUGUAGUCCACCCUCAAUUUCUGUUAAUAAGCCAAUUGUAGUAGAUGAAGAAACCAAAUUUAUUGAAAGAGACGAUGCCUCUUGCUAAUGAUCUCUUCUGCCAACUAGGAAUAUGAACAUAAAUAUCAAUUAAGAUCCUAGAGAGGCUCUGAUCUUACAAAUACGUUUUCAAUUAAAAAAAAACAGUGAAAUGUUUUACUCAACGAUACAAGAAAAUAGUUGAGGAUGUUGAUCACCUGAGAUAUGAAGACCACGAUAAGGAGUGCCGGGAUUCCAAUUACAACACAUUUUUCCAGCUACAAGCAUCAACAAAGAGAAGCAUAUUAAACAAAACUCGAUACCCAAAUGGAAGAAAAAGCAGCACUAACACAUGUAGUAUCAUUGACAGCUGUUCCAUCUAUAACAUCACUAGCUUAAUAGAUCAAGCCUACUAGACUGUGCAAAGCUUAAACGGCCAUCUAUUCAAACUAAAUUAUCUUGAGGCAACCAACUGAAGACAUGAAACACCAGUUUUUCUAUGGGCCUGCUAUACCUCUCCAGUUGGCAAUUGUAGGAACAGAGGCAAGAAUGGUCAGAGAAGCUAUUGGGAAAUGCACAAAGGAAGAAAGACGUUUAAAACAUGAAUAAGGAAGUUGUUAUCCAAAAAAGAUCAGAGGUAUGAACUCAGGGAAGAAAGACAAAAAUAUCCUGCUUCCAAUGAAGUUUUCCCUUAAUUAUUAAGAAAUCACGCAAAUAUGACGACCAACAAGUUUUGCUUCUCUGAAAACAUAAUGAGCUUUGCAUAUUAUUUUGAAGCACAUGCAUCUCCAAUGGAAAAGGUUUAGAGCUUGAGAUUUUAAUUAUCACCGUAUGCAUUUCCCCAGCAAAACUAGUAGAAUUGGGUGUUUGGCAUUCUUACUCGUGGGAAUUCAUGUGCAUAGAGCCCAAGUCCGGUAAGAAUCAAGAGAGGUAUUACAGCAAUAGGGCUGAGAAAUCUGCAUCACGGAACAUGAAGAUCAAGCUUCCUUAAGCAAGUGAAUGGUGCAUUAAGUCAUCCCAAAUACACUUACAUAAUAUCGCAGCCUCAUACCUUGCAAAGAGUCUCCAGAAUCCAAAGAAACCAAUGCUCCUUGUACAGCUUACAUGGAUAGCUCAAACCUUAAAAAAAAACAACCACAAAUGUGAUAGAAAUAUGAUAGUCAAUUCUAACUCCUUGACUUUCCUCGUGCACUUUCCAAAAAUAACGGGUAAUUUUAAGCGUUUCCUUGCAUAUUCUCCAAGAAACAAACACGGGCCUAGAAUUUGAGAAUGGCAUUUACAAAGUGAGGGAGGGAACUAAACUUAACCUGACGUGGAGUAAGAAAUAUGACAUUAGUGCUAUUGUUAGUAGAUAAAGAAAUGGUUAUUGUGGGGAUGCUAAAAGCAUAGGGUCCUCCAAUGACCACAGGAAGCCGAGUGCCGAACCAUGUCUGCAAUAGAGUGUUUAUACCCGCAACAAAGAGCAGCGUGUUAAUCAUCUCAGCCUUCUCCACCUACAAAAAUAGAAAUAUCCAGCUAGAAGGAAAUUAUAGAAACACAAACUUGAAAUCCAAAUCAAAAUCUGUUAAUCACAUAUAUGGUUUUUACAUUGCCACGGCUAAUCGAAAGAACGAAUAUGGAAGGAAUGAUCACAGUAGUGCCGAGCAUCACUAGGUAAUGCUGAAAACCUAGUAGUAUUGCUUUAGCUGCAUUCAAUCGAACAAGUUUUUAGAAAAAUUGAUUUACUGCACUAAAAUUUAGUAUUGGCUAUACCAUAAUCACAAUCAAGUACAGAACUUUAAAUCAAUGUAAGUAUUUAAAUCUUAAUUUUGUCAGGUGGGGGGGGGGGUUUCAUCAAUGGUGAAGUCAAGAGAAUGUGGUAAUCAAGAGCAAAAACAGGCAUGAAAACGAAGAGUAGUCGAAGGAAGAAAAGGAAGGAGAAGACAAUCAGAGUUUCCAUAAUGCAAUGCAUUCAAACUUAAAAACAAAGCAAAGGAGUAAUUAUUACGCCAAGAAGGAGAGCUGGAGACACAGGAAUCAACGCCAGGGAGCUGGUCUUUGACAGGAAAUGGGGCGAACACACCAACUUUAGCAGCGCCUCCAACUGCCAUUGUUUCUCUCUCUGUUUUCCUUUAUGUUAAAUGGCAGAAACAAGCAACAGGGAAGAGAAUUGUAGGCAGUAUUAGAGGAGUCAGUUAGGCAGCCAUUGAUCUGACUCAAUGCAUUAACUCUUUUUUUUUUCUUACAUAUAUCCUUUCGUUUUAGUUUCUAGGAUUUUUGCUUGUUGGAAUUUGAGAGAUUUUAUUCUUGUAUAAAAGGAAAGCUAUAAACUGCAGCAGAUUGACAGUGACUGGCAUCUACUGUCUGCCUGUUAAGAAAAUGACAGUUUUACCUCUUGUGGGACAGAAAUGAAUAUACUGUUUUAAGGUUUGUUAAUGGCGGAUGGGUGGCCAAAUUAAAUCCAGGUUUUUUAAUCCGGUCCGGUAAUUAUCCGAGUUAUCCAGAUUAAUCUCAAUUUUUUUAUAAAUUAAAAUGUUAUUAUUUUAAUUAAAAAAAUAAAUAGUCAAUAAUUUAUAACUAUAUUUUUUAUUAGAUCUUGUCGGAUAAACUGGGUCAACCAGCCGAGUAACUAGCUAGAUCAUUCGGGCUUUUAACUUCCUUUAUUUUUUUUAAACUCUACCCGAUUUUUAUUUUGGGUUCCAGAUUGGUCUACUAGGCCAGAUUUUAAAACUAUGAUUAAAUUUAUGAUGAGUUUUUUAUUCUUGUUUUUUUUUUUCAAAACUUAAAAUUUACUCUGGCAUAAAAAUAUUUGAAAAUAAUAUUUUUUUUAUUUUUAAGAUUCAAUUUUGAUAUUAAUAUAUUAAAAUAUAUUAAUCAUUUUAUAAAAUAAAUUUAUUUUUUAAUUUAAAUUAAUAUUUUUAAAUUAUUUAGAUAUGUUGAUAUCAAAAAUAACUUUUUAAAAAAAAAAUAUAUAUUAUUUUGAUAUAUUUUUAAUUAAAAAUAUUUUAAAAAAUAACUCAGGAAUGAAAUCCCUAAAGUUUUUUAAAAAAUUCAUUAUAAAUUUGUUCCUGGAUGAAUACGAUACAAAAGUUUGCCAAUCUAAUGACUUGUUAUAAGAAACUCUAAAAUUAUUGGGAUUAUUACUAAACAUGGUAAACCAAGAAACAAUUAAGUGUCGGAUUACACAGUUGCUUUUCACGGCUUUUGAUUGUUGCUUUGCUUUUCCUUUAUGGUACUUAUUAUACAUUAUAUUAUAUUAUAUCAUAUACACACACCUUAUAUUAAAAUACAAGGGAAAAACACUGUGUAUUUAUUAUGAACACAGACUCAUUGCAUUGUGAAUGGCACUAUAAAUAAAGUAUUUACUGUGAAUGUAGAGUCUAUAAGAGGCAUUAUCUUUUAUUUGUAAAUCAAAAAGGAUUGUUGGGUCGUUGUAGCAAGACCCAAUAGCGUUGGGUCUUGCCCCCAGUAGGACUCAAGAUUUUAAUAUAUAUUUUUUAAUAGUAAAGAGAAAAUGAAUAGAUAAAAUUUGUUUUUUUUUUAUUUGAGGUUGGGUUGAAUUUUCUUAUUGAAGCAUGUUUGUUUUUUCCUUUAAAAAAUGCUAUUAAAAUUUUUAAAAAAUUUUUUUUUUCUUAACUUCAAAUCAAGAUUUUUAUUUAUAUUUACUCUUGAAUUUUUUUUUCAAAAUAAAAGGUUUCAAAAAAUUUAUAAUUCUAAUAUUGUCUAUUAAAGUUGAUGGAACUCUAAAAAUUUAUUUUAUUCACAUAAUAUACUUUAUAUAUUUGUAUUAUAUAAAAGAAUUUUUUAACAAUAAAAUACAUUAAAAAACAAUUCAUAAAUACUAUAAUAUAAUAUUAUUUUGGGCCAAUGUUGCUGGGUCAUUUUGCCAAACAUGACCUCAUGAUUUUGGGCCCUAUUGCCCAACAACUCCUUCUACCAAGCAUGAUCCAUUGAUGCUGGGUUCAGAUGAGUACCUAGUUGUUGGGUCAUUCUGUCAAGCAUGAUCCUAUGAUACUAGGUCUUGUUGUUCAGUAAUGCUGGGCCCAUAUGGAUAUCCAAUUGUUGGGUCCUUCUGCCAAGACCCAAUUUUAUUGGGUCUGGCUCUGCCGUCAAACCCAAUAAUGACGGGUCUAGGUGCCCAGCAGCAAUGGGGCCAACUGUAGCAUGACCCAUUAAAGUUGGGCUCUGCUUCCACCAGGACCCAGCAACGGUUGGUCCAACUACAAGCAAAACCCACGACUGUUGGGUAUUGUUGACAGCAAAACCUAGUAGCGGUGGGCUUAAAGCUGCGAGCAGGUCCCAUUAAAAUUUGGCUUUGCUACCACUAGGACUCACUGUUGCUGGGUAUUGCUAACAGCAGAAACUGGUAGUGGUGGACCUAGAGUUGCAAGCAGAACCCACCAUCAGAACCCAGUAACAUUGGCUGGGUCUGUUUCAUUCGAAAUUCAGGAUUGCAAUUGGGUUGGAGGAAAUAAGUCGACCUGUCGGGUCAACUUGGAAUUCUAGCAAAAAAAGUUGAAUUUUUUUUUUAAAAAUUCUUAACCCCUGUAGAGAAAAAUUUGCCAUUUAGGGAUUGUUUUUCCUAUUUAAUCAAGGUAGGGAAAGUAUAAAUGGAAAACAAGGUUGGCAAAAGUAUCCUCAAACCUAAGUUGUCUAACUCCUAGAAAAACAUCAUGGGCAAAAGUCCUAACAAUUAAAGAGGUCUUUACAACUAAAAUCGAGGGUGAAGGCAUUGACAGUGCCACAUGAGAGUUCUUAUAGAGGUUACAAUGUUAAACUCUAUAAGGGUGGAUACCAUUUCUCUUAAAACAGGCAGCAACACCCACAAUCACUUCAAAAGGGUCAGCUCCAGCUGAUCCUCAACCAGAGGAGUGGUGACUCUCUUCAUUUCCAUGAUAGUAAUGGCUCCAGCCAUUGUUUUCCGAUGGAUAGUUUUCUUAGGAAAAGAAAGCUCAUUUAUGUUGAUGAGAUCAUUUUUCAUCUCUACUUCGAUCCUAAAUCCACUUAAUUUAAGAGAUGAAGAUCCCCUUCAUGAUAUAAACAAACUCUCAUUCGCAGACCUUACUAAAAUAUUUCAUUUUCCUUUGGUUAGUAACCCUACAUAAAACCAAGAUAAAAAAUGAAUAUUUUGAAGCACACAAACAAGAGAUAAACAAGUUGCUUACUUUGCAAUAAGGCAUGGUAAUUCCUUUUGGUCAUCUUUUUAAUAUCGUGCUCGGUUGAGGUUGAGGCCAACAUAGUACAUGUUUUUUCAUCAUUCGAGCUCAAACAAGGCCUAUUGUUCACUUUAAAGGGGGUACUCUUAAAUAGUGGGCUCAACCCUAGAUUUCUUGCAUCUUAUCUCUAGGGUUGACCGUCCCAUUAUAUAUCAUUGUCAUCCACGUCCUUUUCCACUUCUUGACAAGUUCAGGCUUGCUCUAUAAGGUCCCUUUAAUGGAUCUAGUGAGUUUGUUUGUAAAGGUUAAACACUAGCACAUAUCUAUAUGUGCUAUUAGUACCAAAACCAAGUGAUAACAGAUCCUAAAGAUAUUUAUGGUAGGCUUGAUUCCAAAGAGCUUAAGAAACUUGUCAAAAGCAGAUAAGAUUAUCUAUAUGUUGGGAUACAGUUGGCCUAGACCCAAUAAAUAAUACCAAAAAACUUCUCUCACAAACCCUUGGAGAGGAAAGUUAUUCCCCAACUUGUACAUUUUAUAUUAGGGCAAUAAUUUCAAAGUGGCCCUGUAUGGAGGCCAAGUUCAUUUGUAUAAUUCUUUCAUCCCUGAAAGGCAAUUAAGCCAUGUAAUAUUUUGGCUACUAAUCAUUUACAAAGGCUACCUUAUUUAUGUUUAUAGUGCUAGGUGCAUCAUUCUUAAGGGCUUGAGACAACCUUUUUCUCCCUAAGUGUCCUCUGAAAGUAACAAGGGAAGGACUUCUUCGUUGUUAAGAACUACUUUCCCCUAUUUUCAGAGGUGGACGUUGAAGUUUCACCCUUUUUAGUUUUAGAGCCCAGUCUAAUGGACCCUUGUCCCCUAUUGCUUCCUCUAAUUUCUAGUUGGAACCUGAACUCAUCACUAGAGGAAGCAACAUCCAUCCAUACUUUUAAGGUCAAAUAUAACUAUUUUAGAGUUCAUUUUUUUACAUAUAAAAAGAAAGAAGAGAGAAAUUUUAGGGGUGAGCAAUACCUAGAAUGAUAAUUUUUUCUUAACAAACAGUGCAAGUUUUGCUUAAGGCUUUUUCAAUAAUUUGUUUUUACAGAGAAAUUACAAAGUGUGAAAGUAAAUGAAAAAUGAAAGCGAGAGUGGUCAGGGUUGUUAUAACCCAAUUUUGGUCUAUUGACUUUUAAUUUAAUUUUAUGAAAAUUAAAAGAUCAGGGAUUUAUUUUAAUCAAAAUUAUGAUUUGUCAACUUGUGGAAAAACUAGGGACCACAAUGUGUUUUUGUUAUUUUCUCCUUAUCAUUAAGAUAAUGGUAGUUAUCCCUUUUCAAAUUUGAUUCUUAAUUAAAUUCAAAUUUCAAAGAAGAGGAUGAAUUUGUUUAAAACUUAAUUUUCCAUAUGCAGUGGGACUCCUGUACUAUAAAUAUUGGGGGGACAUUACAAAAAAGCAGAAUAAAGCAAAUUAUGCGGAAAAAACCUAGAACAUCAUUAUGUGCAACCACCCCAUAAAAAAAUCAAAAGAAAAAAAGCUUGGUGUUUCCUUCCAGUCAUCGCCCCUCACCCCCAUCCUUCAAGAUUGGGUCACACGUAUGUUUUUUUUUCUUUUGGUUGCCAGAAAACACCCUUGUUUUCUACUCCCCCACAUAAUACGCAAUUGACAAAACUCAACCAACAAAAGCAUUGUCUCUGUCCUUGAAUAAUUCAUGCAUGCAUGCAACAGUAACAAUGUAAUUAAUUUAUCAAAAUAAGGAAAGAAGAAGAACUUACCCGGGCACGGCUAUUGCUGGAGGUAAGGCUGAGGGAGACGGUCAGGUGUUGCUUAUGGUUGUCAAUCUAACAUGUUGUUCAAGGUGGGGACGGGGUGCUGGCGCGAAAAAGAUCUUCCAAAUGUUGCUUCAAUGAAGGCUAGCAGAAUAUUCGGCUGUCAUGUUGUUGUUGCUAUUUAGUGCUCUUGGAGGAAGGAUAUGAUUGCUGCUACUAUUGCAUUAUGAUAUUGGUGUUGCUUAAAGUGUUGGACCAAAAAGAAGAGGUUGUUGCUGUAGUUGAGUUCUGAGGAAAGCUCUUCACUGUUUCGAAACUGCUUGUGGUUGUAGCUAUAAGGUCUUCAAGUGUUGCUUCUCCAUUGUUGUUGGUUGUCGGUUGAGGAAGAAGGAGAGUUACUAAUAGGGGAAGGAGAUGAUGUGUGGUUGGUUCGAGGGAUCGACCACAGAAAAGAAAGUGAGGAGCAAUUUGUGCGUGUUUCUUUUGAUUUCCCCACAGUUGAGAGUUAAUGGGGGGAAGCUUGUGACACGACCAAAAGAUUGAUGUCUUCUCCCAAAUGCAGGAGUGUCGAAGUAAUAAAUAACCCGGCAAGACCAGGGUCGAACCACAGAGAGGUUAAUUGUACAAAUUAUAAAUAACAAUAAUACAACAACAACAACAAUAAUAAUAACAACAAUAAUAACAACAACAAUAAUAAUAAUAAUAAUAAUAAUAAUAAUAAUACUCAGUACGUGGCGUUGUUAUACCUGAGAAUGAUCUAAAAGAUCGGGUCACAGGUUUCCAGCCUAUAUACUGAGUUUAUGAAAAGAUGAAAGAGAUAUAUUAUAUAUUAUAAACAUAAUGUAAAUAAUAAUAAUAAUAAUAAUAAUAAUAACAAUAAAAAGAGGAGGAAAAAAUUAAUGAGAACUUUGAGAUGGAAGAUUAAUGUAAGGAUUAAACAAUGAUAAAAAUAAAUGUCAAGGUUAGAGGAUCCACCAAUGGUACUUCAAACAAGUAUAGUAUAAACUGUUAUUAUUCAACCGGAAACCACAUACAAAGGAGGUUCCAAUUGGCCGAUUUGUCAUUAAUAGCUCAUUAUAAAUUAUUAACAAGAUCAUAUUAAUUAUCUCAUUUACAUAACACCAAACUUUUAAAUAUUAUCAGGAAUUCAUGAUGUUAAUUGAUGUUAACAACAAAUCAAGUACCUUUCAUAGCCCAGGUGUAGGUAAUACCAUACGGUUGGGCUAUGAGAGUGCCAAGCAUUUGUUGUACCAAGUAUUAUACAACACAAAUCUAGAUUAACCAUUUAACAAGCAAGGUAUUAAGAAUUAGUAAGAUAAAAAGAUAAGACAUGUUAAUAUUAAACAUUAAGGUCCAUGUUGAGUUUACACCAUACUUGUUCUUACACCAUUAGUGUAACCUUUUCACCUUGACAUAAUAAACUUAGCUAAACAUAAUAAAGAAGAAAAACAUAAAUAAACAAAACAAGAACAUAAAUAAAAUACAAGUUAACUAAGGAAAGGAAAGGAAAUGAAAAGCAUAAACAAGAAAUUAAUGAAAGCAAAACUUAAGAAUUACAAAAAAUAUAAAGAGAGAAAUAAAGAGCAUGAACUUGAUCUGAACAACCAAGCCCCUAAAUACAUGGCAAAUGCCUCCUUUAUAGGCCAAAAUUCGAAAUUAUUGAUUUGAUGACUAAUUGUUGAGUGGGUGGCCAACUUUUGACUUGGUGAAAAUCCUUAUCUUCUUGUCUUAAGAAAACAAAAAUGCUAGCAUCAGAACUGUGUCCAGAUGUCCAAAUGAAAGUUCAAGGAAAUUCUCUUAGCUUUCCAGAAAAAAAAAGAAAAAGAUGAGGUCAUUUGGACUUCUAGAACUCAAGAUAUGGGCUGAACACUGAACAGUAUCUAGGCUGCAGGACAGAUUCGGACUUCUCCGUUGUUGCUAUAAUUUGGACUUGAAAACGGCCUUCUUAGAUCUUGAUAUCCAAAUGAAAGUUGUAGGCCUAUGUCUUAAUGAAUUUGUGUAAAAACUUGAGGUCAUUUGGAUAUCUAGAACUCGAGAUAUGACCCAAUUACUGAACAGUGUUCUAGUUUGGACUGCACCAACAUCUCUUUUCCAAGUUUCACCCUCUCUUUAUCUUCACAAAUUUUAGUAGUUGAAUUCAUCAAUCAAUACUUUGAUUUAUGUGAUAGCCCUGCAUUUAAGAUGAACAUUUACCAUAUUGUCGCACCCCAAAAAAAUUAAAUAAUUACAGGUUCGACUGUCGAAUUUUUUUUUAUUUGAUUUGGUUCUUUGGAGUCGCCACCUAGUAUUUUGGUCACUAGGAACCCUAACUGGUCUCAGAGAUCGGGUAUGGGGACUGGUUGUGUAAAGGGAAGGUAUUAGCACCCCAAAUACGCCCUACCUAAGGUAAGCUGCAUUGUUUUAUUGUCUGAUAAAAAAACUAAAGUGUUAUUGUACUUUUAGUUGUUGGUCUGUCUAUGGUUCAAGAAAAAUCCUCCUCGGUAAGAAGGUCUUUAUCUUAACGGGUAAAAUCUUAACCGUUCUAACGUCUAUACCAAAAUUUUAUUAAUAAUAUUUAGGAAUACGUUUUACGUAUAAAUUCGUAAUCCUAAAUACUAAAAGAAAAUAAAAAGAUUUUUUAGAAUUUUUGAAAUAUUGGCCUAGUUCUCAUGGCUUGAAUAAACUAGUUAUUAAAGCCAAAAUGCAUGCUAAUAUAUAUAUUAUUUUGAAAAUUUCCUUUGUUGUGUAAAAAUACAAUGUUAUAAUAUUUAUAUAUAUAUAUAUAUUGGAGAGACUAGGCCGUAUUUUAAAACAAAAACAAUUUUUUGGAAUUAUUUUUUUUUUAUGCUUUGAUGAAAAUCGGGUAUUUUAAUACUGGGUUUGUAUCCUUACGGUAUAAAAAUACAACCCAAUAUUAAUCCACCUUAAUAAAAAAAUACAGGAAAGAUCAACAAUAUUUUUAAAGAACUUUUGGAAUUUUUUGAAAGUAAAAACAUUUUUUAUUUUGAAAAUCUUUGAUGUUUUGACGAAAACUAGGUAUUUUAAUACUGGAUUUGUAUCUUUACGGUAUAAAAAUACAAACCAAUAUUAAGCCAUUUUUGACAAAAAUAUGGAAAAUCAACAAUAUUUUCAAGAAUUUUUAGAAUAUUUUUUUUAUACAUUUUUUAAAUAUACAUACAUAUAAUAUAAUAUAUAUAAUAUAUAAUAUAAUAUAUCAUGUGGGCUGGGCCGGCCCAACCGAAUGGGCCAGACUCAGCCCAGCGGGAAUCUGGGCCAAUCCGGCCCAGAUGGGGUUGGGCCGAUCUCGGCCCACCUGUCCAUCCUGCUGCAUUUCGUUUGGGCCAGACCCGGCCCAGACCUAAAUCCGGGCCAGAACCGGUCUGGCUUGCGGGAGAAAAAAAAGAAAGUGGGGAGGGGAAUUAUUUUCCCGUCCCAUCCCUGCAUGCAGAUAUUUCGUUUUGCAUGCAAGGGGACAGCUCACUGCAGGGAAGGAAGAAUUACCUGGCGUUGAGGAGGUGAACGUUGGCGGUGCUGCGGUGGCGCUGCGGUGUCGUGGCUUCGCGGACGGCGGCGCUGUGGCUGUUCCUAAGCGGCGGAGAGAAAAGAUUUUCUUCCUCUUCCCCUCUUCUUUUUCAUUUUCGGUAUUACUCUCUUUUCCUUCCUUUCUCUUUGUUUUCUGUUUUCUUUUCUUUUGUUUUCGGUUUAUUCCUUUCUCUUUUCCCUCUCUCUUGUUUGUCCUCUCUCUUCUCCUCUCUCUCUCCUCCCUUCGGUUCUCUUUUUUUUUUUUUUUCGGUCCUCUUCUUUAUUUAUAGGGGCAGAAUCGGUGCGCCUUUUGCUAGUGCGGGAGCAAAUCACGCAACGGCUGGUCGGCCAUUGACUCGUUCGGUGGUGGUGGGGGCGAGGAGAGAGAGGCGGGGAGGUUUGAAAAUGGUUUUCUUCUUCUGUUGCAGGUUCGGGGGGGAAAGAAGAAGAGGAACAGUGUUGUUCAAAACGACACCGUUCCGGUCUCUUCUUUUUUUGUUUUCCUUUUUUUUUUAACAUGAAACGGCGUCGUUUUGGACAAAACGCGCCGUUUCAUUAAAACAGGGCGCCAACACGCGCCAAACUUCAAAUCAGCCCUCAAUCAUCUUUAAUUCAUUUCAAUUGCAUCCCUGCCAAUUUCGGUCCCCGCCCCCAUAGUUGGCCGAGUUUUUCACUUUGGUCCUUGGCCUCUGAUUUAUGCAAUUUAGCCAUUAAUUGAUUAAUAAACUUUUAAUUUCUUCAAUUAGGCCCCUGAACCGAAUAAUUACAGCCCUCCAUUUACGCGCCUCUUCCAAUUUGGUCCUUGGUUUCGGAUUUUCUUAAUUAAGUCCCUAAUUGGCCAUUAAACUUCAAUAUUUAUGCAAUUAAGCCCCUGAUUUGACCCAAUAAAUUCCUAAAAAAUAUAUUUUGGCCCCAGAACUUAAAUUUCUUCUAAUUAAAGCCCAAAUUGACUUAAAAAUCAAUUUUUCUUGCAAUCAAAUCCUCUAUAAAUUCAAAUAAAAAUCCAAUUACGUCCAUAAACAUCCAAAUUUGGGCUUUUCUCCUCAAAAUUCAAAUUUUCCUUCUCAACAGGGCUCCCAUCCUUAAAGAAUAUAUUGUCAAAAAUCCAUCUUUGCAUUUUUAUACUCCUUGACCAAUUUUCUGACCAUUUUCUGAGCGCUUAUGUCUUCUAUUAUUUUUCUAACCUUUUUUGGCUAUUUAUUUUAUUUUUAUUUUUGUGGGGACCCGAAAAUGGGUUACAACAUAUAUAUUAGGGUAUUUUAUAGUAUUAGACUUGUUAUUAUAAAACAUGCUUUAGUUAAGGAGUUAUUGAUACUUUAAGUGCAAAAUGAUGAUAUAAAACCUUGAUAAGUAUGCACUUUUAAGUACUAAUCAGCUUGGUCGCUAGUUUCCUUUGCUGGUGGCUGGUAACUGCGAGAGAAAAAAAUGGGUGGAGGGAGGCUUGGUCAUUAGUUUCCUUUGCUGGUGGCCGGUGACUGUGAGAGAAAAAGAUGAGCUCUAGUCUUCUUUUGUGUUUUCCUGAUGAUAAAGGUUUGUAACUUGUAAGGAAAGGGAGAUUUGGUGCUCGUUGGUUAUGGCGAUUUCCAGCUAAGGAAAAAACGGUGAAGAUGAGGGAGAGUGGCGGCACUGUAAAAAAAAAUUAGGUUUUUGUUUUUAUAUAUAUAUUUGUGUGCUCUCUUAGGUUUUUUUAGUAAUGGCCUCUCCAAAAUCUUUGAUUUGUCCUCCUUUUAUAUAUAUAUAUAUAUAUAUGCAUUGAAAUCUGUAUUUAUAAUAUAAAAGUCUCACAACAUAUGGAAAAUAAAAUUCCAAAUAAACUCAUUCUCUUAUUGAAAUUUAAAUUUGAUUAAGAAUCAAAUUUGAAAAAGUAUAACUAUCAUUAUCUUAAUGAUAAGGAGAGAAUGACAAAAGCACAUUGUAGUCUCUAGUUUUUCACAAGUUGACAAAUCACACCUUUAAUUAAAAUCAAUCCCUGAUCUUUUAAUUUCAAAUUUUAACCCCUUUAAAAUUAAAUUAAAAGCAAAUGGGUUAAAAUUGGGUUAUAACAAGGGUUAUAAAGGAAAUAAUUUCUCAUCAUCAUCGUUGAAUGAAUAACCUUUCAUGACACUAUAAAUCUCUAGAAAUCUGCUCCAUUACGACAUUAAAUGCAUCUCGGGCUAUUUACAUUCGGUCCCAAUGCUCUAGGCCAUAGUUGGAGAACAUUGCUAUUUUGUUUCCCAGAAGAUUCUUUUUCAAUAAGGACAAGUUAUUUGGCUACAAGAAUCCCAACAGUCCUACUUCGGAUAACCUAUCUCAUGAAGGAGGUAAAAAGUUUCAUUAAAGAUGACAACCUUUCAAAUCUUUACAUAUUUAAUACAUUUGGGAUAACCUAUCUUUACCUAUCUCAUUAAAGACUUGGGGGAGCUAUUGAUGAAUCAAUAUAUUUUUAAAAUUUAUAUUUUAGCCGAAGUUCAUUUUUAAAAAAGGCCAAAGACAUGGUGAUAAUCUAAGUACACAUAUGGGUCUCGCAAGCUGUUAGGCCUAACAUCAUUGGGCUCAACUAUACGCUAAGCCCAAGUACAUAUGGGUCGAGUAAGCUGUUAGACCCAUCGUUCUUGGAUUCAGAUAUAUAUUAAGCCUAAAUAGGUAUUCACCCAAUGAUCAUUAUAGGUCCCAUGUUGGGCCACGAUGCUUCAUUUGUGUUAUUCUUAUGAAUUUUAACAUAAAAUGUUAAUGUUAAAAAUACUCAUAUUUCUACAUGCAUAGGUGUCUAAAAAUUUUCUAAGGACUUACUAUAUUUUCAUAAACAUUAAUAUUGCGUAAGAAAUAAUUAUAUCUUAUUAAUGUUGUGUAAGAGAUAUUUAUGCCUCAUUAAUACUAUAAGAAGGAAAUGACUAUUUAACUCCUCCAUUCUAGCAACAUGACAAAGUUUAAGGGCUCUAAAUGCUCCUGAACUAUCUAGAUAAAUGGUUUAUAAUCUCUUCUUUCUCAUUAUUUUUAGUAUAUAUAUUUUUCAAAGUUUAUCUAUAAAAAAAAAACCUUUUACAGUUAUCAAUUAUUAAUCACUUUAGCUUCCUAGAUUCCAAAUAGUAACCACUUUAACUAAAAAAUUGAAGUUAAAUUAUUAUAACUAAAAAAUUAACUAAUUAUCUAACUUAUAAGUAUUAUUUAUAAACUACUUAGAUAUUUUAUACAUCAUGAUAAAUAUUUAUGUGAUAGCCAACUAUUACCCUCUGGAAGCAACAACACCGAAGAAGCUACGGAAUGUUAUGAUAAAAAACAAAGAAAAACUCCCUUCCAUUCAGCAAGGAUAUUUCAGUCAUUUAAAAAAUCUUCCUACCGGUUUAGGGUUCGUUAGAUGAUAGCAUCGAUUCGUGGUCAUUAAUUCUCUACUAUUUCAAUACCGUCGCUCUGUUUUCGGAAUCCGAUUUCAAGUAUCAUUUCUGUGAUGCUGUUAAGCGGCGAUUUUCAAUAAGAAUUGAGAAUCUGUGUUCUUUUUCGGGUUUCUUUUGGAGAAUUAUAUUUUUGCUAGACUUCAAUGAUUGCUGUUGGUAAUUUUGGUGAGCAAGUGAAAUUGAAUAAAAAUUGAGCUACAAAAACUUGGUUUGUGUGUGAAUUAUGGAAAUUUGAUAUUUUUUUGUAUAUAUAAUUUUUUUCUGAUCAGAUCAAUAGCAUGCUUGUUCAAUUAGUUAAGAUAUGCAUGGAAAUUCCGUUUCCUAUGCUUUGAGCUUAAAAAAUGUUAGGAGUAACUGUACAUGUCAUGGACGAGGAUUGUUUGAUUUCUAGAAUCAUUUUUUUUUUGCGGGUUUUGAUUGUGUUGUCUGUUGAUGGUUUAAUUUCUCUCUCCUGGUUUUUUUUAUUUAUUUUGCAUUUGCUUAUAUGACGUACUGGUAAUUGAUAGGUGUGUCUGAGGAGUUUAUUUGUUGAUACGCUUGAUGGGUGCACCGAAACAGAAAUGGACAGCAGAAGAAGAAGCAGCGCUAAAAGCUGGAGUUAUUAAGCAUGGAGCUGGAAAAUGGCGCACGAUUCUUAAAGAUCCAGAAUUUAGUGGUGUCUUGUAUCUGCGUUCGAAUGUGGAUCUUAAGGUUAGCUUGCUUAAGCAUUUCUCUUAAAGGAGGGCGUUCAUGUUUGUAGAAUUUGCUGCAAGCUUUAGAUGUUCCGCUAUUUGAUUGAUCAAUUUAGUGAAUUUGUGGGAUCAGAAGUUUGUCUUAUGUUUUUAUGAUGCAAUUCAGGGUCAUAGAUUUGUUUGGUGUUUUGUGUGGGUAGGACAAAUGGAGAAACAUAAGUGUAAUGGUAAAUGGCUAUGGAUCAAGAGAGAAGCCUAAGUUAGCACCUAAGAUGGUGCACCAUGUCCUAAGACAGGAUGAGAACCCUAUGGCUGUUGGUCAAACCGAUGAAGAUAUUUCAGAUGCCAAGCCUCUCGCAGUUAGCAGUGGUGCAUUGCUGGUUGCCAAUCCAAAGAGAACUACUGUAAGGUUGGACAUUUUUUUAUCAGCAAAAAAAGAAAAAGAAAAAAAGAAGAAACCAAGCACUUAUCACUGAAUUCGUGCAUUCUCUUGUAUUCACACGCCACCAAUAGCUAUCAUUCUUGUGUCUCAUUUUAUUAGCUUCUUUUAACUGUUUGUUUAGUGUGUUUGAGACUUCAGAUUUUUUUUUUCCUGUUAUAAUUUCAUUAUCUGACCUUGAAGAAUUUUUAGUGCAUGUGGCCAUUGGAUGGUUAUAUGAAUCACAAUCAGUAACUGUUAGAUAUUAUUCACCUUUUUUAUGACUUUUGAUAAACAGUAGCCAUUGUUGCAGGCUGGAUAAUCUUAUAAUGGAGGCAAUAACUAGCUUGAAGGAGCCUGGGGGCUCACAUAAGACAGCAAUUGCUUCAUACAUAGAGGUACUCUUCCAUUUAUAAAUGCUGUAGUAGAUCCAACUUAAAAGUAGCAUGAGCCUUUAUUAAUGCAACUACUAAUUUAAAGAAUUGGACACAAAAUCUGCAAAUUUAGGUUUUAAAACAGGCAAUACAAAAAUGGCAAAACCACUAUUGCUUCAACAAUUUAGACAGAAGGUUGAGGUGCUUUUUUUUAUUAUUAUUGUUCAAUCAUUUCAGAGUUGAAUUUUGUUCAAAUUUGAUUGAACCACAUGACUGGAUGGUUUUCAGAUAAUUCUCUGUUAUUUAUCUUAUACAGAGAUAAACAAUUAUUGGUUAUUUUAAGAAGGUUCUAUCAUAUUGCUUGUCUGAAGCCAAACAAUAUCAAGGGUCCUACUUUAACUUUUCUGCUUCAAGGAAUUUAUAUAUAUUACUGUUUUAUAAUAAUUUUAGAGCAAUUUACACCAGAUUGCCCUUGCCCGACUUGAUAAUGCAAUAAAAAUAAAUUUAAAACCUACUGCCCUUUUAUAUUGCUAUAACUCAUCACGACUAAUAAUAUGGUGAGCCAAAAAAUUCCAGCCAGGAUGAUAUCCAGGACAGGUGCUAAUAACAAUUUUUUGAGCAAUGUAAUAUUUUUGUUGACAUUUUCUGCUGUUGUCAUUCCCUUUUUAUGGCCAUAUCAUGUUGAAGGAAUCAUUCUGCAGCAAAUAUUGUGUCUUUUAUAUAAUUUCACGUUAAGAAGUUUAUUUUUUUAAUUAGCUUACCUUCCUGUCUUAUUUUUUAGGAACAAUAUUGGCCACCAAAUGACUUUAAGAGGAUAUUAUCAGCGAAAUUGAAGUAUUUGGCAGCUAAUGGUAAACUGAUUAAGGUAAUUAUGUUCCAAGAUUGUGGUGUAAUGGUAACUUAUUCGACACUAGUAAUUGCUAUGCUUGCAAUUAAAUGGCAUAGAAUAUUAAAUGCUGUUAAUUCAAAUGUCUCCUGUAUAAUUUUAUUUGUUACGAGUAAUGCUAUUUUUUGGAUCAGAAUUGAACAUUUAGUGAUGCAUUUAGACACAUGGAUUAUGACCGACUAUUGUUGAUAACCAGCUGGACACAUUAGGUGAUGUUAGAGAUCUAGAGGUUUGCUUUUGUUAGUUGCUAGUUAUUUUUUACGCUCAGUAAUUUCCUGAAGGCUGGGGUAUAAGGAAGUCAGUGAGAGGAUGUGUAUCAUCCACAACAUUAUAUAUUGUCUUUCUUCAAUUAUGUUUUCAUCUCCCAUUAGAAUUCGAGUCUGAAAACGAUUUUAAGCUGAGUUGAAUGUCUAGUUUGGGUAAAUCCUGCUUCAGCUAGAAAAAGAAAUACACUGUCACCAUGUUGGUAUACUUUCUCGUUAAUUGUACUUUGAUUGUCUUAAUGUUGGAUCUCAUCCAGCUGCUUUGUAUUUUUGCAGGUUAAACGGAAGUAUAGAAUUGCACCUACUUCAGUGUUUGCCGAGAGAAGAAGGGUUUCUCCCUUACUAUUGGAAGGAAGACAGAGGAUCUCUCCUAAAAUUGAAAGGGAUGGUUUCAAUAUGUUUACAAUGUCUCAGAUUGAUUUGGAUCUGGGCAGGAUGAGGACUCUGACUGCAGAACAGGCUGCUGAGGUAGCAGCUCGAGCAGUUGCGGAGGCAGAAGCUGCCAUAGCAGUAGCUGAAGAGGCAACAAGGGAGGCCGAGACAGCAGAAGCUGAUGCAGAGGCAGCACAAGCAUUUGCUGAAACAGCUAGGAAGACACUGAAAGGAAGGACCACCCCCAAGAUGGUAGACUUUAUCACUGCAUCUUUUCUGAAUGAUUUGUUUUGAAAUGUUUGAGAAGCCAGCCCUUUAUAAGUGGUUCUGUAACAAAAUAAUUAGCUGAUUUGCUUUUGAAAUUUAAAGUAAAAAAAAAAAUUCACACGUAUUAGUCACUUCCAGAAUUGUUUUUAGAAUUGCUUAUUACUUGACUGCUGGUUUGCAUGUAUCUACUCUGGGCAAUCCAUCAGUGUAAUGAUGCAUUAUUAAUUCUCCGUGCUUCUUUCGCAGCUAAAUGCUUCAGUGCAUCUUUAAGAAUUUACCUUUUUUUUUUUUUUUAUUCUGAAUGAAGUUGCUCUGCAAAUAUGUGCAGACGAUUCGAUCUUGAUGGAAAUCUCUGAAAAGGUCAACGGAGAGCUUGAUGGACACUGAGAUCCACACUAGUCUGCUGACUCUGUUCUCUGUACAUAUUUAAAGGCCCAUUUGGAGGAUCUAUGCUGCUUCGACCUUUACUGGAUCCUGGUGGUUUGUUAGAUUGCAAAGGCAGCUCACUCUGGGGACAAUUUUGAAUCAGAAUUUGUCAAUUUCAUUUCCUCAAUUUCUACUUUUUUGUCAAUAUCUACUACCAGUAGGAUUGUUGAAAAAUACAUAACAGGAGCAUUUACAGUGUAUGAAAAUGAGGCAGUGCGAUUUGGAUCGGGAGAGAUUGUUUUUUACUUUAGUCCUCUCCAUGCUUGUAUUAAAUUGAUCAAUGAUGUGAGUAAAUAACGUAGAUGUUUUUGGCCAUUGUGUUUGAAUUAUUUCACUCAUCAUUUUACACAUUAGACAUUUCUUGUCGUGUGCUUCUUAUCUUGCUGCUUCAAUUGUCCCAGUGCUAAAUUAUUAAAAAAACAAAAAACUAAAAGAGGUGGAGAAAUCACUAUGCCUCAGGGGGUGUAACUGUAAUUGCACAUGAACUAAUCAGUUAUUAUUAUUUUAUUAUAGUCUAGGAUGUCUUUCUCUUUUUAAUGGUACAGUAUAAUGACUGAGAUGUUCUUGAAAUUAAAAAAAUUGCUUUGAUACUGGGGUGAUUUUGUUUUUUUGUUUAGAAAAACUCAUUAAAAUUACUUUGUUGCCUCUUGAAACAAAUAUAUGUUAACUAGGAUAUAAGGGCUCAUUCAUCUUUUGCUUUGAAAAUGAAUAGUAAAUUUGCAAAGUUUUUUAAUCAAUAAAAUUUUAAACUAGGAUUUAAAGGCUUGUUCAUCCUUUUAUUUAGUUUUUUUUUAGAAAUGGAAUCAAGACACGGACAAUUUGGUAUUUUUCAAAAAAUAUUUAAAAAAAAGUUUGUUGGUGUAUUUUGUUCACGCGUCAUUGUGUAAAGCCACUUCACAUGCUUCCAGCGAAGCAUACAGAGGAUUUAGGUGGUGGAAACUGGUCAUCCAUGGUAGUGUUAGAAAGAUCAAUGUGUCCUCUUCCAAAUGAGAUGGUUCAAUAGGCGGUUCGAUUUCGAUGAUGUUUUUUUUUUUUUUUCUCUCUCUCUUUACUUUCAAAAACAUGUCCAAUCAGAAAAUUCACGAUGUCCUCUUAUUUUGUCUUGCUAUUUGACUCAGUCCUCUUGCUUUUGAUUAUAUGAUUUAUGUCUUAGUUUAUUUUGUGAACUUUACAUUUCUUUUCAAUUUCAUCUGUGAUUGAAAUGUUAUUUUUCCUUUUAUUUUGUCUUGGUUUCAUGUUUAAUUCUCUUUCUUUUGAUUUUAGAUUUCUGCUUGAUUUCUUGUCAAAUGUUUGAUUUUAUUUUUUAUUUUUACCCUUGAAUCAAUUAAUGUUAUUUUCCCCUUUAUUUUUCUUUUUAGCAUUUGGUCCUCAUUUUUUUUAUAUUACUAUUUUGUUUUGUUUUGGGCCCUUUUAUUAAAUUCUUUUUUUUUUCAAUCUUAUCUUCUAAUAUUGAAAUAUUAGUUUUCUUUUAUUUUGUUUUGAUUUCAGAUUUGCUCCUCUUUUUAUCAUGGUCCCAAACAAAGACAAGAAGUUUUGUUUUCAUGAGUAAUGGCCUCAUAAUUAAUUGGAGGCAUUUAAUAAAUAAUUCAGUAAGACCAUUAAGUGUCGUGGCGUGCAUGGCGGGUUUGCCUCCCGAGUGUUGGUGAAAGGGGUUUUGGAUUUAAUAAAAAAUUAUGAUUAUAAAGUUCAGGAGUCACCACCUAGUAUUAUGGUUACUAUAAAAUCUAUGAUUUACGAUAAUCCGGGUAAGGGACUAGUUGUGUAAGAGGUAAGUUGCAUUGUUGUUUGAUUAUUAUUAUAAGUCGCAUUUCUGUCAUUUGGUCUUGUCUAAAAUUCAAUGUAGAUCUCCCUUCGUGAAGAAGUUUCUACCUUAUCAUGUUAAAUCUUAACCAUUCUAAAAGCCAAAAUUAUUUAUUUCUUGGAUAUAGUUAAGUCCUAGCAUUCCAAAUAACAAAAUAAUUGUGGGUUUUUUAUAUUUUAGCCAAACCUUAAUGCAUAAUUAUAAAUUGAUUAUAAUAUCAAUUUGCAUUUAAAUUUAUAAAAAUAUGAUUUUAUUUUUAGAAAAUAUGCAUGAAAAACCUUUAGGAUUUGGCCGCACGAAAAUAAUUUUUUUUUUUUGGAAAGAGGAAAUCAAUUUAAUUUUUUUUAAGAAAAAAAUUCGGAAAAAAUCGGGUAUUUUUAAUACCGAAUUUGUAUCUUACAGUAUAAGUCUACAAUCUGAUAUUAUGCAAAAUAGUUGGAAAAACAUGCAAGGGACCCACAAAUAUUUUUGAAAUACCCUUUUGAAAAUUUGAAUUUUUUCUUCUUUUUAAAUAUCUAAAUAUUAUUAUUAUUAUUUUAUUAAAUAUAUGUUGGGUUGGACCAGGCCCAGCCAUCCGGGCUAAGCUGAAACAAGUCUAGCUCGACUCAGUUAGGAUAGGCCGAUUAGUAGCUAACAACCUUUUUUUGUUUAGGAUAGACUUGGCCCAACCAUCUAGGUUGGGCUGCAACAGGUCUAGCCUCGGCCCACAUGGUUGCUAACCUAGCCCAACAACCAUAUUAACUAAUUUGUUGUUGCAUGCAGAAUGAAUUCUGCAUGCAACGGCUACAGUUGGGGUGGAUGAGAAGAAAAAGAAGAACAGGAAGGAGAAGGCUUAACUGACCAAAGAAGAAGAGUUGGUGGUGGCUUGAAGGUUGGUUGGUGGCUCACGAUGGCAUAGAGGUGACUCUGGUGGAAGAAAUAAGUUGGUGAGGUUGCUGGAGGAGAAGAUCGUGGUAGAGAGGAAGGAGCUAGAAGUGGCUCAUGAUGGGAACAAAUUUUUUUUUUUUUUAAUCAAAACGACACCAUUUUGGCUUAGGGUUUUAAUUUUUGAAUUUAGCUAAAGUUCAAUUUGGUCUUUCGACUUUUGCCUCCUUCCAAUUACACCCUUGGUUGGCCUAGAACUUUUAAUUUUAUGCAAUUUUACUCAUGCCAAACUUCACACAUCAACCCCAAAUUUUAACAUCUUUUUAAUUUGGUCAUUGGUUUUGGAUUUAUGCAAAUUGACUUUUAAUUGACCAUUAAAUUUUCAAAUUUCUUCAAUUUCACCAUUGAUUUCAAUUACUUAAAUCCCUAAAGUUCGAUGCCCUUUUCAAAAAGGUCAUUGUUUGCAAAAAAAAUUAAUUUAGCCCUUAAUUGACCAUAAACUUUAAUUUUCUUGUGAUUUUACCUCUAAUUUCAACCAAUUGACUUUGUAAAAAUUAAGUUUGGUCCUCUGAAAUUCUAAUUUUUAUUUAAUUAAGCCCAAAUUGAGCUCUCAAGCUUAGUUUUUCACCAAUUAAGUCUAUAAUAAAAUUAAUUAGACACAUUUAAAGUAUAAUUAAGUCUUUGCACUUAAUUAAAUCUUUUAACUUGACCCAAAUAAAUUCUUAAACAUAAUUAAAUCCUUUAAUUUGGUCCAUGAUUAAACCAAAUUGGCCUAUUAAAAAUCUAAUUAUAUCCUUAGACUUAAUUUUUAUACAGAUUCGUCCAAUAAUAAUUUAAUUUGAUCUUGAAUUUUAGGUACAAUGAGUAUAAUUAAGCUCCCAAUUUAUUCAAAAUUGUAGCUUGAGUUUCUUCUAUAUUUGAAAUCUCUCAAGCUUGCUUUUGCUAAAAUAUCAGUCCUCUUGCUAUUAUUACUAUAUUAUUAUUAUUAUUAUAUUUUUUAUUUUUUGUAAAAGGGUAAAUUUUAGGGAAUAACCUAAAAAUGGGUGAUGGCACUGAGUAUGGACAUGGGCAACAAGAUUUUCAAUGUUUAUUCCAAGUGACAUGCAAAAAUCAUUAAAUGCUUGGAAUGAGAAUUUAUUAGCGUUGUCAAGAUGAAUUCUCUUGAUUAUAUAAUCUAUAAUUACGUUAGUAAUCUAAUAAUUUGAGCAAGCAAUCUCGCAAAUACUAGGUUGCGAGUUGAUAAUAAACACACAUAUGACCAUAUAAUAGAUGCAUCUAUUAAAACCAUAAAAUAUUUAAAUGGUCCAUAUGGUGGGUGAAUGAGCCCAUAAAUAUCACAUUGAAUACAUUAUAGAAAUCUUGGGGAUUCAAUCCCAACUUUAGCUAGUGAUGAUCUAAUAAUCAGUUUACCUUGAGAAUAAAUAGCACACGAGAAUUCUUAAUUGAAAAAUCUUAUAGUUCUUCAAUGGAUGGCCGUGAGAAUUCUCAAUAACUCUUUACAUCAUUAUUGAUCUAAGAUAGUCUAGGUAGGCAUGCCAUAUAUUAAAAUUAUUUGGUUUAUUAAACUUCUGGUUUAUUAUUGCAUUGACUUCAAUUGUACUAAUCCUUGUAUAGUACAAACUAGGAGAUAAAACAUAUAAUUUUUCUAAUAUUUGAUUUUUAGUAUAGAUAUUUAAUAUAAUAUAAAAAUAUUUUAUACCAUUGUCAUUGGUAGUUUCAAUAUGGUACCUGUCAUUGCAAAUCCAUGUUUUCUUCAUCAAAAGGAAUAGAUAUAUAAUAAAUUCAUAAAAUGACAGAUCUUAAAGUUGCAUAUAAAAAUUAUUAUAACACAAUCCUUUACAUUAAACAAGUUAUCAUAAAAGUAACAAACCAAAAUAUAUUGAAAUAUACUAGCAUAAAAGAAACACACCUAAAAUAUUAACUAAAUUUUAAAUUCUAACAUUCUUAUAUUUAACUAUUUAAUUAUUAUCAUUACAAGAUAUAUUAACUUUCUCAUCAGUUUGCUCAAAGAAAUCAACAACAUCAAGGUAUGUCAUAUCUAAGGGGUAAAAGUAAAUAUCAUUAUUAUCUUGAUGUGGGUGAGCAAAAUUUAUUUCUAUGUCCUUCUCCUUUCCUUUCAAUGAGGACUGAUAUAAACUAACAAGAUGUUUGGUCGUAUGAUAGCUGCUAUGUAUAUUCUUCCUUUUUUUUUCCUUGUUUCUCCUUAUUCUAAGAAGGUUUGUUAGAAUUAUGAUCAUUAUAGUUGUGGAAAUUAAUUUGUCUUCGCCCAUGGUCGCGUCUAUGACCAUGAUCAUAAUUAUUAUAUAUAUCUCAUGGCAUUCACUUCAGAAUAGAGAUGAACCAAUUAGUCAUGAUUCAUGAUUUUUAAUUAAAAGCUCAUUAUUUGUUCAGCUACAAGGAGACAUGAAAUCAGUUCAAAGUAUUUCUUUAAACCCCGUUCUAUAUUAAUGUUAUAGGAGUAUAUUCUAGGCAUGAAAAGUAGAGAAUGUUUUUCUAACAUAUCUCUACUAAUAAUAUUAUCUCCAUAUACUUUUAUUUUAGAAAUAAUAUUAAACAUAACAAAAUUAUAUUCACUUACCGAUUUAAAAUCUUAUAAUCAUAAAUAUAUUCAAUCAUAACAGGCUUUAGGGAGAAUAACUAUCAUUUGAUAAUCAUGUCUUUAUUUCAAGUUUUGCCAAGAAUAAGGGAUAUUUGAUUGUGAGAUACUUAAUUUUUCAACUCCUCAUUAAGAUGAUGACGUAAAAAAAUCAUGGUUUUUGUCUUACUUUAACUGGAUGCACCAUAUCUAUUUUUAAUGGUGUCUCCAAGACCUACAACAUCCAUAUGGAUUUUGACAUUAAGAAACCAUGAUAAAUAAUUCUUACCCAUAAUAUAAAGUGCCAAGAACUCAAUUUUGGCAAGAUUUGUCAUGGUUAAUUCAUGAAAAAAUAUCAAAAUUGCUAGAAAUUUAGUUUAAAUAUUAUAAUAAAUAUUGAACAAACAUUAGCUUAAAAUAUUGAAUAAAUUUGUUAUAAACCGGAAAAAAAAUGAUUCAUUUAAAUAACUAGAAGGCAAACAAUUAAGUAGAUAAACAUAUCUUCUACUUUUUAUUCACAAAUCAAACAUGCUUAUUCAUUUGAAGAUGAGAACAUGGAGCAAUCAUGUUGAUAACAUAUUAUAAAACAAUAUAUUUAGAAGCAAGCGAUAUACCCAAUAAAGAGUAAACAUAAUAAAUAAAAACAAUAGAUAUUAGGGAAACAAAGAAAGAGCAUUUUUAUUUUAUAUCAUUGUAAAUGUAGUUGUAUAUAAUAUCAUCUCAACACUGCUCUUAAAUAUAAUCUAAUAUACAUUAAUACUUGUAAGCCUAGAAAUUAUAAGAAGAUGUAGAGUUCACAUGAUUUUGGAGAUGAUGAAUGAACACGAAGAUGAAAAAAAAACGAUAAAUAGACAUUUACGGGCAAUGUAUAAUUUCAUAACAUUUUGUUUUAACAAAACUCUGAAAGCAUGCUAAUUUUUUAAUUCCAGCCUUGGGGCGAGUCUAAUUUUCAUGUGGUAUUUUAAUUUUCAAUUGGGUUUUGUUAUGUGUUUUGAAUAUUUUAAAAGUUACAAUAGAAUUUAUUUUUUCUUUAGUUAAUAUUCUAUAUCACCUUGCAAUUUAUUAUAUAAUUUAUUAAGUGGUUAAUACAAAUAAUUUUAGAUAUCCAAAAUUAAGAGAUCUUAUUUUGCUUUUAUAGUUGGUCUAUAAAACCUUUGAUAUGUAAUUGAUUUAUUCAUUUCAAUUACCCUUCAAAUAUGUUAUGCAUUUUAAGUUUAUUUUGUUUUCUUUUUGAAUAAGAAAAAAAAUACAAAAUAAUUUUAAAAAAUAAAACAUAACUCAAUAAAUAAAACACCAUAAUACCUAGCAUAUGACAAACAAAUAAGAGGGUUUGAUUUACAAGCAUAAGUACUAAGAUUAUUUUUAACAUCAUUUUUUUUUUAAAAAAGCGAUAACAUGUGUUGUAACCAAAUUUUGACCCACUUAUGUUAAAUUAAUUUUAAGGAAGGUAAAUCUUGAAAAUUAAAAGACCAGGGGUUCAAAUGCAAGGAUUUAGAAACUUCAAGGACUAGAUUGGAAAUGACCAUUCUCAGCCCAAAACAACAUCGUUUCAAUCAGGUGCUGUCCCAUCUUCGUCUCACCGAACGUCCGCCUGCAAAGAAGGAAACAAAAGCGUGAAACACUAGUAUCCUAACCCAUUCAAAAUACAGAAAAGCAAUAAUUAUCUUCAUGAUAAUUACAACCCGACGAGAUAAAGAUUGCACUUUGAAUUUGAGUCCUAGCAGGAACCGUCUCCCUCAGUCGUGCUUAUCAAGAGGAGAGACGUGAGGCUAAGGGGGAGGAAAAUUGAUCCCUAUAAAUACCCAACAAUUGACAACGCCAAAAGGAGAAAAAGAAAACCCAGAAUUUACCCAGAAAACAGAGAUAAGAACAGGAAACCGAGCAAAAAAAAAGACCCAAAAACAGAGCAAUUAACAAAAAAAAACAGAGCAAACAAAACACAAAAAAAAAGAGACAGAGAAGAACAGUAUCACCAGCCAAAUUUCAUCCUUCUAGAAAUCAGUUUUCAUCCGAACUGUUUUCACCCCUACAGAAACCCAAUUGAUCACCGAACCGUAGAUCAUUGACAUAGAGCAGUCGAGCCACACCGUCACCUUAACCUGCCUCAGCAUCGCCAGAAACAGAAAGCAGUCGACUCAAAGCAGCAGACCAGCGUUGCAAUCUUCUUCAAUCUCCAAAAACAGGUUCGCUUCCUUUUUCAUUUUUUCUCUGCUCUUCGUGUUCAAGUAAUUGUUUGAACAGUGCGAAGGUAAUUUAAUUACCUUCGCACUGUUGAUGCACGCAUGAUCUGUUUCAUGCGUGCAUCUUGUGUAGCUGGGUCACUGGCUUCUAGUGACCCGGGCCGGGCUGGCUGGGUUCAGCCCAGCCCUUGUGGGCUGAGCUGAGCCCAGCCACCAAUAUAUAUACUUGCUGGGUUGGAUUUAGCCCAGCCCAGCCCAAAAAUAAAAAAAAGGUAAAAAAUAUAAAAUAUUAAAAUAUAUAAUAAAAAUUGUGUAUGUAAAAAAUAUAUACAUAAAUGAAUUUGUUUUAUUCAUUGACAAAAAAAACACAUAAAAUAAAAUAGGAUAAAUUUAUUUAGUAUAUUCACCGACGCCAGAGUCGGGAAUAAAAAAAUACUAGGGUAAAUUUAUUUUAUUUUAUUUUGUUUCGCAUGCAUAAAAAAAUAAUUUGAUAAAGAAAUGAAUUGAUUUUUAUUUGUUUAUUCACAUAAGAUAAAAUAGGAUAAAUUUAUUUAGUAUAUUCACCGACGCCAGAGUCGGGAAUAAAAAAAUACUAGGAUAAAUUUAUUUUAUUUUGUUUCGCAUGCAUAAAAAAAUAAUUUGAUAAAAAAUAAAUUGAUUUCUACUUGUUUAUUCACUGACGCCAGAGUCAGGAAUAUAAUAAAAUGAUGAUGUGAAUUUAUUUAUUUUGAUACCUACGUAAUAUUUACCAACGCCAGAGUUGGAAAUAUACGUAGUUGAAUAUUCACUGGCGCCAGAGUCAGGAAUAUUGUACACAAGAAAUCAUAGUAUAAACCAAUAAAGAUGUUAGCAAUUAAUAACAAAGACCAGCAAUGCAGCCUACCUUAGGUAGGACGUUUAAGGGGUGAUAAUAUCUUCCCUUUUACGUAACCAGUCUCGGAUCAUAGAAUCUCUGUGACCAGUUAGGGUUCCUAGUGACCAUAAUACUAGGUGGCGACUCCUUAAAAAAACCUUUUCCCCUAAAAGAACACGAUGCUGAAAUCGGUUCUUUUUCCAUAAUUCAAGAAUUAAUUUUUAAGGCCGCCGCGAUGUCGGGUGCGACAGAAUGGCGACUCCACUGGGGACUAAGACUAAGCUUUGUCUUUAUUUGUUAAAUAUUGCUAUAAAUGUUUGUUGUGUUUUUUUUAUUUUAUUUAGUUUAUUUUAUUUUAUUGCUUUAGCAUCCAUAUUUAUUCAUGUCAUCAUAUACAUUGAAUAUAGAUUUGUGCCUUCACACACCACGCAUUUCAUAAUAAAUAUCUGUUAUAUAAACUUUAUGUUAAGUGGGAGAGUAGCGGUACCCCAAUGGCUUUGGCCUGGGUAAGACUCGUGAAACCAUCCAACUUUCGCUUGAUUGUUUACUCGAUAGUGGUUGGUAUGCCUAAACUGAUAUUAUUCAGGGCCUCUAUCUUCACGCUACUUGUAAGCCUCACAUCAACCUUUCGAGGAAGAUCACUGAGCAUGCGAAAGACCUUUCAAAGACUAGAUAGCAACCUACCCUAAGCAUGUAAUGACUAGAACUUACCCUUUAGGUUGUUCCCUAUGUAAGUUUCACUAAAGUAAAGCUUAACAUAUAUCAUUUCAUAACAGGAUUAUUAUUUCGGGUGACAUAAUGGUUGUUAAUCGAGAAGUCAACACACUAUUGAGUAUGGGCUUGAAUCUGAAUAUUGCAUAUGACCGAGGGAGACUGCCCUAGACUGGAUGACAGUGGGAUACCGCUGCUAAAAGAGGUGAGAUGUGUAAUAAAUGAUGCCAUUCGUUUGAUUCCACUCACCAAAUAUUUGGAUGAUGAGACAGAAUUUACUAAGAUAUAUGGGAGAGUUUUGCAUCUUUUAAAUGUGCCGGUACUGCCAUUGGCCAUAAGAGCUCUGAUUCAUUUUUGGGAUCCUGAUUAUCGAUGUUUUACAUUUGGGGAUGUCGAUAUGGUUCCUACCAUUGAAGAGUAUGGUGUUUUGACAGAAUUUCCUGAGGAUAUACAUAAGGUUUACUUUCAUCAAAAGACUGAGGAUACUAUAGAGGAGCUUGCUAAGCUAUUGGGAAUCCAGCAAAUGAGUUUGUAUAGAGAAAAAAAAAUUUCGGGGGUUUGAGAUGGAAACGGCUAGAAGAGUUGUUGAUUGCUAAAAAGUCUAAUCCAUGUGCUAAAGUAGAAGUAUACAGAAUAUUGGCUUUGGGAAUAUUUGGGUUGAUUUUGUGCCCUUCAUCUGCUGGAAUUGUUAGUUUAGAGGCAGCCAAUUUGUUUGUUGAGUAUGAGAAGACUAAAAUUAAUCCUUCUGCUGCGAUUUUGGCUGAAACUUUUUUGUCCCUCAAUCAUUGCAAAAAGACUGGAAAAGGUUCUAUGAGAUGUUGUGUGCCAUUAUUGUUCAUUUGGAUGGUAAGUCAUAUAGAAUCCGAGACACCAAUAUUCCGGAAUUUUUGGUGGUUUGAUCAAAGGCCACUAGAGUUAUUGGUAUCAAGUGAAUGGAAAAUAUUUUCUGAAGAUGACUGGGGGUAAAAUUACAAGGAAUUCCACGAAGCAAGUUUAAUUGGAGAGCUCCUUGGAUGAGAAAUGUAACGUACUUAAUGAGUUGUGGAAGAAGCCUUGGGUACCUUUGAUUGGAGUGACUGGAUAUAUUAGCUAUGCGCCUGCUUUAGUUGCAAGACAGUUUGGGGGCAUACAAAGCAUCCCAAGAACGGUUGGUUUAUCUCAAUUUACUGGAGUGUACAAAGGAGCUACCAUGGAGAUGUUGGAGAGCAUUAAACAGGAUUGGAAGUCUUUGGUACUUGUGAAAAAGGAGACUGGAUUAAGGAAUCCUACAGUUAGUGAAAAGUAUUCUGAAUGGCGUAAUGGAGGAGUCUCUUAUAUGGCAGAAGUUUCUGAGUCUGUGGGCAUUCGAAGAAAAAGAGUAAACUGUGAAGAAGAAUUAAGAAAACAAGUAAAAGCGUUACAAGCUGAGCUUAAAGCAAAUGAGGAACAUAGAGUGUCUUUAGAGCGGCAGCUAGCCAAAGAAAAGGGUUUAAGGAAAAUAGCUGAAGAAGAAAGGGACUCUGGUGGUCAAGACUUGAUAAAGGCAAAGACUGACUUGGAAACACAAAAGACAAUUAAUCAGGACAUGACAUAUUACAUGGAAAAAGCUAAGCAUUGGGAAGAGUCAGCCAUCAAGACACAAGCAUAUUGAAAAUGCGUCGGGCAGACAUUGUUAAGUUUAAAGACCAAUUAGGAAGAGCUGAGGCUUUAACUAAAAUGCACGAAGAGCAGAAAGCAGAGUUGAACAGUCAUAAGGCUGAAGCAGAAGCGUUGAGAUCUAAGUUGGACAAAGAAAAAUUAAAGACCGUACAACUUAUGGGAAACCAAAAAAUGAUAAAGCAACAUAAUCAAACAUUGGAUGAUGCCAAUAACUUUUUGUCUAGAAACAACUUGAUUCAUACUGAGAGGAUAAGGGAACUACAAGAUCAGAUUAAUCGAGCAGCUGCAGAAGCCCAUUUAUUACGAGUGGAAGCUCGUCAGGUGGGAGGAGAUAUAAUGAAAUAUCGAAGAAGCAUGGAUAACACCGAUCUUUUUUUGAAAGCAAUAGCUACUAGAGGCAGUGUUUUUUCUCCUGUAAUAGAUUAGAUUAAUUUUUACUGUAAGUUUCUGAAUAAGUAAUAAGAGGGCUGAGACCCACAUUUUUCAAUGCAAAGAUAUGUGUAUAUAGCUGAAAGCCCAAAUGUCAAAAAGCUAAGCAGAUUUCUUCUCGGCAUCGCAACAAUGAUAUCAAGUUCAAGUUCAACCCAUAUAUCCAAAGAAUGACGGCCAUAUGUCACCAACAAAAAGCGAAUCUAUAUCCAAUAUGUGGCAUUCACAUUCAUGCAUCACAUACAUUUGCUUAUAGAUUGUCAUAUUCUGCAUAUAACAGGUGAAAUAUAGGUCCCCAACCUAAACGUAUUCAUAAUACUCGUUCACGAAAGAAAAUGGAAAAUGAAGAGAGAAAUCAGCUAGAAAUUCAACACCAAAGAGAGCUGGUUCAACACCAAAGAGAGAUGGAAAGCCUGAAAGAGGAUGUAGCAAGGCUUACCAGCUUGCUUGAACAAGCUUUGAGGCCUAGAGUUGGAGAAGGGACAUCUUCUCAACAAACAUUUACACCUCAACCUCCGCCUCCUGUUGUUCCGCUAUUUGAGCCUCAACAUGCUGCUCAUUUCGCACCUACUCAAUCAGCACAUCCAAUGAGGGUCCCCCACACUGUGUUGAUAGAAGAAGAACCUCAAAGGAACAAGAUCGUAGAGGAAAAUGGUCAGGAAAAACUAGCUGCUUUAGAAGAAAGAAUGAAGGCAAUAGAGGGGAAUAGUUUGUAUGAUCCGGUAAAGGCUGCUGAAAUGUGUUUAGUGCCUAAUGUGGUUAUUCCCAGAAAAUUCAGAGUUCCAGAAUUUGUUAAAUAUACUGGAACUCAAUGCCCAAUCACCCAUCUUAAAGCAUACUGUAAUAAGAUGGCUGAAGUAGUCCAUGAUGAGAAGUUAUUGAUCCAUUUCUUUCAGGAUAGUUUAAGUGAUGCUGCUCUUGCUUGGUAUAUGCGUUUGGAUAAUACCAAAUUAAAGGAUGGAAGGAUUUAGCUGAAGCUUUUAUUAGACAGUAUAAGUUCAACAUGGACAUUGCCCCAGAUAGAUCAAGUCUGCAAGCCAUGGAAAAAGGCAAUAAGGAGUCUGUAAGAGAAUAUGCCCAAAGGUGGCGGGAAUCAGCCGCGCAAGUAAAUCCUCCAUUGUCGGAAAGGGAGAUGACUGGUUUAUUUUCCAACACUUUCAAAGCCCCGUACUUUGAAUACUUGGUAGGUAGUGCUGCACAAAAUUUCUCUGAUUUGGUUGUUAUAGCUGAAAGGAUCGAACAAGCUGUUCGGACGGGCAGGAUCGUGGAUCCUACUGAAAAAAGAGGUUUUAUUGGAAAAAGAAAAGAAGCGGAAGUUCACAAUGUUGAAAGGGAAAGUAGAGGGAAGAACACUUACCAAGAUAAUUACAGCUCCAAAAGUAUUACACCUACCCCCUCUAUAUCCAAUAUAAAAUUCUCUUCACCUACAAACACCCAAAAUAACCCAAUAAACAACCAAACCGAUAAUGCCUACCGUCCGAGAAGAAAUUUUCCAAUAGAUCAAGUGCAACUUCCACCAUUACCCAUGUCUCUUACUGAAAUGCACCAAAGAUUGCUUAGUAUUGGUCAGGUAGCACCUGUUCCCUUAGAACCUUUACAACCACCAUUUCCCUUUUGGUAUAAACCCGAUCAAAAAUGUGAAUACCAUGCUGGUGCUGUUGGUCAUCAUAUUGAUGGAUGUGUUGCAUUCAAAAGAAAAAUCCUUCAGCUCAUCAAAGCUGGGUGGAUUUCUUUUGAUGAGUCUCCAAAUGUGAAUUUUAACCCUCUACCAAAUCACGCUUCUGGAGGUGGGGGAGUUAAUAACUUGGAGAUAGGAAAGGGAGGUACAACAACUUUAAGGGUGACUAUGGAUAGAUUGUAUGGGUUUGUUAAGGCAAACAGAUUAUCUAAAGACACCAGUCAAAAUACAAGCUGUAGGGAAUGCGAAUGAAUAUUGUAAAUAUCAUCAGCAGUUUGGGCAUGAUAUUGACUCGUGCGAGGAGUUUCAUUUGGAGGUAGAAAAUAUGAUGGCGUUGGGAAUGUUAAGAUUGAUGAAACCCAAAGAAGAUGAGUUAGUAGGAACAAUGACUGGUUGUAACAAAAAAGUGGAAGUUUGUAGAUACAUACCAACUGAAAGGGGUCCGCCAAAAAUGAUCCUAACAAAGCCUACGAACAUUGUUAGCGGAAGCUAUAAUGCCCAACCCUAUAAUUAUGGUUAUUCCUUUCACAGCACAAAGCCUGCCCCUGUUUUCCAUGCGGAAGUAGGAGGACUCACUCGGAGUGGGAGAUGUUUUACUCCUGAAGAGUUGGAAAACCAUAGAAAAGCCAAAGGAAAGGAUACGACAGAAUUGACAAAGACAGAUGAGGUUAAUAAACCAGUAAGUGAUGAAGAGGCUAAUGAAUUUCUAAAAUUGAUGAAGCACAGCGAAUAUAGUGUGGUUGAUCAGCUAAAGAAAACACCCGCUAGGAUUUCUUUGUUGUCAUUAAUAUUGAGUUCAGAAUUGCAUAGGAACGCCCUUCAGAAGGUUCUUAAUGAAGCAUAUGUUCCUCAGGAUAUCACACAAGAUUCCAUAGGACAUUUGGUGGGUCGGAUUCAAGCCACCAAUUACCUUUAUUUUACCGAUGAUGAGCUGAUCAUGAAGGAACCGGUCAUAAUAAACCAUUGCAUAUCACGGUAAAAUGCAAGGAUUGUGUGAUUGCUAAGGUGCUUAUAGAUAAUGGUUCUUCUCUUAAUGUAUUGCCAAGACAUGUACUUGAUAAAAUGCCAGUUGAUGCUUCUCACAUGAAGCCAAGUACCAUGACUGCUAGGGCAUAUGAUGGGUCAUCUAGACCAAUCACUGGGAGCAUUGAUGUUGAACUAAUCAUUGGCCCACAACCAUUCCAAGUCACAUUACAAGUAAUGGACAUUCAUCCAUCAUAUAGCAUUUUACUGGGGAGACCUUGGAUCCAUGCAGCCCGAGCUGUCGCAUCUUCUUUACAUCAACGGGUCAAGUUUAUCAUCAAUGGGAAUUUGGUGACUGUGAGAGCUGAGGAAACUUUGUCAAUGAUAAAAAAUGUCUCGAUCCCUUACAUAGAAACUGAAGAAAGUAAGGAUGAAAAUCUGCAUGCAUAGAAAAUCUGAAGAAAGUAAGGAUGAAAAUCUGCAUGCAUUCGAAGUUGUAAAUGCUGAAUGGGUACCAGAAAAUACGGUACGAAGAAAGCCAGAAAUUUCCGAAGCAGCAAAAAUGGCUGCUAAAUACUUCUUAAAGCAUGGACUGCCAUUUCAAUAUGACCAUACUACCGGAAUGCCUGAGAGGAUUAAUGUGAUAAAAAUGAAGUGCGCGGAUCAAAGGUUUGGCUUAGGGUUUAAGCCUGGGAAAGCAGAUUUCAAAAGAGCAGCUGAAAUUAGAAGAGAAAAGAGAAUAGCCCGGAUUGAGAGAAGAGAACCAGAUGAAGACCGAAUAGAGAUCCCACCAAUCCAUGUAACAUUUCCAAGAUCCGCAUAUGUGAUAAAAACAGAGGAUUAUGAGGGGGACUAAGAAAAGAAUUCAAUGGUGCUACUAUUAAUUAUCUUGAAUACGUCGGUGAACAAGAUUUAAAGGAAGAGGAUAAUGCUCAUGAACAGUUGCCCCAGCUGACUAUUGGUGUUUUGGAAGACGACUCUAGAAUUCGUGAGGAAACUGGCCGAGGGAGAAGAUUUAGCAAAUUGGGAAAUUCAAGAAGUCCCAAUUGUUUUCAAAAAGUAAUGUUUUGAUUGCUUAUUCGUUGUUUUUCAUUAUUUGUAUUGUUUGAAUAAUUGUGCCUUGCCAAAUCAUCAUGGCUCAAGAGAUUGGCAAUAAGGUUUUGUGGUUGAGCCCUUCUAUCCUUUAAGUUUCAAUGAGAUCAUGCAUAUUUUCUUUCAAUCGUGUUUUUUUUUUUCUCUGUUCAUUUAUUUACUUUCCCAGAACUAUACACUCAUAACCAAAACACUUUCCGCUUUCAGGAAAUCUGAAAGCGGAUCGUCGUACACCCCACAAACUCAUUGCACUGUGGAUAAUUGGCUUAACUUUGAUGAAACUAUAAUUGCCAUGGAUGAGGAAGAAUUUGGUGAGGAGGAUAUUCAUGAAUUCGCAAAGUUAGCGGAACAAUCUGAUCGCACAUGGAAGCCUGCAAAAGAAGAACUAGAACUGAUAAAUGUGGGCACAGUACAUAAUAAAAGAGAGUUGAAAAUAGGGAAGCUAAUCUCUGUUGACGUUAGAAGUGAAUUGAUUGCUCUUUUACAAGAAUACAUUGAUGUUUUUGCCUGGUCAUACGCUGAUAUGCCUGGUCUGGAUACUGAUAUUGUGGUACAUAAACUACCUUUGAUAGAAGGUUGUAAGCCGGUUAUGCAAAAGUUGAGGAGGACAAGGCCGGAUAUACUAAUCAAAGUGAAAGAAGAGAUAACAAAACAGUGGGAUGCUGGAUUCUUGGAAGUAGUUGAUUAUUCUCAAUGGGUGUCCAAUAUUGUAGUAGUACCCAAGAAAGACAACAAAAUCAGGGUAUGUGUGGAUUUCCGAGAUUUGAAUAAGGCAAGCCCGAAGGAUAAUUUUCCUUUACCCCACAUAGAUGUAUUAGUAGAUAAUGCUGCUAAGAGUUCUACUUACUCUUUUAUGGAUGGUUUCUCUGGGUAUAAUCAGAUUAAAAUGGCCGAGCAAGACAAAAAAAACAACAUUUGUUACCCGUGGGAACAUAUUGCUAUAAAGUUAUGCCAUUUGGACUGAAAAAUGCUGGGGCAACUUAUCAAAGAGCAAUGGUGACACUAUUUCAUGAUAUGAUGCAUAAAGAAAUUGAGGUCUAUGUGGAUGAUAUGAUUGCUAAGUCUAAGGAUGAGGAAAACCAUAUCCCAGCUCUGAAGAAAUUAUUUGAAAGGCUGAGAAAAUAUCAAUUAAAGCUGAACCCUGCAAAAUGCACAUUUGGGGUGAAGUCUGGGAAGUUAUUGGGAUUUGUGGUGAGCAAUAAUGGCAUAGAAGUAGAUCCUGAUAAAGUGAAGGCCAUACAAGCUAUGUCAGCUCCUAAAACUGAGAAAGAGGUUCGAGGCUUUUUGGGACGUUUAAAUUAUAUUGCUCGAUUUAUUUCACAACUUACAGUCACUUGUGAACCAAUCUUUCGAUUACUUCGAAAGAGAAACCCCGGAGUAUGGGAUGAGGACUGUCAAGAAGCCUUUGAUAAGAUUAAACAAUAUUUGCAGAAACCACCUCUAUUGGUGCCACCGGUGCCGGGAAAGCCUCUCAUUUUGUAUUUAACAGUGACUGAAUCAGCAAUGGGCUGUGUGCUUGGCCAACAUGAUGAGUCUGGGAGAAAGGAGCAAGCCAUCUACUACCUGAGUAAGAAAUUCACUGAGUGUGAAUCUCGUUACAGCAUGAUUGAGAAGUUGUGUUGUGGUUUGGUUUGGAGUGCGAAAAGGCUCCGACAGUAUAUGCUAUACUAUACCACUUGGUUAAUUUCAAAGGUAGAUCCUAUCAAAUAUAUCUUUGAAAAACCAUACAUGUCAAAUAGGCUCGCCAGAUGGCAAGUGUUGUUGGCUGAAUAUGAUAUCAUUUACAAAACAAGAAAAUCCGUGAAAGGAAGUGCAAUCGCAGAUCAUUUAGCUGAUAAUGCUAUUGAAGACUAUGAGCCAUUAAAUUUUGACUUCCCUGAUGAAGAUGUGCUUGUAAUAGAAGGUGAUUGGUGGACCAUGUACUUUGAUGGUGCGGUGAAUAUAUCUGGUAAUGGAGCUGGUGCUGUAAUAAUUUCUCCAGAAGGAAAACAAUAUCCCAUAUCCAUUAAGUUGCAGUUCAAUUGCACAAACAACACAGCUGAAUAUGAGGCUUGUAUUCAUGGAUUGGAAGCUGCAUUGGAGUUGAAGAUAAGGAAAUUAGAGGUAUAUGGAGACUCUAUGUUGAUAAUCUGCCAGACAAAGGGGGAGUGGCAGACGAAAGAUGAGAAAUUGAAACCAUAUCAAGAAUAUCUCUCCAAAUUGGCUGAAGACUUUGAAGAGAUAGAGUUCAAUCAUUUAGGAAGGGAUAAGAAUCAGUUUGCAGAUGCUUUAGCAACCUUAGCCUCCAUGGCCACAAUUGAUUGCGGUAUCAGAGUACAUCCUAUAGGCAUUGAUAUCAGAAGUUCUCCUGCUCAUUGUUGUUUAGUAGAAGAAGAAGUGGAUGGAAGUCCUUGGUAUGCAGAUAUAAAAAGAUUCAUCCAAUAUCGGGAAUAUCCUUUUGAAGCUUCAAAAACAGAUAAGAAGACUCUGAGAAGAAUGGCAAUGGAAUACUUUAUAGAUGGAGAAAUCUUAUACAAAAGGUCAUUUGAUGGGACUCUACUAAGAUGUUUAGACAGAUCAGAAGCCAAUAAAGCCUUGUAUGAAGUGCAUGGAGGAAUUUGCACCACCCAUGCAAAUGGACACAUGAUGGCGAGACAAAUGCAAAGAGCUGGGUAUUUUUGGUUGACCAUGGAGAAGGAUUGUAUAGAAUUUGUCCGAAAAUGUCAUAAAUGUCAGGUGUAUAGCGACAAAAAUCAAUGCACCACCAGUGCCCUUAUUCAAUAUGGUGUCACCUUGGCCAUUCGCGAUGUGGGGAAUAGAUGUGAUUGGGCCUAUUAAUCCAAAAGCCAGCAAUGGGCAUCGGUUUAUCUUGGUCGCAAUUGAUUACUUUACAAAGUGGGUAGAGGCCUGCUCAUAUGCUAAUGUGACUCAGAAGGUGGUCAAGCGAUUCAUUGAGAGAGACUUAAUUUGUAGGUAUGGUCUGCCAGAAAGGAUAGUAACCGAUAACGCCAAGAACUUCAAUGGGAAGAUGAUUGUGGAAUUAUGCACUAAAUGGAAAAUCAAGCAUUCCAAUUCAUCACCUUACAGACCAAAGAUGAAUGGUGCUGUUGAAGCUGCUAACAAGAACAUAAAGAAGAUUGUCCAGAAAAUGGUGGUUACUUACAAAGAUUGGCAGGAAUGGCUUCCUUAUGCUCUACAUGCAUAUCGACAGCAGUAAGGACGUCAACUGGGGCUACACCUUAUUCACUAGUUUACGGAAUGGAGGCAGUGAUGCCCUUGGAAGUAGAGAUUCCUUCUCUAAGGGUCCUAAUGGAGUCUGAGCUAGAAGAGGCUAAAUGGGUUGAGAUACGAUAAGAACAGUUAAAUAUGAUCAGUGAGAAGAGAUUAGCGGCGAUUUGUCACCACCAACUGUAUCAAAACAGGAUAGCAAGAGCAUAUGACAGAAAAGUUCGAUCAAGAGAGUUUAAAGAAGGAGAUCUUGUAUUGAGAAAAAUCUUAUUACUACCUAGUGAGAACCACAGCAAAUGGGCACCCAAUUAUGAAGGUCCUUAUGUAGUAAAGAAGGCAUUUUUUAGAGGAGCAUUGAUACUAACAGGAAUGGAUGGAGAAGAUUUGAGUAGGCCAGUGAAUUCUGAUUCUGUAAAGAAAUAUUAUCCAUGAUUGCUGAGUCAUUGAUGACUGUAUAAGUUCUCAUCAAAUCAAUAAAAAGUUUGGCCAAGAAAUUCACUUUGCAUAUCUUUUCUCUCUCUCAUAAAUGUUAUUGAUUUCAAAGAAUCAAUAAAUACACCCUUGAAGCCUCGCAUGAUCUCAUAGAUUCAAUUCAUUACUUUUACCAAAAUCAGUUUCACUAUUGGAAUUUUGAAAAAAUUGAUCUGGCAUUUUGAUUUCGAAAAUGGUUUGAUGUUUAUUCAAAAACCGAUAUUUUUGACAUUCUACUUGUAGAAUGACAAGUGAAUCAAACAACUCCUUCAUAGAGGUGACCAAACUAAAAAAAAGGAAAAGAAAAAAUACCCUUACCCCAUGACUCUUGAAUAAUGUGUUUUUAAAUGUAUGAAUAAUGGUAUGUAGUGAACUGGUUGCUCAUAACUCAUGAAAGGCAUCUUUGCAAAGAAUAAACCAUCACAUUAUACGAGGUCAAAGUUUAUUGAUCAUAGCCGCUUGCGCUUGAAAUGAGGAAAGGCCAUCUUUGUUAUUCCUUUCACAUUCUAAAAUAAGUACAUCCCUUGCAAACCCUUUUUGAGCCUGAAUAAUUUCAUAAGAAAAAUCCCGACUAAGAUCACACCCUACACUGGGGGCAAGUGAAAUUUCAAUGAUCAAGAAAGAGGAUAAAGCCGUGAGAAAGCCAAAAGGCAAAAGAGCCCAAGAAACUCCAAUACUAGGGGGCAUGCCCAAAUCACAAGAAAAAGUGAUAACCAAGAUAAAAUGAGUAUGCUCUAGCGAAGCAAGGGGCAAGUGAAAUUUCGACGAUCAAGAAGGAGGAUAAAGCCGUGAGAAAGCCAAAAGGCAAAAGAGCCCAAGAAACUCCAAUACUAGGGGCAUGCCCAAAUCACAAGAAAAAGUGAUAACCAAGAUAAAAUGAGUAUGCUCUAGCGAAGCAAUGAAAAAGAAGAAAAAGGGGGCAAAUCAAAGAAGAGCGGCAAAGGAAAAUAUGAAUGAAGUCAAAAGUCAAACUAUUGAUCGUGAUCUUCAGUCUUUGAAACCCUGAAACACUCUUUGAGCCUUAUGAAUCCUUUUCUUUCAUAGCCAAAAACCGAAGCCUACGUUACGUACCUGGAGAAGUCCUUUCUAAUCAAGCAAGCAAGCAAUCUAGAACAAUAAACAAUGCUCUCAAAAUGCAAAGAAUACUUUUUCAUAAGAUUCAUGACAUCACGAAUAAACUACUCAUUAUUAUUCAUGCUGAUAAAAAUAAAUGUUCAAAAAGAGACAAGUUUUUCUCUUACCAAACCUCGAGCUUUUUCUCGAGUCCUUCACUUCGAAACAAAAGGGUCAUCUCAUGAUAUAUUUUCACCGAAGACCUCGGUACCAAACACAAGAGCAAAUAAUCUCUUUUCCCAGAAAGGAAAUAACCAAGGAGUUGCAAGAUUUCAAAAGCAAAUCGUUAUUUGACUCACAUCGAAAUAAUUUUUGUUUUCAAAAUGCAAGAUCAAGAUUUCAAGAUUCAUUCUAGACCCAUAUUCCUCCACCAAACUGAAAAGAAGAGAAAUGAGAGAAUGGCCUCUUAAAACCUUUAUUUAUCUAAGUCGCUGAUAGAAGCACACUUAGGGGCAAUAACCAAUACAAGGGGGCAACAUUGUGUUUAGAAGGAAAGAUUCUAGAAAAAGAGAUGGUAAUUUCCUUCAACCAUACAAGGGGGCAUUUUGGUUUACAAAAGACAGCUCGAUCCUUUCAGUAAGUGAUACCGAAUGUUUUUAGCAGUAAGACGAGGGGUAAUGAAUAAUCCUCUCAAAUUAUUUGAUGAAACGGGCAAGCAAAUGGGUCACGAUGGGCACCGUAAAAGCUGAGUUAUGUAAACAAAUCUGGAAAUAAACUUACAUGGGCCAACUCGAGUGGGCUAGAAAGCCAAACGACAAAGAUGACUCAAAUCAGAUAGCAAGAUCUCACCAACCAAGCAACAAGAAGACUAAGAAGAAAUGGGGGGCCUAUAUUUCAAAUCAGGUAAAGAUGCAUGCAUAUCAUUUAAACUUUGAGACAUUGGACAAUGAGUUUUGCAAAUUUUAUUAGAGAAAAUUCUAAUGGAAUCCAUCGAGCAGAAAGCCAACUUGAAAUAGUGAACAUUGAAAUUGCUUUUGAAAAAUUUUCACUUUUGAGAAUUUUUCAACCUGGGCAGGCCGCCCAUGAGAAUUAGGCCACUUGAAAAAUCUCUCUAUUCUUCCACCACCUUUCAGUUUCCACUCCUGAGGUAGUGCAUUUCCUACACUACCUCCAUUCGAGCGCGCCUUCGAGCCCUCGUCUUAUUUAUUUUCGAGCGCGCCUUCGAGCCCUCGCCCAUUAAAGGUAGUGCAUUUUCUAUCCUACCUCCAUUCGAGCGCGCCUUCGAGCCCUCGACCACCUAAGGUAGUGCAUUUUCUAUCCUACCUCCAUUCGAGUGCGCCUUUCGAGCCCGCGUCUUACAUUCGAGCGCGCCUUCGAGCCCUCGUCUUAUUUAUUUUCGAGCGCGCCUUCGAGCCCUCGACCAUCAAAGGUAAUGCAUUUCCUAUUCUACCUCCUCUUGAGUGUGCUCUCGAGCCCUCAUUUCCUUUGAGCUUCCACCUAUUGAAUAGUGUGCCUUCGAGCCCUAUCAUGUCUUCAAAAAAAAAAAAAAAAAAAUUCCUCGUAUUUUUCCUACUGGGCAGGUAACCCAUUACAAUAUACCAACUGGGCAGGUAACCCAUUACAAUGUGACCAACUGGGCAGGUAACCCAUUACAAUGUGACCACCCGGGCAGGUAACCCAUUACAAUGUGACCACCCGGGUCGGUAACCCAUUACAAUGUGACCACCCGGGUCGGUAACCCAUUACAAUAUACCAAUUGGGCAGGUAACCCAUUACAAUGUGACCACCUGGGUCGGUAACCCAUUACAAUAUACCAACUGGGCAGGUAACCCAUUACAAUGUGACCACCUGGGCUGGUAACCCAUUACAAUAUACCAACUGGGCAGGUAACCCAUUACAAUGUGACCAACUGGGCAGGUAACCCAUUACAAUGUGACCACCUGGGCAGGUAACCCAUUACAAUGUGACCACCUGGGCAGGUAACCCAUUACAAUGUGACCACCUGGGUCGGUAACCCAUUACAAUAUACCAUCAUAUACUGGGCAGGUAACCCAUUACAAUGUGACCACUUGGGUCGGUAACCCAUUACAAUAUACCAUCUUAUACUGGGCAGGUAACCCAUUACAAUGUGACCAUCUGGGUCGGUAACCCAUUACAAUAUACCAUCAUAUACUGGGCAGGUAACCCAUUACAAUGUGACCACGGCUUUUAAUUGUUCUUACAAUUAAGCGAUCUAUGUGUUUAUGUUUAACCCUAGAUUAAUCUGAAAAAAAAAAAUCAGAAAACAACUACUGUUCUGAUUAAAAAAAAAAUCGCUACUGUUCAAAAAAAAAAAUCAGGAAUAACUACUGUUCCGAUCAAAAACAAAAAAACUACAACUCUCGUUACUGUUCCGUUACUGUUCAACGUUACUGUAUCCCGUUAUUGUUCCCCGUUACUGUUCAUCUUCAAUUUUCAGCAGCGGCGCCCCGCCAUCACCGGCGCCUCAGACCACAGUUCCACAGAACGAUCGGCCACCACCUGCACAUCAGUUCCACAGAACGAUCGGCCAUUCUACAUCAACGCCGAUCGUAGCCAACGAUCACAUCCACCGAUCACCAGUCCACACCGAUUCACUGCCUUCAACAACCCACAGCGUCGCGGCCAUAGCAGUUCUUUGUCUUCGGUCCCAAACCAUCAGCCGCGACCACCACUGACUCGCGCCCCAGCAGCAGCCACAACGCCACCGUCAACAGUGUUAUCACCUUCAGCAGCGACAACAGAUCAAGGACGUCGUCCAACAGCGACACCACCGACACCACCGCCUCCUCCCUCGCACCGCUAGAGCCAAGCAGAAUCACGAAGCUCCAUCAGAAUCAGCAAGCUUCGUGCACCAUCGCCGACAGUAGUGGCCACAGGUGACAGAAGCCAGGAAAACACGAAGAUAGAAGCUGGGAAAAUAAUCAACCUAGACACAUCAGCGACACGUCAGCGCAUCAGUUGACUGCCACGUCAGUAGUGACUUCCACGUCAGCAGCUCUACCCAUAUCAUCUGCCUCAUCAGCAUACCCUACCAUGUCAGCUGCCACGUAAUCCUUCACUGCCACAUCAUACGGUCAGAAUUCUUACCCAUUGAAAAUCAUCAUUCUGGUAUGUUUUUACACUUGUUAAUCAGUAUUUAGCAUUAAUAUUAUCCUUUGUGCUUGCCCAUAACUAGAUUACAUAGCCCACUUUUAAAUUGAAUUACUUUAAUUUUGAGUAAUUAAAGAUUGGAUCCUCUUAGUUAAUUGUGGAGCUUGGUUAAAUUAGUGGGAAAACUGAAACAUUGUGUUUGAAUUACUUGUGUGCAUUUAGAGGACUUACAUUACUUGCAUGCGCAUUUUCCAGGUUUAAUCUAUCAUUACUUAGUUUCCAAGAUAAAAAAAAAAAAAUUCUUUAUUUAUUUUUUCUUUAUUUAUUUUAUUAUUAUUAGCUAUAAUUUUAUUUUGCGUUUUACUUGCAAGUGUUAUUUUGUGAUCUCAGUCUCAGGAUUAGUUUUUGCAUGCAUUUACGUAGUGGUCGUCUAGUACACAAUCUAGAAGUCAUAUCUACCAUGGACCCGAACUCUAGUAAUGUUCUUAGAGAUAUUCAAGAACAAUUACAACUUAUGCGAACAGAAAUGGGCAACAUGUCCAAUCAAAUGAACAAUCUUUCUGGGAGGAUGGAGUCUAUAGAAACUUUGCAAAUAAGACAGUCUAGUGGGAGUGAACAUUCAAAUGACAACCAUAGAAAUCCUCAAAGACCAGUUCCUCGUAGGAACCGCCACCAUAACCAACACCAGGGUAACAAUGACUUUGAUGACCCUAAUGAUAGUGAGCAUUCCAAUGACUACCGUCAAAGACCAGUUCAUCCUAGGAACCGUCAGUACAACCGCAAUCAGGGCCAUCACGAAUAUGAUGACCCUGACGAGCGAGUCAUGAGGCAUAUUAAGGUAGAAGCCCCAACUUUUGAGGGUCAACUUGACCCGUGGAUUUUUGAUAGAUGGAUCCGUGACAUGGAUCAAUUCUUUGGCUGGUAUAAUCUAUCUGAGAAUAGAAGGGUAAGAUUUGCAAAGAUGAAACUUAGUGGAACCGCUCAGCUUUAUUGGGAAAGUGUAGAAGAGUCUUUGAUUAGGAGAGGUCAACCCCCCAUUACUGAUUGGGUUGAAAUGAAGACUAAGUUAGAAGAAAAGUACUUGCCUCGUUCUUAUAGAGGAAAUCUUUUGGACCAGUGGAAUAACCUUAGACAAGGAGGCAAGUCUGCCAAUGAAUAUGUGGCACAAUUUGAUGAGUAUAGGAUGAGGUGUGCAGUUAGGGAGGAUGAGUGAUGACCUUAAGUAGAUUUCGAAAAGGCUUAAACGAUGACCUUAGACGAGAGGUUGUGCUUAGGGGUGUUUCCACCCUUGAUGAAGCUUAUACCCUAGUACAAAAUUAUGACUUGGUCACAAAAAGCCAGUGGACAAGACGCCAGGACACUCGUAGUACCCCUUUUAGAUCUCAACCUGGUAGUAAUAAUUCCAUAUUAGGUGCCCCACCCCGUAAACCAAAUCCUUUGAUUUCCCCGAUACCUAGGGAAGACAAAGGUAAGGGUAUUUUUCAUGAAGCACCUAGAACUUCAAGAAUUCAGUGUUUUAAGUGUCAGGGUUUUGGUCAUAUUUCCUCUAGCUGCCCUAAUAAAGCUUUGUUCAUCAAGGGGCAAGAGGAUAUAGAUGAAGAUGAUAAUUGUGAUGAUAAGGUAUAUGAACCCAAUCCCGAUGAUUUUCAAGAUUUAAAUGAUGAGGAUGAUGAGUCUAACUUGCUAGGAUGUGUUAGGUCUAUAUCCACUCAAAUCAAGACAACUAGGUUAGGUGUGGUUAGAUGUGCUUUAACACAACCUAAAGGAACUGAGGAUUGGAGAAGGACUGCUAUAUUUUACACUUACAUUAAAUGUGGAGAUAAAGGGUGUAAGAUCAUUAUUGACAGUGGUAGUUGUAUUAAUGCAGUUUCAUCGGGUAGUGUAUCCCGCUUAGGCUUAAAGUCUGUUCCACACCCCAAGCCCUAUAGCGUGUCUUGGGUUAAUGAUACAUCUAUAGCAGUCAAAGAGAGAUGUCGUUUUCCCAUUAAGAUUUUUGACUAUCAUGAUGAAAUUUGGUGUGAUGUCAUUCCCAUGGAUGUAGGGCAUGUGAUUUUGGGUAGGCCUUGGUUAUAUGAUUUGGACGUUACAAUCUUUGGACGAUCAAAUUCUUGUUCAUUCACUUUUCAAGGUAACAAAAUCCAACUUAUUGGAUUACCUCCAAAGCCUAAUGAUAAUAGUCAAAAGAAGAAUAAAGUGAAAAAAGGAGGACUUAACAUAAUAAGUCCUAAGGAGUUUGAUAAGGAGAUUUGUGAGGAGUCUAUUGUGUUUGCUGUAGUGGCUAUGGAAAUAUACGUCCUUGAUUCUGUCGCACCCGACAUCGCGGCGGCCUUAAAAAUUAAUUCUUGAAUUAUGGAAAAAGAACUGAUUUCAGGCAUCGUGUUCUUUUAAGGGAAAAGGUCUUUGUUUAAGGAGUCGCCACUUAGUAUUAUGGUCACUAGGAACCCUAACUGGUCAACAGAGAUUCUAUGAUCCGAGACUGGUUACGUAAAAGGAAAGAUAUUAUCACCCCUUAAACGUCCUACCUAAGGUAGGCUGCAUUGCUGGUCUUUGUUAUUAAUUGCUAACAUCUUUAUUGGUUUAUACUAUGAUUUCUUGUGUACAAUAUUCCUGACUCUGGCGCCAGUGAAUAUUCAACUACGUAUAUUUCCAACUCUAGCGUUGGUAAAUAUUACGUAGGUAUCAAAAUAAAUAAAUUCAUAUCAUCAUUUUAUUAUAUUCCUGACUCUGGCGUCAGUGAAUAAACAAGUAGAAAUCAAUUUAUUUUUUAUCAAAUUAUUUUUUUAUGCAUGCGAAACAAAAUAAAAUAAAUUUAUCCUAGUAUUUUUUUAUUCCCGACUCUGGCGUCGGUGAAUAUACUAAAUAAAUUUAUCCUAUUUUAUCUUAUGUGAAUAAACAAAUAAAAAUCAAUUCAUUUCUUUAUCAAAUUAUUUUUUUAUGCAUGCAAAACAAAAUAAAAUAAAAUAAAUUUACCCUAGUAUUUUUUUAUUCCCGACUCUGGCGUCGGUGAAUAUACUAAAUAAAUUUAUCCUAUUUUAUUUUAUGUGUUUUUUUUUUGUCAAUGAAUAAAAAAAAUUCAUUUAUGUAUAUAUUUUUUACAUACACAAUUUUUAUUAUAUAUUUUUAAUAUUUUAUAUUUUUUACCUUUUUUUUAUUUUUGGGCUGGGCUGGGCUAAAUCCACCCCAGCAAGUAUAUAUAUUGGUGGCUGGGCUCAGCUCAGCCCCACAAGGGCUGGGCUGAACCCAGCCAACCCGGCUACACAAGAUGCACGCGUGAAACAGAUCACGCGUGCAUCAACAGUGCGAAGGUAAUUAAAUUACCUUCGCACUGUUCAAACAAUUAUUUGAACACGAAGAGCAGAGAAAAAAUGAAAAAGGAAGCGAACCUGUUUUUGGAGAUUGAAGAAGAUUGCAACGCUGGUCUGGCUGCUUUGAGUCGACUGCUUUCUGUUUCUGGCGAUGCUGAGGCAGGUUAAGGCGACGGUGUGGCUCGACUGCUCUAUGUCAAUGAUCUACGGUUCGGUGAUCAAUUGGGUUUCUGUAGGGGUGAAAACAGUUCGGAUGAAAACUGAUUUCUAGAAGGGAUGAAAUCUGGCUGGUGAUACUGUUCUUCUCUGUCUCUUUUUUUUUGUGUUUUGUUUGCUCUGUUUUUUUUUUUGUUAAUUGCUCUGUUUUUUGGUCUUUUUUUUUGCUCGGUUUCCUGUUCUUAUCUCUGUUUUUCUGGGGAAAAUUCUGGGUUUUUUUUUCUCCUUUUGGCGUUGUCAAUUGUUGGGUAUUUAUAGGGAUCAAUUUUCCUCCCCCUCAGCCUCACGUCUCUCCUCUUGAUAAGCACGACUGAGGGAGACGGUUCCUGCUAGGACUCGAAUUCAAAGUGCAAUCUUUAUCUCGUCGGGUUGUAAUUAUCAUGAAGAUAAUUAUUGCUUUUCUGUAUUUUGAAUGGGUUAGGAUACUGGUGUUUCACGCUUUUGUUUCCUUCUUUGCAGGCGGACGUUCGGUGAGACGAAGAUGACGAACAGCACCUGAUUGAAACAGUGUUGUUUUGGGCUGAGAAUGGUCAUUUCCAAUCUAGUCCUUGAAGUUUCUAAAUCCUUGCAUUCGAACCCCUGGUCUUUUAAUUUUCAAGAUUUACCUUUCUUAAAAUUAAUUUAACAAUAAGUGGGUCAAAAUUUGGUUACAACAACAUGUAUUGGCUUUUUAUAGGUAUUUUUUUCAAUUUCAAUUAAUAAAGAAAUAUAUUAGAGUGGAAAUAUAAACGAAAGGAACUACGUUAGCUGCAUGCUAAAUACCUAUUUGGCACUGUAUUAACUUAUGUUUUUCAGAGCACCUUUUGUUUUAAAAAGCAUUAAAUUAAUGUUUUUUAAAAUAUUAUUUUAUGGUUUUGAUGUAUUCAUAUAAAAAUUAAAACUAGAAACAUUCUAAAACAAUAAAAAAUUAAACUCAUCAAACUCUAUUAAGGAAUCUCAUGGUAAUGAUUAGGCUAUGGUCAUAAAAAAUACUCCCAAUAAACACCACAAUCAUUCGAGUUUAGGUGAUAUUUAUUUUUACAGUUCAUUUAUUCUUUUAAAUUUUUUAAAAAAAUUUAUUUCAAUUUAUUUUUUUAGAUUAUUUUGAUAUAUUAAUGUUAAAAUUAAAUUUAAAAACAAUAAAAAAAAAUUAUUUUAAUAUAUUUCAAAGAAAAAAAACAUUUUAAAAAGAAAUCUUAAUAAAAUUGAUAUUAAUGAGAAGAAAUAACAAAAGCUUUUAUUUUUUUCUUAGUCUUUGUACACCUCAUUUAAUUUGUUUAUAAAGGAAUAACAUCUAGUCUACAAAGGUAAGUUGUCAAACAAAUAUCUAAAGUCUAGGAUCUAGGAUCUAAUUUCUGUAAUUACAAUUUCUGAUUUCUAACAUGCUCCAAAGUUCGUAGUUUGUGAAUGAGAUUAUGAAACAAUGAGUUGCCAAGUGGCUUAGGCCCCAUUUGUUUGCUGGAAAGUAGUUUUUUUUUUUAAAGUGAAUUCCAGAGAAAGUGAAUUCUGAGAAAGUAUUUUUCGAUGUUUGGUAGUGUAAUGGAAAAUAAGUUGGAAAACAUUUUCCAGUGUUUGGUUAUGUCAUGGAAAAUUAGAUGGAAAAUAACUUAUUAAUAUUUUAUUUUUCUCCAGUUUAUUAAAAUAAUGAGGAACAAAUCUUACAAAUUAAAAAGUUGAAUGAGAAUGAAAUUGAAAAAAAAAUAUAAUUUCAUAAAUUAUCUCAAAUAAAAUAAAUAAUAAUCAAAAUAAUAGAGAUCAAAUCUAAAAAAUUAAAAAAAUGAAAGAUGAAGAAAUUAAAAUAAUAAUAAUCAACAUUUCAUAAAUUAUUUCAAAUAAAAUAAGUAACAAUCAAAAGAAUGAGGACCAAAUUUGAUAGAUAAAAAAUUUCAAUAAAAAAAUGAUAAGGAAAAAGCAAAUAGCAAUUAUAAAAAUAAGGAUCAAAGUUAAUAUAAAAAUAAAAUUUUAAGAGAUGAAAUUGAAAAAUAAAUAUUCAAUAUAUAUAUAUAUAUAUAUAUAUAUAUAUAGCAAUCAAAAGUUUGAGGAUCAAAUUUGAUAUAAUAAGCAAAUAAUGACAUUUCUAAAUUUUUCACAACUUCCGGAAAGUGUUUCCCCCCAAAUUUUUCAGGAAAACACUUUCCUGAAAACCAAGCUAAAUUUUCCUUUUACUGGAAAGUGUUUUCCAUUUACCAACUUUCCUAAUGGCAAACAAACACAAGAAAGUUUGGAAAGUGAUUUCCCAGAAACCACUUUCCAGAAAACAAACACAGCUAAAGGGAAAACACUUUCCUGAAAACCAAGCCAAAUUUUUCUUUGACUGAAAUUGACGGGAAAGUGUUUUUUGUUGAUCGGAAAGUGUUUUUCGUUGACUAGAAAGUAUUUUCUGUUGACUGGAAAGUGUUUUCCGUUAACCAACUUUCCUAAUGACAAACAAACACAAGAAAGUUUGGAAAAUAGUUUUCCGAAAACUACUUUCCGGAAAACAAACAUGGCCUUAAUGAAUAUGUCUAUUAUCUGUUGAGCUAAAGAAACAUGAGUUGUCUUGAUUAAGCUUGAUUGUAUUCUCUCAUGCACUGUUUCUUGCAUUCAUGGAACACGAGGUUGGCUGUAUUAUGUAGGGCUGCUUGAUUAUCGUAAUAUAAGAAGGCUGAUAAUAAAUGUGUUACUCACAAGUCUUGCAAAAGGUAUUUGAGCCAUACUAAUUCACAAGUAAAGAGGUCAUGAAUCUGUAUUCUAAUUCUGUUGAGGAAUGUGACACGAUUGACCUGGCAAGACCUGAUCAAAAACCAAGUUACAACCCAUUGAUUUUUGUUUUUUUUUUUUUUUUUUACUAAAUCGACAUUGUUUUGAUUUAAAAAUAAAAAGAAUUGACCCUAACAACCAAGUCAAAAUCAGGAACCCAAGUUCUGAACUGAACCGAGUCUAAAAUCUAUGAAAUGAAGGGUGAAUAUAUUAGGAAUUGUUGAACUCCAUAACCUUCAUUGACUUCUUAUCUGGUGAAGUUUGUCAUGAUGGUUAAAAAUAUUGGCAAAAGCAAAAGUGAGCAAUAUCAAGCACUAAGAUGGUGCUCUGUACCAUAAUAAAAUUGAUAUAUGAGAAAAGAAACAAUAAAAGCUUCUAUUUAUUUUCUUGUUUUUGUACAACUCAUUUAGGUGCUGUUUGGUAUUAUAGUUACGGAUAAGGUUCACCCUCGACCACAAAUAUUGUUGUUUGGUAUUGCUAAAAACAUAUUUUUUUAUUGGUAGGGCCCACCAUAAAUUGUGGUUGUGCCACAAGUUUACAUAAAUCACAAGAAGCAGCUCUUUGCUGCUUCUUGUGUGGAGAAAUCACAGUGUAGUCAUGCCCAACUGUUCACGUGAACAGUGGAGACAUUCUCCACUGUUCAUUGAAUCGAACUAGGUCCAGUCCAAAGCUAAAAAUGCAUUGAACCGGGUCCAACCCAGCAAAAUAAUUUUUUUUUUAUUAUUUUUAAUUAUAUUUUAUUUGAAAAACUAGUGUUAAACAUUAUUCAAUGACACUAUAUAAAUUAGACGGAAAUCGCUUGAUGGCGUAACAUUUGCAGAAUUUAAUCGCAAUCCCAAUUUUGUUCUUGAUUAUAUUUUACCUGAUGUUGUUGUGCUUUUAAAAAAUUUGUGAAAACUGUAGUCCUUGUCGGAUGUAUUUCAUACGUGAUGAAAUUAUAGAUAGUUUAAUGGAACAAUAAAAAAUAUUUUAUAUAAAAUAUUAUUUAUUUUUUGAUGUAAUAGCAAUAGUUAAAUCUACAAUAUUUAAAUUAAAAAUCAUCAAUAUAUAUAUAUAUAUUAAAAUUAUUUUAUAACCUCAAUUUUAAAAGCAUUCUUAACCAACCACAUUAAACUACUUUUUGUUCAACCUCAAUUUCAACUACAGUUUUAACCAAACAUAUAUUUUUCCAAACCAACCUCAACUAAAAUUACUUUUUAUAAAAUAAUUUUUUUUUUCAAAUCACAACCACAACAGUUACCGCAACACCAAAUACCUACUAUGUUUAUAAAGAGAUAUUAUUUAGUUUAAAAAGGUAAAUUGUCAAAUAAAUAUCCGAAGUUUAGUAUCUAAUUCAUAGUUUUGAAACCUGAUCUAAUUCGGCAGGUCGAUCCAGGGCUAGAACCUGUCCUGGUUAAAGAAAAAACAAGAGAAGGAAAAACCCGAUGUAACCCAGCUAACCUAGCGAGUUGACCUGGCAAGACCCAGUAAAAAAUCCGGUUGCAACCUGUUGACUUUUGUUUUCUACUUAAACGAUGCUAUUUUGAUUUUUUUAAAACAGAAUUGACUUGGACAACCCGAGCAAAACUCAGAACCCGGGUCUUAGCCGAACCGGAUCUAAAAACUAUGAUCUAAUUACAAUAAUUACAAUCUCAUUUAUUUGUUGAGAUUUUAUCCACAAAUCAAGCUUUGAUUGAUAUUGACUCUAAUUUCCAACAAAUCUUUAUCAAAAAAAUAAAAAACUAGCUCAGUUUUAGACCAAAAAGAUUGCUUGGCUACGAGGAUUCUUGAAAUGUUUAUCCUUGAUGGAAUCAGAAACGUGUAACCAUCUGUCCAGUACAGGUAAAUUUUAUUUGAGAUAUCAACUUCCAGUCCUGGUAUUGGCAGAAUCGGGUCUCCUCAAUUAAUUUCUUGACCAAGUGUUUAUUUACAUCAAUUUCAUAUACAAAUUUGUAAGGAAAACUUCAGUAUCUCUGAACGGGGAAAUAUCUAUCUGUCAAUUUAUAAUUCAUUUAUUCAAUUGACACAGCUAAUCCUCGUGGGGUCGUGGGUCCUGGCAAUUUUAUUCUACAGUUAAUAUGUUUUGAAUAAUUCUAUAAAAUAAUAUAAAACAUAUGUACAAAAAAAAAAUUAUAUAAACUUUAAAAUAUGUAUAAAUUAAUAUCAAUUACUUAAUAUAAAUAAUUAUUAGAUAGAUGAUCAUGCUUCACCGCAUGCUAUAUUAUUUUUUUUUAAUGUAAUAAAAAGAUGCUCAAAUAAUGAUAGCGUUUUUAAAUAAGCAAGAAAAUUUAGGACUGAGUCAUUGAUUCGAAUGGAUUUAAUAACUUAAUUAAUUUAAUAAUAUGAUUAAAAAAACCAAUGACACAUUAAAAAAACCUAGAAAGAAAACAUUAAUGACUAUUAAAAAAAAAUAAAGUGUAUCAGUAUCAUGAAAAUCCACCCUCUAUAUAUGCUUAAAAUAUCUUAACAAUUUUAUUUGAUAAUAAAAAAAAAUAAAAGGGAGUGAGAUAAUCUCGUAGGAAAUAAAAUUAAAAAUAUUCAAACUCAAUUACCUAUAAAGCAAAAGUUUAAGGAUGAAUUGAAAAUUAAAAAAAAAAAUAAAAAAAAACUAACUUGAGUCUGCAUGUCAAAUUUGCAUCUCAGUCACGAGACUGAAAUAACCCCGUAUAAAAGAAAUUGAAUAAAGCAAAAAAGGUCACUCUCAAGCAAACUAAAUGAUGAAAGAUAAACAUUUUAAAAAAAAAUCAAUUUUCAAGGUCUAACUUGACUAACUUAUGACAUGGAAUAUAAAAUUGGAACAACCACACAAAAACAAAACUAGAAAAAAAAUCAUGAGCUCAAUGUCUAAUAACCUAAUGUUAAUAAUAAAAUUAAAAAUAAAUAAAAAAAGUUAAGUUGGGUUAAUAUUUGAAAUUUGUGAUCAAGAAUCAUGAGACCGAUAUUACUAUACAAAAAACAAACACGAAAAAAAAUCAUGAAACAAAACUCCUAAUCAUCCAAUUUUGUUUUUAAAAAAUAGUAAUCAAAAUAAUAAGAACCAAAUCUGGUAUAAAAAAUUAAAAAAAAAUGAUGAGAGACUAAAUUAAAAAAUAAAGUAAAGUAAUAAAGGAUAAAAAAAAAUAUAAAAACUGAGAACCAAAUUUGAUACACAAAUUAAAUGAAAUAUAAUGUUGAGGGAAGAAAUUGAAAAAAUAAAUUAGAAAAUGAUAAAAAUAAAUAAAUAAAAUAAAAAUAAAAAGAAUUAGAAUUAGAAUUAAAUAAAAAAUUAAAUGAAAUAAAUGGCGAGGAAUGAAAUUGAAAAAACAAUUAACUUAAAAAUAUUAAAAAUAAAAUAAAUAGCAAUCAAAAGAAUAAAAACCAAAAUUAAUAUCCAUAUAACCUGAGAUGAUAAAAAAAUUUAUUUAUUUUUUAAAAUAAUAGAUAAAAAAAGAUGAAAUAACAAAAUAAAAAACAAUAAAAAAUAAAGAUUAAAUUGAAUAUAAAAAUAAAAUAAAAAAACAUAACAAGAAAUAAAAUAAAAAAACAACUUAAAAAUAUUAAACACAAAAUAAAUAAUAAACAUAUAUUAAUAUCAAAAUUGAUAUAAAAACAAGAAAAGAAAUGUUUACUGAAACCAACUGCUCUUAUACUGUUCACAAGCUUCUGACCACCAUGCAAAGGGUAAUAGUGGAAUGCUUUCAACAUUUUCGAUAUUGGUUUUGUUUAUUUUUAUAUUUUUUAAAAAAUAUUUUUUUUAAUUUAAAUUAAUAUAUUUUUAAUGUUUUUAAAUUAUUUUAAUGUUCUGAUAUUAAAAAUAAUUUUUUAAAAAAUAAAAAAUAUUUUUUUAAUAUAUUUCUAAAUAAAUAAACACUUUAAAACAUAAUAACAACCGCAAUCCUUAGCAUAUCUUUCAUCAUAAUCUAAAAAACAUGGUCCUUCUCAUCAAUUCAUAUUAAGAGAGUUUUAUUUUAAAAAAUUUUUAUUUAAAAAAAUUAUUAAAAUAAUAUAAUUUUUUAUUUUUUAAAAAUUAUUUUUAAUAUUAAUAUAUUACACUAAAAAAAAAUAUUAAUUUAAAAUAAAAUAAAUAUUUUUUUUUUAAAUUAUAAAAAGAAAAGAAAAAAGAGAAGGCAUCAUUGCACAAACCCAAUCAUAAGGUUGUUGUUGCUUCGGGAGAUUAUUAUAUUCCUGUCUUGCCCUUGACUUCUUCAGGUCUUCCUUCCUUCCUUCUUCUGCAGUUCUUCAUCUCCCUCCUUCUCUUCUGUUCAACUGCAAUAAUCAAAUCCAUUUAAUUUAAAAAUAUUCGUAAUCAAUUUAAUUUCUUUUCUUCCUUUCCAAGUUCUGUUUUCCUGUAUAAUUUCCCCUAUUUCACUAACAGAGAUGGAUACAAAUUUAAACGACAAGGAGUCCAUGAUUGCUCGAAUCCAACAAUUGGAACAUGGUAAUAUCUUUCUUCUCUCUUACAUUUUUUUUCCUCUCUGUCCAAAAGGAUGCUCUUUUCUUGUUUAAAACUGCAGUGAUGUUGUUCUCUUACACUAUACUGCUUUCUCUUUAUAAUUCCCUGUUCAAUUAUUUAAACCCUAAUUCAAGAAUUCUUGUUUGUUCUUAGACAUGGAGACCACACUGAAUCUAAAAUACAGCACUUUAUUAGAUAGUUAAAGAAACUCAAUUCUGCAGAUAGCCUCCUUUUCCAUUGUGAUUGAAUGACUUUCCAUGAUAUGAUUGUAUUAUAUUUGUUUUGUAGAGCGUGGUGAAUUGCAUAAAGAUAUAGAACAAUUGUGUAUGCAGCAAGCUGGACCUGGUUAUCUUGCUGCCGCUACUCGAAUGCAUUUUCAAAGGUAUAGUUAUUUAUGUAUUUUUUUUCUGUUUAUAGGAUCAGGGUUUUAUCAUUUUAUGAUUCUGCGAGGUUGCUACUAGUGAAAAGGGACGUAAGGACUGUACUAUUAUUUAUUGCUCUAUUAGGACAGCUGGAUUGGAGCAGGAGAUUGGGAAUUUGAAAAAGCAGUUGGCUGCUUGCUCAAGAGAUAAUCUUAAUCUUCAAGAGGAGCUUUCUGAGGCUUACCGAAUCAAAGUGAGAUGAAUUUUGUAUUCAUUUUCCGUUAUGCCACUUUUAUUGAAGCCUUGUAUCAUAGUCUUAUGCGUUUGCUAUGUUGUCAUCAGACCCAAUUGGCCAAACUACACCAAGCAGAGGCUGCAAAGGUUGGUCUAUCACUCUCUCUGUGCCGGUUUAUCUGGGCAUGCCCUCUUAUGUGGUGUCAAUCAUUCUUUUCUUGAGAUUAUUUUCAUCAAACAUCUACCAGAGGGAAUUAAUGAAUCAAACACUACCAAAUGACAACAUUGACCAAGUAGGAGAGAAUAGACAAUACUUCAGCAUCAUUGAAAGCAACAUUUGAUCAAAUGAAAGACUCAUAAGCUUUGCAUUCAAGAUUCUUUUGUCUUUCAAUUGUCAUUUCUUGUGUUAGCUUUAUUGAGGAUCUACCAUGAUUGAUUACCAUAUUUUCUUUUGGAGGAGAUACUAACUUGAUGACAACAAAGUUAUGACAUAGGUUUCACCUACAAGCAAUUUGUGCUGGUGACAGGAUUAGCUGUUUUUCCAAGCUAUGAUGUUUGUGGAAUGCUUCUAUUCCCUUUAUUGUUUUCUUUUCCAAAAUAUUUCAUGUGUUUAGAUUGCAGUGGAUGGAAUUUUGCUUUCAUCAUUAGUCCUGACUUGUUUCAUUUCCUUUUUUCCAGAACAUGGAGGCAGAGAAACAGGUUAAGUUUUUCCAAGGCUGUGUAGCUGCUGCUUUUGCUGAGCGUGAUAAUUCGAUAAUGGAGGUUAUGAAAAAUCUUUUUGACAUUUGUUGAUUAUAUGUUUGUCUUUGUUUUCUUACCCAUAACCUUUCAUAAGUGUAUUCCUGAGUGUAUAUUCUUAAGGUUUUGAGUCUCCAUAAUGGUUGAUGGCAGGCUGAGAAGGCAAAGGAGAAGGAGGAGUCAAUGUCCCAGAAAUUUAAUGAAAUUCAGCAGAGGUACUUGUUAUGUUUAUGCUCUAUUUUUCUUGUGUUAAGAGGCGCAAAAUUAAAAGGUUAUUCUCUACUGACUGCUUAUUAUGUUGCAUUAUGUAAUCUGGAGAUUAUGGUGCAUAUCUUCUUAGUGUUUGAGUGUUACACUUCCUACUGAUCCGAACAUUGUCAUGUUCCACUUUCUCAUCAAAAGUUAAAUGUAAGAACGCUAUAAAUAGUUUAUGGUGAUGUCUUGUUCCUUCCAAAGUCUUCCCUAAUCGUUGAAAAAGAUUGUGGCAUUGCGUGGUCAUGAUUUCAUGACUAUCAUGACUUUUCAUUUGUGAAAGUUUUUGACAGAUAGUGUAUCUUUUAUCAUGUGUGACCUUUUCUUUUUUUCAAAGGGAUUUUAUGGUUUGUAGUUAUGUGAUGCAUCGUUAGGAUGCCGGUGGUUGAAUGAAUACCUUUUCAUGAUUAAAGAAUUUUUUGUGCAGGUUAGAAGUGCUUAAUUCAGAUUUUCUUGAACAGAAGAGACUAAAUGAUACACUGCAGAGUGAUUUAUCAAAGCAAGAUGAGCAGAUUGAGACUUUCAGGAAGGUAAUUGUUUCAUGUUCUUGGGUAAUAGCAAGAGUGUACUUGAAACCUUUACACUUCUGGCAUAUAGACUACCGGAAAUAGUGCCAAGAACUACUUGAAACAUGGAAAUUGUUUGUGCGGUGAACUUCAGAUUUCGUUGUACUUUCGAAGUUUAGGAUGCAUCUUCUAGUCCCUAUUGACCUUUCAUUUACAGGUUGUCAACAAGUUUUAUGAGAUCAGGCAGCAUUCUCUUGAGGGAUUUGAGGAUACUAGUUGGGACAAUAAAUUUGCAUGUCUGUUACAUGACUCAGAAGAGUUGUGGAGUUAUAAUGAUUCCUCGACUUCUAAAUACAUUGUAAGUUCUCAAGACCUCAUUUUUUGCUUGUUCCUUGAGUAUCCAUCAUACACAUUAGUGUUAUUACAUGAUGUACCUAUGUUUAGGAUUGCUGUCCCGCUAUUUUAGAAGCCACAAAUACUUGUUAUUCAGAGCAUGUUACCAGAUCCAUAAGCAAGUAUGCUAGGUGAAAGAAAUUGACAGUCUAAUUAAUUUCCUAGAUCCACACAGAGCAGAAAUUAAAUCAGCUUUUACAAGAAUUUGAAUAGUCACUAGAGUUUCUUCAUAGUUUCUGCAUGCAACUUGAAUAACUUCUCAUCAGACAGAGUGCAUUAGAAGAAGAGGUGGAGACACUGAGGAACUCUCUGGAUAAGCUUCAAAGCAAAAUACGAGUGGUAUGAAAUUAUCUGGUUAAUGUCUGUUUUAUUUAAUUGUACUAUUAUGUUGUGUGUUUGCUUAAUAUGGAUUUUGUUGUGGCUUAUAGGGUUUGGAAAUUGAAAAUCACUUAAAGAAGAAAGUUCUUGAACUUGAAAAGAAGCAAGUGGGUAGACUAAUGUCUUGAUGUUUGAGCUUCUAAAUUUGAUCAUCGAAUCCCUUUGCUAAUAACUGAACUUGUUGAUGUUUUAUGCAGGUUCUUUGGGACAAAAUGGUUAUGGAGGGGAUAGCAGAAUUACGCCAUUACCAUUCUCACCAUAGAGUUCAGAUCACGAGUUUACUUAGCAAGGAAAGAUCGCAUAUCAAAUCAAUUAUUGAUAUGGCAGAAGAAAAGAUCAAGGAAUUUGAUGUGAUCAGCGAACUGGAUUUGGUGCCUUGUGGAGUGGUAAGACUGCAAGAAAAUGAAUUUCGAGAUGUGCAUAUGAGUACUGAUGCUGAUCCGGACUUGGCACCCAAGGUAGGUUAGCUACUAUCAUUGUACUUCAUCUUCUCUCUCUUUAUCUGCAGUGCAUAUAGAAAUAGUUUGCUUCACCAUCACAAGUAAAUUCUUAAGGCUCAUGAAGAAUCACUUCCUGUGUAAUUGCCAUAGUAAAUGGUUCCUUUAUGGUGCCUCAGCCCUCCUGCCAGGGCCCUCAAUAAGCCACUAGCUAGGUAGUGGUGGGAUAAUAAGCUGGGAGGAAGAGUCAUCAAAUGCUUCCUGACUAAGAUAAAUAGUUCUUGAUAAACAUAUUAGUCUGCUAACUUUUUUUAAAAAUAGUUAUAGGCAUAAUCCUGCUCAUGGAAUGCUGCAAUUGCAGUAUUUUGGUGCAGCAAAAUUCCAAUUCCACUCCAUUAGAAGCUCGCUUAUAAGUAUAAAACAGCGGCACUGGGAGAAGUUAGCUAAUAGAAACUGAGAAGCACUCUGCUAAAGCUGACCUUGUCUCCAAUGAUCUUUUGCAAUUUGAUGCGAGACCCAACUCCAGAAUUUGCAAUUAAUAAUCUGAGAAGAAAAAUGGGUCAAUAGAGUGAUUAAACUUCCUUGAGAUCAGCUUUUAUUAUCUAUUUUUCAGUCAGGCAUCCACCUCUCAAGAAUGUUUUCAUACCUCAGUCCUUUGAUAUCCUGUACUUUCUACCAACUUUUUGAACUGAGAGUUUUGUUCAUAGACAAGAGAUUACUAGUGCUCUAAUCUUUUUUUUGAACUACUGGAUGGUUUUUUAGUAUGCACUUAAUACAACAUAGGAUUGCACUGAACCUCUCCUAGUUUUUUCACUUAACACAGAACAAAGAUUCAGUAAAAGAUUGCACUGAACCUCCAUCAAUCUGAGCAUGAAGAGAAAAUACAUAGGUGUUUGUGUCAAAGAUUCAAUGUAUGGUAUUUCAAUAGUUCAAGUUGAUGAUAGUAUCCCUGUAGAAUUGUUUGUCCUGGUCACCAAACCUCACUCAGCUAACCCUACCUAUUUUUACCAACAAGCCCUUCACUCUGCCUCCUGUUUUGGUUUGAUUUGAUAAUUCUUCUUGUCUCUGUACUUGUGAUGAGAUUUAAAACAUUAAGGAAAAUACUGAAACAGAAUCAGAAGGUCAAAAAUAAUUUUUGUCCUACUGUUUCUCAUAUGAGCAAUUUCUAGUUCUUGUUUAUUGAUUUAUACAUUUUUACAUUCAUCACCUGCUGUAGAGAAUUGACCAAGGCGCACUAGAUACUGUGGCUCAUAAAGAAGGCAACACAUCUGAAGCCCUUGCACAGGCCAUGCAAGAAAAGGUUCUGUGAUAUAUUUCAUGCCCUAUGAUUUACUUUCUAUAUCUCUGUUUUCUGUAAAUAUUUGGUCGGUUGGAUGUUCAAGUUAUGCAGCUGAUUUGAAAUAAUUAUUCUUCUUUCUGCUCAAUUUUGUUUUCCUCGUCAGGUUGCAGCAUUAUUGCUUUUAUCUCAGCAGGAAGAAAGACAUUUACUGGAGAGAAAUGUCAAUGCAGCUCUUCAAAAAAAGAUUGGGGAACUUCAAAGAAACUUACUACAAGUAAUUCCUGUAGAUUUUUUUUAACUUGCACGUCUUGAAUGUUUGCCUCUUGUUUACUUGAAUAAUACACAUAACUCGGCAAAAGUUUUGCAAAUUUACGUAUGGACUUUGAGAAUUAUGCUUCACUAUAGUAAUUAUCUUAUCAUAUAUGGAGGAGACAUUAUAAAAAUGUUGGUAGGCAGGAUGAAAGACCUCUCUCCUUGGUAUGUGUAACAUGGAGCUCUUUCCUCACUGAAUCUGGAUAUCUUCUAAUAUGAAGUUUUGAUAAAGAAUUUAUCAAAUUUAAAUUUUUAUAUCCUUCCUGAACCUCAUAAUGAGUGCACAGAUGUUGUGAUGAUUUAGGUCACCAAUGAAAAGGUUAAAGCUCUUAUGGAGUUGGCGCAGUUAAAGCUUGAAUAUCAACAACUACAAAAGUAUGAUCUCUUCUUUUCCCUAAAGCAUAGCAUGCAAUUAUGCUUUGUUAAAUCAUUGUUUUUCUAUACUUUUGUUUUCUGCUGGCAAUUCUUUUAUUGGAACUUGAAUGCUGCCAAUGACUUUGAUAAGGACCUUUCCCCUAAGCUAUGGAGCUUUGAUGCAUUAUUCUUUGUUAUAUUAUUAUUUUAGAGGUGUUUGCUAUUAUUAAUUUCUCCUGUCACUUUUCUAGUUGUCUGUCUUGUUUUUGCUCUGAUGUGGCUUUCUCUUGAUAUGUCAUUAAAGUAACUGGUAACUCUUGUUAAAAAAAAAGUACUAAAGUAUGCAUGAAUUCCUUUUCCCUUGCAACAUAUGCAUGCUUUGAUCUGAUGACUAAAACUACCUGCAUGAGUGUAACUCGUGCAGAAAAGUUGACAGUGAAAUAAAACGAGAUUUUUCAGCUGACACUGGGGAGAUAAGACUUUCUAAUAUAGAAAGAGAUGGAAAGGUAAGAAACCUGUUGAAGAGGACAUAUCUAAAACGUUGGAUGGGCACAAUGGAUUUUCGUGGAAAUGAAGCUCAAACUUGCCUGAGUAGUGAAGGGAAUUUCUCUGGGAAAAGAGCAAAUGACAUGGAUUUUGCCAGGUUAGUAAAAACUAAUUGGAUUCCAUAACAGAAGACUAGAUUGGUGAAGCCUGCAUGUCAGAUCAUACCCUCUGAUGCCCCCAACUCUUCUACAAACUAACUGUUAAUGAAAUGGAUGUUUAUGGUUGCAUGUUCUCAGAAUGAAGAUUGAAAAUGCCACUCUCAAGGAAAGCAUGGAAUGUAUGGACCACCUAAUUUCUUCAAUUCACAGACUUCACCUUGCACUUCUAAAGGUAAAUGUUUCUUCAUCACAUGUACAGCAUGGAUGUGCUUCUUUUUUGGCUCAGGAAUGGAUCAGCUCCGUAGGAUGCUACAGUAAUAUAAAUACUGUUAGGAAUUAUGAUACAGUUGAAAUUUUGCUUUUUCUUUUCUUUUUUCCCUUCUCUUUAGGUCAUGCAAUAUCAUAAUAAUAUUAAUAUGAUGCUGAUUUCGUUACCUGCUCCGUAAAGGUUCUUGUCAUGAUGUUUGGUUAGAUAAUCUGUCCAUAUUUUGAAGCUAAUAGGUUUUCUGUUGCUGAUGCUGCAUAAUCUAUAGGUCAAAGAGUCAGAUACUCGUGAAGGUACAAGUACUGGCUUGCUAGAAGCUCUUAAUGAUAUCAUUUCUGAGGCUCGACUUGUGAAGACUGCCCUUGGAAGCUCCUUACCUAUUAGUUGGUCUGCUGAGGCAGAUGAUGCAUCAAUUGGUGAAAGUGUCUGCGAUGAGCUAAUUGAUAUUUAUGGGAACCCCAUUAGUGAGAAGAUAGAUUCUGUUUCUGCUGCAGGUUUUGAGAUGGUGGAGCUUCUGAUACUUGCAGCUCAGAUACUAAAGGACAAUAAAACCAUAAAGGGUUGCUGAGAUUGGAGUUUGUUUAAUUCUGGUCUGUGUGGGCUUUGUUCUGUGAUGAAAAGCAUAAAGUAAUUAAUAGGAGUUUAGGGCAUACUAAAGGGGCUUUUCGGCAAAGAGAAGUGAAGAUUUGUGCAGUGUGAAGGAAGAUGGCGACCUUUUGGAACAAUUUAAUCAGUGCAGAAUGAAAGCCAAUGCUUAUCUUGUCAUUGUAGAGCCUUUUAUUGUAUUUAUGGUGUUUUUAAAGGAAAGGAGAAGGAGGGAAUAGAGUUCAAUUCCUUUGUAUAUACAUGGUUAAACAUAGGCCAGUUGCAUAAAGUACAGUAAUAUGAACUGGGUUAUUAGAUUAUUUCAAUGACAAAGUUUAUGAGCUUUUGUGUAUGUUUCCUUUCAGUACUGCCUGUUGUAUUUUAAUUGUCGAAGUUUAUGUUGAGCGAUUGAGGGAUGAUGCAUUUUCUGUUGGCUUUAAACUCACUGGGAAAAUUUGUGGUCUGUGCAUGCCACCUGGCAGAAACUGCUUAUGCCAUGAAGAAGUUAUGAAGCUUUUUUAUAUCAUUACGUGUAGAAUUCCUUGUUUAUCUUGAAUGUUUCUGCUUUAAAAUGUUUUACCCUAGGGUGGGACGGCAUCUUUCUUUUUCUGAACAACGCAGUUUCUUUCUUGGUCGAUGCAACUUUUUUCCUGCUGAAUUGUUCACAACUAAUAUAGAACACGGUGAUAAUCAUUCAGGACACCGAAAUCUUUACGUAUUUUGAGGAAACAGAGGAUACAAACUGUGCCACGUAGUAUCUCAGGUUACUCAAUCUUGACAGAAAUUUCAACUGACACGUCACACUCAGAGUUCCCACAAAAUUACAGCAUUGGGACACUAACACAUCCAAUCUUGCAAGCGAAAACCAAUCCUUGACAUGUAGAAGAGAAGAAAAUCCAUGGAGACCCUGCGAUGCCAUUUAUGGUAGGAAGGACUAGAAAGCGCUAAGGAGGGGGACAAGUAGUCUUUAGUUGAUUAUGAUUCAGCGGCAAUUUCCACGGCGGUGAUAUUCACAGUGACUGGAUUUUUCUCGCGUUCGUUCUCAAGCUGGCUGUAGUUCCCUUUCUCCUUGAAAAGUUGGAUAUGGUGAUGCUUGCAGUAGAGUUUUCCCUCAUGUGCAAUGUAGUUGGAUGGGCUAACAGUACAACCUCCAUGGGUACACUUGAAACAUCUCCGAUGGUAUGGAGUCCCGUUUACUGUAACCUGGAAGAAGAUCAAAGACCACUCUUCAGAAAUGUUGGUCAUCUUUGAAGAGGAUGAUCCUCUGUUUCUAUGAGUAAAGUCUUCGUUUCUUACCUUCUCGAUAGGAUAGACAGUCUUGUUGCACCCAACACAUUUUUCUCUGGUGCCAGCAAACAAAUUCGAGACUUUGCUUGCGUUCUGUGAGAUAUAUCAAGUUCAGUUUAAUUACUUAGUGGAUAGAAAUUGAAUAAAAUAAAUAGCAAGAAACAACAUACUAUCAUUUCCCAAUCAAUUACUUAAUAGAUCACCUCAUUAUCAACAGGUUUUUCUGGUUUCGCAAUUUUUGGUGUUCCUGUCAGAAAUUAAUUAUAGAAAGUGAGAGGGUAAAUUGAAUUUAAGUUAAAAGAAUUUAACUGGCUAGUGAUAAUAAUAGUAAGAUUUGAAGUGUGUAAAUUUUGAUGAUGGCUUAACUGUGCUUUUACCUUCGAAACUCUUGUCUAGACUGCCAGUUCUCUUGAAGAGUUGGUCAUAGUGAGGUCUGCAGUACAGAACCCCUUCGAAAGAACUGUAGUUGCUUAGCUGCUAGCACAAAACAGUUUGCCGAUGAGUGCUCAUCAAGAAAUUCAAUGAGUAGUUAAUUGGCUUUGAGGACAGCAAUUUGACUUUCCUUUCCAUGAACAGAAAACGGAAAGCAAUUUCAAAAGAACCAAGAAAAUGAAAGAUGAUUCUCAGAACCCCCGGAUCUUAGAUUAGCCUGAUAAUAUGUUCUAUGCUGCUGGCCAUGUGUAUAUAUAAAGAAGAAUAUGGUGUGAUCUGAUCAGAAAGAAAAUUCAUGAUGGAAAGGGUUUUAGCAAAAAACAAUAUAUAUAAAAAAGGCAAUUCUGAGAAGAAAAAGGUUUUCCCGAGACAUUACAGUUCAAAGAAGAUGGAUAAAACAUGAACAAGGAUAUUACAGAACCGAUAUGCUGUUACCUUAAGGGUACCCCUGCAAUGGUGGCAUCUAAAGCAGGCCUUGUGAUAUAUCCUGUUAUCAGCCGUUAACUUAUCAACAAGAUACACUGUCUUGUCACAAGCCAUACAUUUUUGCUGGGUUCCUGCAAAGGCUGCCAUAUCCUUUUUCUCCCUCAGAGAUGAAUAGCAAGAUGAAGAGCAAGAAACCUUAAAACUUGCGCACCGAUUGUGAUAUUUCUCGUUUGUGUUGUGUCUUUAGCCUUUGCCCUACUGUCCUGUCUCUCUUCAAGCUCUUGGCUUAUAUUAUACCGAAGAUAGGGUUGCAGAUAAUCGCGGGUGACAUGAAAGCAGAUCUGUACAUGAUUGACAGGAAUGGCCUGGCGCCACCUAGCUAUCAUUUUGUCCGAUUUCUAAGUAAUUCAUAUCAGAUAGGAUGAUCCUUCUGUUGUAAUCAUUCUACCUUCUUUCUCUAUUUCUGGGAGGUACAAUUAUAAAACACAUGCGAUUCCGAGGAAGUUGACAAUCCAAGCUUUUGGCUCCCAAAUUUAUCUUUUUUCCUGUUUCUCAGAAAUGUUCUCGGUUCAGCUAAUAUUCGAGGAAAUAAAACAGAGAAGUUAUUAUUGAUAUAAAGUUGAUUUUCUAGGUAGAUCACAGGGGAACAUGAUGAGUAAAUCCUUUUUCACAAAGGUGGUAGGUCUAGAAUUAUAUUGAGUGCUAGAAUAUCAUCAUGAAGUUCCUGGCUGGAUGCCUUGCUAGACGUUUCUUUUUCGUUGUCAUGUUUUAUUCUUUGAUUACUUUUUCCAUGAGUUAUAAUCGGCCAGUGCAAGUGAUUCAUCAGAUGGAUAAUCUUUUUUAAAAAAAUUAGGUGAUUGGCAUCAAUCAAAGCCUUUCAAUGAUGCUCCAUGUAACUAGUGACCGAGUGAGAUCUUGGGUUAAUGCAAAUUUGUCUUCAACAACACUCAACAUUAUAAUUGAAAAUUGUGGUUUAUUAUAUCAGAUCAGAUCGUAAAUCUGUCAUCAUUGUAUCUCAAAUUUGCUGGCUAAAGCUAAAAAUCAUGUCGAUUUCAUAUUUUCACCUCAAAUUUAUUCAUGGCAAAACGACGAAGGGCGUUUUGCCUAGAAAUACCUUUUUCUAUUAAAUCAGAUGAAAAUCGCAAACCUCACGAAUAAAAAUGUAAAAUUAGGAUAAUUUCAUAUAAGAAAAUAAAAAAAAAAAGGUUUGAGUGAUAAAAUUAAAAUUAAAUAAAUAAUUUUUUUAAAAAAAUAAAAAUUAACUUGCAUUAAUCUUUAAAACUGGUUAUUCUAGUCAUAAACUUAAAACUAAUUUUAUAGAAAGAAAAUAGUAAAAAAAAAAAAACUAAAAAAAAUGAAAAGAAAAAGAAAACACCAGCUUAAAAAAAAAAAAACAAGCAAACCCUCCAAAUCUAAUAUAAUCUCUAAAAUUCGGAACCUAUAAAAUUUAACCUCAUAUCAUUUAUAAAAAAAAUAAUUUAUUAUAAUGAAAAAAUCAUCUUGUUCCACUACUUAAUUCAAAUGUUAUAUCAUUGCACUAUUAUAAGGAACAGUGUUUUGUCCAUUGGGGUGCAAUAACUUCCCUUCUUCCUUUAGGUUUUUUUAAUUAUUAGAUCAUUAGACGUGUUGUGCUAGUAAAUUAUUUUUUUACAUAAACAAAUAUAUAGGAAUUGUUAAUAUAUUUUUUAGCAAUAAAAAAAUAAACUAAUAAGGAUUGAUCUUAUGUGGCUUAAUCAACUUGAUAGAUCCAAAAAUAACUUGAAUAAUAAAUAAAAUUAUAAUUUGAUUCAAAAAAUUAUAAAAUUUAAUUCUCAAUCAAUUCAAUGUUGAAUGAUAAAAUUAAAAAAAAAAAAACACAUAAAAAACCACCCAAGUCAACCAACCAAACUCGUGACCCAGGUCAUGAGACUAUGAUAACUUAAUAGAACACAAAUAAAAAUAAAGUAUAAAGUCUAAUCUCCAAUCAAUUCAAUAUUGAAUGAUGAAUUUUUUAAAAAAAAAUCAAUUAGAAAAGAAAAAAAAAUCGAGUCAACCGGCUAAACCAGCGAUACGAGUCAUAAAACUAUGAUAACUCCAUAGAAAACAAAUCUAAAAACAAGAUUAUAAAGCUCAGUACCCAAUGUUGAACUAUUAAAUUGAAAAAAAAUCAUAAAAAAAAAAUAACUCGGGUUAACCGAAGUUAACCCACCAAACCUAUUUAGAAGACCAAGAGAACUCUAUAGAAAACAAAUUGGAAAAAAUUAUAAAGUUCAAAAUUUCCAAUUAACUUAACAUUAAAGGAUAUAAUUGAAAAAAUAAAAUUUAAUUAUAAAAGAUUAUAAAACCUUAUUCAACUUGGUUAACCCGCAAAACUCGUGAUCUAGAUCAUAAGACCGUGAUAACCCUAUAAAUAAUAAAUAAAAAAACAAUUAUAAAUUUCAAUUAUCAAUCAGUAAAGUUGAGAAAAUAUUUAGUUUAAAAAAUAAAAAAUAACUCAAAUUAACCUACAAAACUCAUAAUUUAAAUCAUAAUACAAAAAUAACUUCACAUACACGUAUCAAAAGAGUACUAAACAAUUUCCCCCUCGAAUUUCUGACAAGGCAGUAUUAUAAGACCAUUCAAGCGGUCCACAUCCCACUAUCACAUCUAGGGCCUAAAGGUAACAGGUAAGGUUCAAAUAAUUUAAAAGUACAUGAUUAAAGCCUGUAAAUUGGGCAUUUGGUCUAGUGGUAUGAUUCUCGCUUUGGGUGCGAGAGGUCCCGAGUUCGAUUCUCGGAAUGCCCCACCCUCAACAAAGGAGUUUUACCGACAAGAUUCUAAGAAAAUAUCUUAUUUUUUGAAAAAAGAAAAGCAGAUUGGCAGUAGAUGUUGAAAACAAGGUGGACAGGAUAGAAAGAUUCCCGCAUCAAGAAAUAUGAGAAAUCAGGUCCUCAAAGAGUGGAAAAUAUUAACAACUUGCACUCAAGCCACCAACGUGAGUUUAAAAUAUACAUGGCGACGAGAAGCUACCAAACCACUACAGUGCCAUACAUCAAAAACUUCAAAACAUUUGCAAGUAUUUUUGAGUCCCUGAGUUCAAUGCUUACAGUACUUUGGAAUAUUUAUGACAGCUAAUCUAAAAUGAAAAUACUUGCAAGUGCUCUUCGCAACAAAUCCCAAUGAAUCGAUGAGCAUAUAUAUAUAUGCAUAUGGUGCUGGGAUCAUAUCUGUGUGUAGCUUCUUUCAUCUCGUAAAAGAAGAGCUGUUUACUAGUGGCAUUAAUACAAACAACCACUGACCAAGACAACUACGUACGUACAUUAGAUAACAAAAACACUGCACCCAGAUGCAUGGUUCUCUUCGUUAUCAUUCAAGCUCAAAUUCUAUAUAUGACACCCCAAUCUAGGUGACGAUGGCAACCACCGGUACUACCAUUAAAACACAAACACACACAUUCCAACGUGCACAGAUUAUACUAUAUGCAAGUGCACUCACUUUUUAUUGCUGCAAAUAAAUAAUUCUGCCUUCUGCUAGGACAUGCCAUUUCCUUAUUUUUUUUUUCACACCUAACUAGCUAGUGAUCCCAUCCCCGUCCAUAUCUAAAGCAAUAAGGCAUGAAGGCUUCGCAUUCCUUGCUAGUAUUAACUAAAAAUCGUAAACUUAAAUCAUACAGACGACUCUAUAGUCAAGUAGUUUAAUGAAGCCUUCGUCUAAACUACUUGCUAGUUUAAUUAUAAUGUGAAUAGAAGCUUGAGCAUCGUCUGGGCAUUUGGUCUAGUGGUAUGAUUCUCGCUUUGGGUGCGAGAGGUCCCGAGUUCGAUUCUCGGAAUGCCCCUACUGUUUUUGGUUUUAAGAGCUCAGUAACAGCACGCUUAUCAUUUUUUACGCAGUUUGGUGUUGGUCCCGUGCUCUUUCCCAAAGUCAACUGCACUACAAUAGGAAAGUUCCAAGACCGUACAUAUAUAUAUAUAUUUUUUUUUGAAAAGAUUGUGGAAUAGAUAAGCAAAGAAGCAUCUGGUCAAGAGAUCAAGAUAAAAAGUCUAGAAACACACCUUUGGACAAGGCAAUCAAUGCAAGACCAUUAGCCUCUGAGCCUGCCAGAAUGGACAAAAACACAUUUGAAGCGGAAGUUCAAUUCCUCAAUAAAAAUGAUUGUGCUUUUUCCCUUAUAAUUCUGGCAGUAAGACUUACACCUGGACAAACUGAGAUCUAAAACUUCAAGCUUGCAAAUGCAUUAGUAGCAGAAAUUUCGCAUGAUGAGUAUCACCAACUAGGCAUUUGAUCUAGCCGUAUGAUUCUCCCUUUGGAUGCGAGAGGUCCCAAGUUAUUAUUUCUAACAAUCUGACAUUUUAAUUUGUUAUCCAUCUUAAAAUGUAGCAAGACAACAGCAUGAAAACAAUGAUAUAAUAUUUUGAUCUGCAGAUAGAUUAGUUUCCUGACAAGAUUCUAAUCCACUGAACUUUUAAAAAUAGAUUAGCUGUGGAUGUUAAUGACAAGGUGGUCAAGCCAGGAAUAUCCCUGCAUCAAACAUGACAAGUAUUCAGUAUAAUUACCACAUGUAGAUCUGAGUUCCAGUUCAUCUAAACGGUGGAAAUUACCUUUAAAAAGUGACAAUAAAGAUUAAAAAAAUGCAUUAAAUAAAAGACCAUGAGAGCAGAGACUUUUGAACCACUACCCAUAUUUCACUUUGAAGUAACAGAGUAAAUAAUUAUAAAAACACCUAGAGAAAAUAUCAGCAAAUGGGCAUUUGGUCUAGUGGUAUGAUUCUCGCUUAGGGUGCGAGAGGUCCCGAGUUCAAUUCUCGGAAUGCCCCAUGCUUUUUGCAAAUUUUACUAAUUAAUGCUUUAGUUCCUAUGAUAUAUUCCAGUUUGAAAUAUUUUAGCCAAGGAAACUAACCUAAAAUCAAUUCUCAUGGUAACUAUCAAAGGACAGGAAAAACAAAAAAAAACUGUAGUGGCACAAUCUCACCUCAUUUAUCAGGAAAAAGAAGCCCAUUUGGCAGGGUUAAGUAAGCACUAAACCCAACCAAAUGGCAGCACUAACACACAAUCAAAUGUAUAGACAUUGUAGUGAUGCAUAGCCAUUUCAUCCCUACCCCAUAUUUAAAACAUGUUGCAUUGCAUCUACAGCAAGCCAUCUAAUGAGAAACUUCAUUCACACAGAUUCAACUUCAUUCAAGGAAAAAAAAAAAAACAAGAAGACUCAUGACACUUGGCAUCCCUCUAAAAGAAUUUUGGUUGCUUGGCAUGAUUUUUCCUUAGUCUAAUUUAUUAACAGAUUAAUUAUGAAUUAAAGAAAAGAAAAUCAGAAAAUGGGCAUUUGGUCUAGUGGUAUGAUUCUCGCUUUGGGUGCGAGAGGUCCCGAGUUCAAUUUUCCGAAUGCCCCAGUUUCAUACUGCUUUUUGGUCUUAAGAACUCAUGUGAAACCUGAUUUGUUAUUGCCAGCAUAUUAUUUUUCAGGGGUAGUUUUCCAUUGUUAAUUUAAAUAAUUUGACUCCAUGAUCUUUCUCAAAGUCAACUGCUCUGCAAUAUGAAAAUUCCAAAACUCUCUCCAAGGAAUUGACUUUGUACAUAUAAGCAUUCGAUCAUUAGAUCAAGUAGUAAAAUCAAGAAAUAUACCUGUGGCCUCGUCAAUCAAUGCAGAACCACCAGUCUCAACCCUUCAAGAUGGUACGAAAAUGCAUAUCACCAAACAACCCAACAAGGUUUAGAAGGUAGAGUUAUGCCUGCAUCAUGCGUGAUGAGCUAAAGAUCAAUAUUUAAUGAUUAAUGUAAAUCUUAGGUUCCCAGGAAGUUAAAAGUCCAUAUAGUUUUUGGUUCCCAUGCAGGUUCAGAUAUUUUAGCAAAGAACCUAAAGUCAACUCUAGCAGGAGAACAUAAUAUUUUAAAGAAAAUCUAGAUGUAUAUUUUUUUUCUGGUAAGAUUCAUUACCAAUAAAAUGAUCAAUAAAUAAGUAGACUCUGCUGAAAUCAAGGUAUGCAAGCUAGGCUCACACCUAUCACUAGCUUCAGACAUUGGAGAGAACUCAUUUACCUGAACCUGCUAAAUGGUGUAAGCAUCAAUUUGAUGCAAUGCGUUCAGUAACUCAAUUGACAUGACAAAAUAAGAGAACAGAAACAUACCCAAAGCUACAAUUAAUGCAAGAGGACAUGCUAUACCACGGGAAAGAAUUUGAAAGUCAGCUUGUAUAUCUACACAUCAAAAGGUUCAGUCUGUUGGGCAAGAAAUCUCAGUGAUUGGCUUUCUGCCAAAUUUACAGUAAGCUCAGUUUUGCCAAAUAACUAAAACGUUAGGAUAUAUAGUUUAAUGUCAACGAUCUACAUGCUUUCCAUCAACACAUUGUAUAACAUGAGUUUUUCUGUUUUGACAACAUUCUACUCAAUGCAGUAGACCCUGUUAAUGUGCAGAAGGAAAAGAAAAUCAUAUGAGGAACCUUCAUUGAUAUAAAUCAUAGUUUAAGAAUCAAGGAAGUAUCUGAUUCGGUUAGUGAAUAAGAAAAUAUGUGGUUAGAUAAUCCAAAGUGAAUCGGGAAAAUUCUCAGGUUGGGUGCAAAGCAACCAAUCCCAGCAUAAAACGGCCCAUUUUCCUGUUUCAGGAAUUAAAGGGCCAUAUAGGUUUUGCUUUCAUGGAUCAUAGAUGGCAUUGAUAUAGUGGUAUGAUUCUUUUUUAGUUUUAACGUGAGUGUCCGGGCCAGCUUGCGCGCACUUCGACUAAUCUCACGGGCCUUGAAAUUAACGACUAUAUAAGCCUCCAGUGGCCAUCAUAUAAGCAACCCAGGAUUUGAACCUGAAACCACAGAGAGAGCAAAUCUCGUGGUCCCAAGCUCUUACCACUGGGCCACCACCUAGAUGGUUUAGUGGUAUGAUUCUUGCUUUGGGUGCAAGAGGUCCAGAGUUUAAUUCUCGGAAUGCCCCAUUGGAAUCAUGCUAUUCAUGACAGGAUGAAACCAGGAUUUUUUGGUUACCUCGAUAUCUACAGAAUAAUUAAAGGAACACAGAAUUAAAUCCCAACUCAGCCCACAAAGAAUAAAUAGAUAGAGUUGACUGCUGAGAUGGGCAUGCAAGAAGAAACCAGAGACAUUAUUGUACUGCACACUAUUCAUGUUCAGGUGCAAAAAUCAUUUUAGAAGAGAAGCUCCACUGCAGAUUUGAUUGGUAAAUGAUUCCAGAAAAAUAACAACAUUGACUAGUGUCUGAUUUACUACAGCACCAAAAUAUGGAAUGGAAUGGACUGCACGAGUGACAAAAAUGAACUCCUUGAAACAACACGAUAAAAUUUAGGCUUCGUAAAUGAGCAUAAC